AUAGCUUCUCCAAAAUGACUUGCGAGGGUGGGUUCGUAAACUACUCUAAUGAAUGAUGCCACAUACGCUGCUCUAACAUGUUCAUCGCAGUAUACUUGGGAAUGGGAUUGUAACUGGUAAUCAUCAUCAAUGGAGAAGCCAGCAUCAUGACGGAGCUUAAAAGUCUCCAGGUACAAAAUUUCAAAAGAACCUUCCUCCUCAAUUAUGUACCUUAUUUCUUCUACUGAAGAAGUAUAGUUUGGAAGAUUGAAACUAUCCAUUCUUUCUUCCUCCUGAUGUCCCUGCAGAUAUGCCAAUCAUCAAUUCAAUUCAAAUUAUUUGAAGCGCGAGACUUGGAAAUUAGCCAAUUUGUUAAAACGUCAAGUCUAGCGUAAAAUGCACAGUUUUUUUUCCCUUAAUUUCAAUAUGAAUAUAUUAUUACUUGUGUUUUUAGUUCAUACUUCAUAUAGAAAAGUUGCCAAAAAAUUAAAUAAUGAACGAUUUCUUCCUUUCCAAUACUUUUUUUUUUACCAAAAAGGGAAAAAAAUACCUGACAAAUUAAAUCCCACUAUAUUUCUAACUUUCAACAAAUUAAUUUGGUGGAGGCUAGACGAAACUCAAGGAAAGAAUUAUCUUAAAUGUAUUGAAGUUGUGUGAUAACAAGCAUCUAGAGAUGACAAUGAAAACAGAUGUAAUAGGGUGGGGAAGUGGCUAAUAGGGUGGGACGAGGUGGAGGACAUUUUUCUCCUCCUGUUUUAAAUGAGGUGGGGGACGGGAAGGAUACCCCCUACCUAUCUGCCACCCCAUCCCCUACUACUAAAAUAAAGUUUUAAAAAAUAAAUAUUUGUAUAUAGUUUUACACAUAUAUACAUAUACACAUUAUAAUUACAUAUCAAUUAUUUAUAUAUGCGCGCGCGCGCGCGUGCAUGUGUAUUAUAAAUUAAGAAUAAAAAAAAUCAUAAUUUAUAUGAUAAAAUAAUGAUAUGGCUAUCUUCAAUUUCCUUAAAAUUUUUUACAUAUUGUAAGUAAUUUACCUAAAAAUAGGAAACAAAUAUGAUGGUUAUAAGUUUAGAUUUGCCAUUAAAAGUAAAGAGAUGAAUUAAAAAGAUCAAAAUAAUUUUUAAUCUCGAUUUCACAUUGAAUAUUUUACUAAGAAUCUAUAAAAGAGUGAUUUAUAAGGUUUUGAUAUUAUAUAUGUAGACAAAUAAUGUCAAAAUAAAAAAUAUAAUUAGCCAACUGGGAGGACACCCAUGGGGAUGUGGGACCGGGCAGGGGGCGAGGUGGGAGGAGAUUUUAGAACACCGGGCAGGGGCGCCCCUUGCCCCCCCCCCCUCCCCCCCUCCAAAAAAAAAUUGCCAUCCCUUAGUGAAGCAUCUGAUAAUCAUCAAAGAGACAGAGAGAUUAAGAUCUCGACAACCAAGUCCAUUAAUGCCAUGUCAAGUAAGUCAAAGAUAUUCGGGCCGUCGAAUUCAUCUCCUUCACACAUGAAAGUAAGGAGUAUUCGGCCAUGUGAAACCAACUCUUCCGAAUGCAUCCUUAGAAAUGUGGUAAAAUCUUUCAUAAAUUGGUCCAAAUAUGCCUUUUGGGCGGGCGGACAGCUUGCUUUGGAAGAGUGAAUGCUCCCUUUAUUCACACUGAUCCCCGAUUCAGUCACCAAACCACUGGGAACCUGCACGUCUAAAGCUGGUAACUUAUAUUGUUGGAGCAUUUUGUUAGCGUUGCAUGUGGGAAUAUAAAUCAUGAGCCGCGAAUUUUUAUUUUUUUUUAAUAAAAAUGUUGUUGGUUUCUUCAGAAAUCUCUUUCUUGGAUUCUUGUGGAUACCUUGAGAUUGAAUGAAAAUCAUGAACGAUUUUUGCUACAAGAGAAAGGAAAAGGAUAAAAGGGAUUAAUUCAAAGACCUGAGAUAACCAGUGAAGACUGUAAGAAGGGUGUAAAAAAUGCAUGGACUCCUCGGGGAAGAGUCUGCCGUAGAAAGAGCCAGGCAUUGUGGCUAUCAGGCACGAUCCUAUUUUGCGUCCGUUUUCUUUCUCAAGUUUGCGGUAGAAGCUUGGCAGCGACUUGAAAACCGAAUUGAAAUCAUUUUGGAAAAGAUCAUUCAGAAAAAUCUGAAUGGUGGGAGGUUCGAAUGCAUUCUUCUUUUCCUGGCCAACUUUGUCGACACUUUGUAUAAUGUUCCAAACUGUUAAAACUGUGUUUGGGCCAGAAGCGCAUCCCAAAUCCGCAACUUUAAGGCACUUGUUGAUGUUGGGUAAGUUGGCCCGCAACAAUUCUCGUAAGCAUUGUUCAAGGGCAGGUUUCACCUUGGUGAGAACCGAAUUCUAGAUACACCACUCCAAAAAACAAAUGUUAAGGAGGAAAAAAAGAUAUACUAUUUUAGAGAUCAACGUGUCAUAGCAUGAGUUAGUACUACUCUGUGUGUGUGUGUGUGUGUGUUAAAGAGAUAGAGACAGAGAGACAGACAGAUUUGGUAGGGUGAAUUCUUUGCGUAGCUUGUGUCGCCUUCACCUCCAUUCAUAUGCAGUACUUAACCGAAUCGCAAUGACGGAGCAGGAUUUUUUCUUUUUGGGGGGGGGGGGGGAAUUUUUUUCGAACAAAAUUACCUUAAUUUUCAAAAUAAUUUCAUUUAUUUAAAUAUAUGACAUCUUAUAAUAUCAAAUAUUAACUUUAAUUAUAAAGAUAUGUCUAUUUCAUAAAUAUGUAACAGAGUCAUAACUAAAAUUAAGACAAGAAAUAAUCUUUGAUUAAAUGUCUUAUAACAUCACAAACCACUCAUUAUGAGAAGAUGCUCCAAUAUGUCACUUGUACAAAAAAAGAAAAUAUAACUAUUUUCAAUUAAAAAAAGAUAAAAGUUAUGUUAGCAUACCUUAAAAUUUCAUCCUCUUUUAUUAAAAGUAAAUUGAGAUUUACGUUCUUUUAUAGAACUAAAUUCAUGUAUAAUUGAAUCAAUGCUAAAUUUUCGAACAACUUUCUUUUUUAUGUACAUUGUUAGGCAAUCAUUCAAGAAAUUAUCUUUUAUCUUGUAUUGGAGAUUUGUUUUGAUUAUCUUCAUAAUUGAAAAUGUCUAUUCUAUAGACUAUAGAACGGAGCCAGGAUUUUUUCCUUGGGAGGGGGGCCAAAAUUUUUCUAAACAAAAUUAUCUUAAUAUGUUAUAUUCAAAAUAAUUUUCAUCUAUUUAAAUAUAUGACAUCUUAAAAUAUCAAAUUUUAAUUUUAAUUAUAAAGGUAUGUCUAUUUCAUAAAUAUGCAGCAUAGUCAUAACAAAAAUCAGGAUAAGAAAUAACUUUUUAUUAAAUAUCUUAUAACAUCACAAAUUACCCAAAUUGUACAUUAUGAGAAAAUGCUCCAAUUUGUCACUUGUGCAAAAAUAAAAAUAUAACUAUGCAAUAUAAAUAUAACUAUUUUCAAUUAAUAAAAGAUAAAAGUUAUGUUAGCAUACCUUGAAUUUCAACCUCUUUUCUUAAAAGUAAACUGAGUUUUGCGUUCUUUCAUAGAACUAAAUUCAUCUAUAAUUGAGUACUAAAUUUUUGAACAACUUCCUUUUUUUUAUGUACAUUGUUAGACAAUCAUUCAAGAAAUUAUCUUUUAUCUUGUUUUGGAUCUUUAUUUUGAUUAUAUUCAUAAUUGAAAAUACCCGUUCUAUAGUUGCAAUUGACAUAGGAAGAGUGAGAAUAAAUAUAAUCAAUCUAUCAACAACAAGAUAGAUCACUCAAUUUCUUGUCUUCACCAAGCCUUCAAGUAAUUAUUUGUAUAUUUGUAUAUGGGUCAACAAGAGUAUAGUUCACUAAUUUUAAAUUUUUUUAUCAAUUAGGCUAAGUUGUAUAUUUGUAUAUGGACCAAUAAAGUAAUUAUUUUUGUUUUAGCCCAUUGAUAAUUAUGAAUUGAGUCUUUUAUUAUAAUAUAUCAAAUUGGGUCAAUUUACUAUGGAUUACCAAAUUAUAUGUUUAAUUUUUUGAAUGUUAAAUAAUUAGCACGAUAAAAAAUAAAUAACUUUUUUUGAAGAAAAAAUUAAAUCAAAGGUGACUAAUUCAUACGCACAUACAUAUAUAUAUAUAUAUAUAUAUAUAUAUAUAUAUAUAUAUAUAUAUAUAUAUAUAUAUAUAUAUAUGUAUAAACUCUCAUAAUAUAAAUUAAAAUUGUAAAAAAUUAGGAGGGCCAACUUUAUCUUAUACAUAUAUUUACAUAUUAUGAAUUAAAAUUUUUAAAACUUAGGGGCCAUGGCACCGCUCAGCCUCCCUUGGCUCUGUCAUUGCCGAAUCGGGACGGCUGAAGAAAGUGUCGGUUAAUGAUUGAUGGUACAAAGAAGUUUCGGACUUAAAUAGCGGAAAUUUCUUAAAUCAAAAGUGCAUUUGAAUUGACAGAAAAUCUGUCGACUAGUCAAACAGAAAGCCACGGCCAUUGGGAACGAGACACAAAGGAAAUGAUAGGCAUAUUGUAGAAAAGUUAUAUUUAUUAUUCCCUCCGUUUUAUUGAAAGUAUCAUAUUUUCAUUUUAAAAUGUUUCAAAAUAUUUGUCAUUUUACUAAAAUCAAAGUUACUUUUGAUCUCUUUUUAUUAAUGUUAACCUCACAUUUAUUUAUAUUUCAUACUAAAUUCAAAUUUGAAUCUUGAAUUUUCGAAGGUUUUUGAAAACAAAUCCUCUAACACUGCUAUUGACAGGUGUUGAGUCUGUGUAAUAAUAAAUACUUACUUAAAAAAAUAUUAAUUUUAUAUAUAAUGGUGAGUAGGAUUGAAUCCAUAGGGAUUGGGGAUAAUUUGUUUCUUUUAGAGUACAGAGUAUGGGGGAUUUUUAUAAAAAUGAGAAUAAUUAAACAAUUCAAACAAAAAGACCUAACUGAUAAUUUAUUAAAAUUGAAACAAUAAUAAAUAAACUCUAGCCAAUAAAUAACUUUGGAAAUAGUUCAUUCAAUUGAUCAUGGAUGUAACAAUAAUUUCAUUUAUUUACUGAUCAUUUAUUUACUGACAAAUAAGUUAUAACUGCCAAACACGCGAUGACAGUCAACUUUUCCUUAUUGUAUUGGUAAUUAAGGUAUAACUGUUAACAACUGCCCUAAUCAAAAAAUAACACUAGGUACAACCUUAGAGUUUAAUUUUCCAAUUGUCUUAAGAAUUAAAAAAUCCUUAUUCUAACCAAAUAACACGCUACAAUAGUUAUUUUAAGUUAACCCAUAUGUUCCCCUAACACAAAUUCAAUCAUGCCAAUUACCACUAGUUUAAAGCAAUUAAAUAAUUACGAAUUUAAUUACUCUAGUUGAUAUGAGGUUAUUAGAUUAAUUUAAAUACCAGGCCCUUGAUAUUCAAAUAACAUAAUAAUCAUAAGAAAUUAAAUUAGAAAACAUACGAAUGCCAAUAAAUAAAAGAAACAAAUGAAAACAAUUAAAUCUCACAAUUAUAGAUGAACCAAAUCCUUUAUUAUCCCUUGACUAGCAAAAGAAAUUAGCCGCUCAUCGUUGGGAAAAAUCUCAAUGCAAAAUUAUGGUGAAUCUCGAUGGACAUGCGGCCACCAAAAACUAAGAACUAAAGUCUAUCGUUUCUCUCUCUUUUGAAGCAAAGAGUCAUGACCCCUCCCUCCCCCAGUCCCCCAAAAUUCUUUUCUUUCAGAAGUACUAGUCAAGCGAGAAAACCAGCCGUCUCAAUUCCUACUUUUUCUCCUAGUUUGUAGCAUGCUAAAAUGAAGUAAACUCCCAAGUGGAAAAGGAAGCUUCAAACGAUAAUUUUCAUUACUCCCUCCCUUUUUUUAUAACAGACGUUUGCACAUCAAUUAAGAAAAGUUUUUCAUUGCUUAAAUCUGUACACUACUUUUCUUUUGUACCCUCAUUAAUUGUCCAAUUCACCCAUGUUUUCUCUCACUAGAGUACUAAAUGGUGCUGUUUUACUAGGCCAAAAGUAGUAAUUAAGAACCCUGUAUUGGAAAAGAGAGAUAAAAGGGUAAAAUUGUGAAAAAAUAAUUAAUACUGUAUGGGGAUAAUAAAACGACAAAUAAAAGUACACUAGAGCAAAUUUCUUAAACGUCAGUUAUAAAAAAAGGGAGGGAGUAUUUUCUAACUAAAUCCUAUAACUAAUAAAGCUAUCUCAUAAAUUUUCAGUCAAAAUUUGCUCAAAGUUUGACACGAACUACGAAACCUUUGCUCGCAUGAAAAAUCCGGAGCUUCUCGGACUUGACAACAGAUAUUGACCGCGUCCACAUCAAACUAGUUCAAAAUAUUCUGGAAGAUUGUCCCUUUAACCACUUUUUCUCCACUUCCCUAUAACUAGUACCAAAUACUAUUGGAGAUUGCAGAAUAUUGUGUGUAUAUUUUGUGCAUAUAUUUGGGCUGUAAUUGCGUAAAGAUAGGAGCUCUGUUUUUGGUAGUUAUUCUUUGGUAAUUGUUUUGGUAGUCGAGAUAGAGUAGGAAUUGAUUUCCUUUUGGUAGUUACGGUAGAAUUAGGAACCAUUACCUUUUUCGAUUUUGGCUUUGCUUUGUAUAUAUUUUGGGGCCUGAGGGUCAUGAAAGGAUGGGAAGAUUUUUUCCACAAUUUCUUUUCAUGGUAUCAGAGCUAUGAACGACGACACGAAGAAACAGAAUGGUGAAGGAAGAAAAUUUGUCUCACCAUACAUCUUGACGGCGAACGACAAUCCUGGGAAUAUUAUCACCCAGGUACAAUUGAAAGGGGACAACUACGAUGAAUGGGUUCGAGCAGUGCGAACCGCGUUGAGAGCCAAGAAGAAGUGUGGCUUUAUUGAUGGAAUGGUGAAGCAACCCGAUGAGGAUUCUCCCGAUCUGGAGGAUUGGUGGACUGUGAAUUCAAUGGUGGUAUCAUGGAUUCUCAAUACCAUAGAACCAACUCUACGAUCUACCAUAACUUAUAUGGAGAUCGCAAACGAUUUGUGGGAAGAUAUCCGAGAAAGGUUUUCUAUUGCUAACGGGCCUCGAGUUCAACAGAUCAAAGGGGAACUUGCAGAGUGGAAACAGCGAGGACUUCCAAUUGUGACCUACUAUGGAAGGUUGAAGCAAUUAUGGGAAGAACUUGCGAACUAUGAUCAGAUUCCGACAUGUCAAUGUGGAAGAUGCACGUGCAAUCUCUCAGUUCAAUUUGACAAGAAGCGCGAGGAAGAAAAACUCCACCAAUUCUUGUUGGGUUUGGACGACACGAUGUAUGGAACGAUUCGUUCCAACAUUCUAAGCACUGAACCGCUGCCUAGUGUCAGCAAGGCAUACUCUUUGAUAUGUCAAGAGGAGCGUGUCCGGAAUAUGUCAAAAGAAAAGGAGGGACGUGGGGAACCCAUGAGCUUUGCUAUUCAUGCCAACACAGGAGGCAGAAGACCUGGAACUGGGACAAAGGAUAAGCCAGUUUUAUGCUCAUACUGCAACCGUGGUGGACAUGAUGCUGAAAGCUGUUUUCAACUCAUCGGAUAUCCUGAUUGGUGGGGUGAUCGGCCCAAGGGGAUUGGACGCGGAUCAGGACGUGGACGCGGGAACCAAAAUUCAGGACGCGGACGUGGGAGUGCACCUAGAGCUAACUCUGCUCAGAUGGUUAGUCAGUCCUCCUUGUCGGCAGAAGCUGCAAAAGGGGAACAUGCAGCGCAUGGAUUGAUGAGUAGCGACCAGUGGGCUGCCUUUUAAGUUUGCUAAAUUCUUGCAAAUCGGGUACCAAUGAGAAGUUGUCUGGUAAGAAUUCUUUGAACUGGAUAAUUGAUUCAGGCGCCUCCCACCAUAUGACAGGAAGUUUAGCAUGUAUGACUGAUUUGAAAGAAUUAUUGGGCUGUGCAGUGGGGUUGCCGGAUGGCAACCAAACAAUGGCCUUAAAAGAAGGGUCGGUUCGUUUGGGUGAAUACAUAAAGUUGAAAAAUGCACUUUAUGUCCCAAACUUGAAUUGCAAUUUAAUUUCAGUGUCACAAUUGCUUGAUGAAUUAGAUUGUUUUAUCCUAUUCACUAAAAAAUUAUGCGUUAUACAGGACCCUGCUUCGAGGAUGGUGAUUGGAGUGGGUGAACGACGCGAAGGGCUUUACUACCUCAAGUCUAUGGCAGAAAUCAAGGCAUGUAAUGCAAAUCGUCUAGAAACCAUUGACCUGUGGCAUAGGAGAAUGGGACAUCCAUCUACAAAAAUAGUAGAGUUACUUUCUCAGGUUAAUUCUGGUGGUAGUAGUUUAGUUAAAGAAAAACCAUGUGAUAUUUGUUUAAGGGCCAAGCAGACUAGGGCAGCAUUUUAUUCUAGUGAAAAUCAAGCAAAUGAAAUUUUUGAGAUGAUUCAUUGUGAUCUAUGGGGACCUUAUCGAACUCCUGCUUCAUGUGGUGCAUCAUAUUUUUUAACCAUUGUUGAUGAUUGUUCAAGAGCUGUGUGGAUUUAUUUGUUAAUGGUUAAAUCUGAAGUGGAACGUGUACUUCGAAAUUUCUUUGCUAUGAUCAAACGUCAGUACAACAAGGAUGUGAAAAUUGUUAGAAGUGAUAAUGGCAAGGAAUUCACCUGCUUGAAAGAUUAUUUUGCUGAAAAUGGGAUGAUCCAUCAGACUUCAUGUGUGGGAACACCUCAGCAAAAUGGACGUGUUGAGAGGAAACAUCGUCAUAUUCUGAAUGUAGCUAGAGCACUGCGAUUCCAAGCAAAUCUUCCCAUUAAAUUUUGGGGAGAAUGUGUGCUGACCGCUGGAUAUUUAAUAAAUCGGACUCCAUCCAAACUCCUGGGGAAUAAGACACCUUACGAAUGUUUGUUUGGCAAACCACCCAGUUACAAGCAUAUUCGAAUUUUUGGGUGUCUGUGCUAUGCUCGAGACUUGAAUCGAGACAAGGAUAAAUUUGGGAGUAAGAGUCGGCGUUGUUUGUUUGUGGGAUAUCCUUUUGGUAAGAAGGGAUGGAGAUUGUAUGAUCUUGAUACCAGUGAACACUUUGUUUCGCGAGAUGUGGUAUUUUCAGAGAAUGAGUUUCCAUAUGAUAGUGCACCAGAUGCACCUCGAGGUGUUCCGGGGCUAAAUUCUUUUGAAGUCUUUGAUCGCACCAUAGAGGAAGUGGUUGAUAAAAGAGAAGACAUUCUGAUAGAAGAUAUUCCAAGUGAAACAUCAGAAAUCACAAACCGGGUUCACAGUGAAGAGAAUAACGAAGAAAGAGAGGGUGCUGGAACUGAAGAGAUUGAGGUAGUUGAUGAACAACUUGGGCGAGGUCAUCGAAUAAAGCGCUCAUCUAGUCGUCUAAAAGAUUAUGUGACAUAUACUGCUAGACGCAUAAGCCCUUCUGCAUGUUUACCCACACCAAUUCCAUUCUCAGGUACUCCUUAUCCUAUAGCGCAUUAUGUGAAUUGUGAUAAAUUUUCUAUGUGUCAUCGAUCAUUCUUAGCAGCAGUAACAACUGGUAAAGAGCCAACCUUUUAUGGUGAGGCGGUGAAGGAUUCUCGAUGGAGACAAGCUAUGGCAAGUGAAAUUGAGGCGCUUGAAAAGAAUGGGACAUGGACAGUGGAAGAUCUACCACCAGGAAAGAAAGCGAUCGGUAGCAAAUGGGUGUACAAAAUCAAGUAUAAUUCUGAUGGAACAAUUGAGCGGUAUAAGGCACGAUUGGUGAUUCUUGGCAAUAAUCAGGUUGAGGGGAUUGACUACAAUGAGACGUUCGCUCCUGUUGCAAAAAUGGUAACAGUUCGAACUUUCUUGUCUGUGGCAGCAGCGAAGGACUGGGAACUCCACCAAAUGGAUGUUCACAAUGCAUUUUUACAUGGAGAUUUAGCAGAGGAAGUGUAUAUGAAGAUGCCUCCGGGUUUUGCAACUCCCCAACCAGGAAAGGUAUGUCGAUUGCGAAAGUCUCUUUACGGGUUGCGACAAGCUCCAAGGUGUUGGUUCGCUAAACUCACUAAUGCCUUGCAGCGGUAUGGCUUUACUCAAUCUUAUUCUGAUUAUUCGUUGUUUACUCUGAAUCAAAACAACAUACAAAUAUGUAUUCUGGUGUAUGUUGAUGAUCUUGUGAUUGGGGGAAAUAAUAGUGCUGCAAUUCAGAAAUUUAAGAAAUAUUUAUGUCAGUGCUUUCAUAUGAAAGAUUUGGGAGUAUUGAAAUAUUUCUUAGGUAUGGAAGUUGCCAGAAAUAAGAGUGGCAUUUUUCUUUGUCAACGCAAAUAUGCGUUGGAUCUUAUUACUGAAGUUGGUUUAUUGGGUUCCAAACCAACUAGUUUUCCGAUGGAGCAGAAUCAUCGCUUGGCAAUGGCGGAGAGCAUGCCCUUAACAGACCCAGAAAAGUAUAGACGUUUAGUCGGAAGAUUGAUCUAUUUGACACUUACACGACCUGAGUUGUCUUAUGGUGUGCAUGUUCUUGCUCAGUUUAUGCAAAAGCCAAAAGAAGAACAUUGGGAAGCAGCUUUGCGCAUGGUUCGUUACUUGAAAGGUAGACCUGGUCAAGGUAUAUUUCUCCGAUCAGACUGCAAUCUACAGUUGCGCGCAUACUGUGAUUCUGAUUGGGCAAGUUGCCCAUUAACUCGUCGCUCACUCACUGGAUAUUUUGUUUUGCUGGGAAACUCACCCAUUUCCUGGAAAACUAAGAAGCAACAUACUGUGUCCAGGUCAUCUGCUGAAGCGGAAUAUCGAUCUAUGGCCACCACGAUUUGUGAACUAAAAUGGUUGAAAGGGUUGUUGGGUUCUCUAGGGGUAAUGCAUUCUAGACCUAUGAAACUUUAUUGUGACAGCCAAGCAGCCAUGCAUAUUGCGGCAAAUCCUGUGUUUCAUGAACGAACAAAGCAUAUAGAAGUUGACUGUCAUUUUGUGCGCAAUGAAGUUCAAAAUGGAAAUGUAGAAACUACAUAUGUACGUAGUUCAGAGCAGUUAGCCGACAUUUUCACCAAGGCGCUUGGGAAACAACAGUUCGAGUAUCUUCUUUACAAGUUGGGCGUUCGAGAUCUCCACGCACCAACUUGAGGGGGGGUAUUGGAGAUUGCAGAAUAUUGUGUGUAUAUUUUGUGCAUAUAUUUGGGCUGUAAUUGCGUAAAGAUAGGAGCUCUGUUUUUGGUAGUUAUUCUUUGGUAAUUGUUUUGGUAGUCGAGAUAGAGUAGGAAUUGAUUUCCUUUUGGUAGUUACGGUAGAAUUAGGAACCAUUACCUUUUUCGAUUUUGGCUUUGCUUUGUAUAUAUUUUGGGGCCUGAGGGUCAUGAAAGGAUGGGAAGAUUUUUUCCACAAUUUCUUUUCAAAUACCAAAUAUGAAUAGAAUAUAUUAAUUAAUACAAUAUUUGACUAAAAUUAAGAGAAAAAUAAUUAUAAAUUUAAUAAGAAAAAUGCAACCUAUCAACUAUCAAUCCUCUAUUUUUAAAAUGUUGGAAUUUCAAAAUGCAACAAACAUUUAACACCUCUUCAAUGACUAAAUAGAAAAAAAUAUGUUUUGUCCAUGCAAAGCAUGACACGUAACAUCCAAGCUAAAGUGAAUACGUGUUAGUAGCAGAUAGGUCAAGUGCAGGAGAAUGAGGAAUGGGGCCGAGCUAAUAAAAUAAUUAAAACUAAAAAGGAAAGUGCAAAUGUCAAAGGAAGUGGGGGCAUGAUGAUAAAUGCAGCCUGCACAAAGCAGGGUCCGGGGACGUAAAUGAAAGGACUGAAGUGCAAUUUUUUUGGGGCCAGUAUUUGGUCGGUAAUAUAUAGUGUGUUUGGAUAUCAAAAUUAUUUUAAAUAAUAUUUUAUUUACAUCACAAAUAAUUUGAAAUUUGUUUUUUUGACAAGAUUUCAAAGAGUUUGUAACAGUGGAAGUAAUGCAACCAAAUUAUAACUCUAAUCAACCCACAAAUGGUAUAAAAGGCUUGGAUAUAUUGUUCACCAAGGACUGAUUUGGCGUAUGACAAUAUAAAGAAAUAAAGUGUUCAUUAUACUUUGUCUUUUGCCUGUGGGGUCAAAAUUUAGUACAGCAAAAUUUAUUUUUUUUUUAAAAAAGUUACUAACAUUAUAUACAGGCUAUAAUUGUACCCUAUGAAUUUUUUUUUUAAAUGUUGCAAAAUCAAUUCAUUAUCAAUUUUGUUAAAUGCAUAUUUUUCAAUGUAAGUAACUGAACCUCUUGAAUUUUUUAAAAUAAUCUGCGAAUCAUCAUCAACUUGAUCUUCUACAGGUUUAUUUUAUAAAAUUUAUCUUUAUCCUAUUAUAAAUAAAAAUCAUAAUAACUUAAUUUCAUAUUAUAAAUAAAAAGUUUACCAUCCACUUGAAUAAUUCUUGUUUUUGAAGACUUUGAAGUUUGAAAAAAAAAUUGAUUUUCUCACUCCACUCAAAAAAGUUCACACCUUGUUUUUGGAAAUUUUAGAUGAAUUUAGUCUUGAACUAACUUUCAUAGAUAAUUUGAAAUAAAUUCAAAAUUAUUGUGAUAGUAAGAAUUAUGAAUCUUCAAUUUUUUUGGGGUCAAUGUAUAUAGGAAAUAUAAUUUGAUAAAAUAUAGUGGGAUCAAAUAAGAUGCAACUUUAAAAUUUUUUAAAUUUCGUAAACCUAAGAACUAAUUUUUCAAAGUUAAGUGGGGUCAAUUGACCCCACUUGCUUGUAUGUGGCUCCGUCACUGUCUUUUGUUGCCCCUAACUAUUUCCAAAACUUAUAUUUUUGGAAUAACAAAUAUUUGUAGGUGUCGCAGAAGUGUUCAUGUGUAUCAACUAUUAUUGGUUAAAACUUAGAGGCAAUGUCCAAAAUUGUCACUAAAUUAUUUAAAAUGUUACGAUUUGAUCACCCAAUUUUUUUAUGGCAAAAAAGGUCACUCAACUGAAAAAAAAACGCUAUUCAAAUCAUUUUGUCAAUUUGUAUAGGUAAAUCGUCCGGUUUCUCCCUCUAUUUAUCCUUGUAUCCAGAAAGACUACCAACACACACUGAAACUUCUCGUCGCACAUCACCAAAAUGCCACCAUUUUCACCAUCUUCCUGGAUUUUGACACCCUCCUCUCUAGUAUAGUUCUUCUUAACAGUGCUCCUUGUGAAAGUGCUGAGGGCGGUCUUAACAGCUGCUUCUCAUGAAAGAAUCCAUAAAGCAUUUUAAGUGAAUGCAACAAAAGUGAAGAAAGUAGAAUUGGAAAGGAAUAAAAAAGAAUAAUUGCAAAGAAAAAGAAAUCUUUUUUUGGAUUCAUUUUUCCUCUAUUUUCUUUAGGUAGAAAGAUAGAACUCUUUUCAUGAUUCAUUGGCCAUGGUCACCACCUCACCAUCUUGACCAACAUUCUCAAAUUGUUUCCUUAUAUAAAAGAUAAAACCCAAAGCAAAUGUCGACUUUUUUUUGUUUUAAAAAUUUGCCUAAAGGGUAUUGAGAUCUGAGGAGAUUACACGGGGAACUGAAAAUGGAAGCCAUCCAAGAAAAAUAUCUUUACCGUGUGUUUGUCCGUCUAUGUUAAAGGGAGAGAGAGAGAGAGAGAAUUUGUUUGCUGAGAGACAGAGAAAGGAUAAAGAUUGGGGGAGUUAAAGAAAAAGAGGGAGAGACUAGAGAUGAGGCGGCGACAAAAUGACUCGACCAGGGAUGAGUGAGGAUUGAGGAGACAUUUUUUCCCAUGGGAGAAUGUUGGUCCAACACAAGUAACAGUGUAACCGGAUGGUUUACCGGUAGAAAUUGACAAAAUUAUCUCAAUGUCACUUUUUUCAGUUGAAUGACUUUUUUGACCAUAAAAAAUGUUAGACGAGCAAAUCGUGCCAUUUUGAAUAAUGUAGUAACUAUUUUGACUAUUCACUCAAAAAUUUAUUAAUAUUAGUAGAGCAAAUGACAACAAAUAUCACUAAACUUUUAAGUUCUACGUCUUUUGGUCAUUAAAUUAUUUUUUUAGCAGAAAAUGUCACUCAACUCUAUAAAGGGUGUUUUUUUUUUGUCCUUCCAUCUAAUUUUGGCGUAAAUUCUUAAAUUGUGAUGAAAAAAAAGGUUUUUCUACUAGAGGGAUUGUUUUUGGGGCUGAUUCUAGAAGUAGAAUCUUCGCAUUUAUGAAAUGUGAAGUCUUCGCAUUUGAUAAAUGCGAGGUUCAUGUUUUUGAAAAAAAAAAAUGAUAAAGGUUUUAGGCUUAAAAAAAAAAAAGAAGUGCCAAACGCUUGCAUUUGCUAACUAUCUUCCCGACUAAACUCAUCUUCAAAACCGCGGGCGGUUACUGCCUCGGUUACUGAUCAGACAUUCAAAUACAGUUCCUUUUUCCACACUUUGAACUAAUACUCUCCAAAUCAACAUCCCAUCUUUUAAACAAGAUCAUUUUACCCCUUUUAGUGCAAACUCACCUCGUUUACCUCAUGCGAGUUUUAAAAAUAAAAAGUGCUAUUCAACAUAUUGGAUAGCUCUCUCUUAAACCCAUGGUAAAACUAAAUAAUAUCACUAAUCUAACAAAUACUAAAUACCAACCCAAUUAAUAUUUCGUAGUUAGAAUUAGAUUUUUAAGAUAUUUGAAGUAAGCCUUAGGACAACUAAUUCUACGUCAACUACGCAUCAACUACUGUUAUUGUAUAUCUAGUACUCAAUUUUUUUUUCCGAAACGAUAGAAAUUUUAUAACAUGAAAAACUGUACACUUUUGGAGCAAAGGCUCCUAUCUUUACAAGAGUGCAUUUAGCACUACAAAGUGGCGUAGUCCCACUCCAUAUCACAAAAAUUCAAAAGAGCAAUUUUGCUCAAACUGUAGCAUAAGCUAUCAGUGUCUUCAUUCAAUCUUCCAAAAGAGCACAUUCGAAACCAUAGUGACAUUUGCUGGACGUCCUCCAUGAUAGCUUCUAUUGCUAUAGUCCAUGCUUUCCCAUUUUGAAACCGUGCCAGCAUGUUUUUGUUUUCAAACCGUAUGUUGAUUUUUCUCCAUCCUUUCCUUGCUGCCUUGACCAUGCAUAAUCUCACUGCCUCUGCCAGGUCUUGAUCUUUGUUUCCUGAUGGUCUCUCUCUUAGUGACCAGGCUGCUAACCCUUGGUUUGCAGCAGUCGAAGCUGUGAUGCCAAUGCCAAAGGAGUUGUAUUGCUUCUGGUGCUGGAUUGCGAGCUUCAGAGUUACAGCCUCAGCAUCUGCCUGUUCCCCUUGUCCAUUUCCAUGUUACCUUCUUGUUUCUGCUGUGCUCUUCCUCGGAUUGUGUUGAACUGCAUCCAUGUGUUCUUUCCAUUCCUUAGUUGCCUUUUCAUUUACUUUAAAAGGCUCCUGUUGUAAGGAGUUGAAGACUCUUGCAUUUCUAGCUUUCCAAAUCUGCCAUAGCACAUUAACUGUUAAGGCUAUGUGAUCUUCACCAUCGUUCCUAGUUCUUGCAUUCAUCAUCAUGUUCCACCACUGUUUGAAGCAUCCAGUUUGGUCUUGUAGUCCAUCCCAUUGUACCAAUGCAAAUUUCCAUAUUUCUUUUGCUUUCUUGCACUGCAAUAGUACAUGCUCAAUGGUCUCCACGCUCUCUCCACACCCACAACAAACCGGAUCUCCUUUCCUUGUUCUGUUGAAAAUUUGAGCCUUGACUGGUAGCCCAUUGUUGAUGUAUUUCCACACAAAUAUUUUCAUUUUGUGUUUAAUAGGCAUCUUCCAUAAAGCUUCCCAUAGUUCCCUGUUUGUUUGUUGAUAGCUGCAUCCCUCCUCUUUGCUUCUUUGUUUGUUAAAGCUUCCAUAUAUCUAGUACUCAAAGUUUAGUAAAAUUGUAGCUCUAUUAUCAAUGAAGUUGUACAAUGUCGUAUGCGCAUUACUUCUAUCAUUAUUAUUUGACUAGAUAAUAUUGUACAUCUUUGUCAAAGAAAAAUGUUAUUUUUAAACUAGAUGUUAAUAUGAUAAUUAACUAAUUCAAUAACUUGCUCAGCAAUAGGCAUAAUUAGAUAGCAUAGGAAGUGCUUGAAUUUAAAAAGCAUUUACAGCAGGCACAAAUCUAAUUAUGGGACCAGGUAAUAUUAGUGUUCUGUUAAUGUGAAAUUCAAGAUCAAUGGAUAAUAACCUAAAUAUUCAUUCUCUGAAAUUUUACAAAAUAAAAAACAAAACCCACACUCAAAAGAAAAACUAAAAUGGUUUGCUUGAAUAUAUAUAUAAAAAAAUAGAAAUGCAUGAGCAUGAAUUUAUUAAUAUUCAAAAACUAACAAAUGCGAGGUCUGAAGCAUUUUUUUUUUUGGGUUUUUGCAAGUCAAAAAUUCAAUGAUAAAUCGCAUCUGUGAAAUGCGAACUCAGUGAGCUCGCAUUUUGCAAAUGCGAACAUCACUUCACGGAAUGUUAUACUCAAAAAGCUGCAUUUGUAGAAAAAUUUUAAAUUUCAUUAUAAAAUUAGGAAUUUCUGGGUUAAAGAGAUGGAAAGCCAUGCAUGUGAUGUCCACAAGCAUUUUUGAAGAGUAAAAAUGUCUCACAAAUAUUUGAAGGACAAUUUGAGAAAGAAAAAAAAUGUUUUGGGAAUCAAUAUAGUUACAUCAGAUAAUUAGGGACUUUAACUAAAUUAUAUACAAGUCCCUAACCUAUAUUUAGUUUUCAAAACAAGAACAAAGGCACUCGGCCUUUACUUCAUCCUUACCAGCAUCUACUUAUCAAUAAAGAGAUUCAAACCCACUAAAAUAGUAUUUUUUUUCUGCCCACAAGAGUCAAAUGGAAUUGGUAUUCAACUCAUCUCUCUUACAUAUUAUUCUCAAUAAAGAACUCUCAUAAAACCAUCAAUUUCUUUUCUUUAGUCACUCAUAUUCUAGAUGAGAAGAAGAAGUAGAGAAAAGUUAGAGAAGAAAAGGGGUAGAGACGAAUCACUGAACAAAACAAGAACUCGGAUCCUUAAGAUAAGAACUCCUAGAUCUGGAAGGAUCGUAACGGUCCCCGUCAACAGAUAUUUUCAUCCAAAUAUCGGGGUAGUGAGAGAAAAAUGGUUCUAUGUAGUCACAGGCACUCUCAGCGUACUUCCUAGUCUCAGCAUAUUCCCGAUCAAUAAAUCUAAAUGUCAAAUUAAACUAAGUAAUGGAGAAAUUGAACUCUUGACUCAUUAGACGGAAGCGAAUCACAUUUGGGGUAUCUACAAUAUACCCCGUAGGCAAGUCGAACUCAAAAGUGUAGUAAAACUCUCUAACCAGUUCAACAAAACAGGACAGAAAAUGUCAAUAUAAGGUCGCCAACCAAUAGCGGUAAACAUCCGCUCAACCUUUUCCCUUAUACCCAGUGCACUCAUGAUAAGUUUGUCAAGACAUUUACAGGGAUGAUACGCUGCUCGGAGCACACAGCAUAUCGCUGUUUAUCAGCGGCUUUAGUGAGUUUAGAUGACCCCCAAAGUGAGAGGGUGUAGCAACAUGGACACCUUUACCCCUAUCUAGAUGUGUUCAGACACCCGAGGAAGACGGUUGGUUGAUAGGCUCAUUAACAGGAAUGGUGGGUUGAGGUGUAGUAGGUUGAUAUUUAGGAGUUUUAGACUUGGAAGUGGAAUUUUACUUAACCAUAGUCUCUACCAAUCAACCCAAUCAACAAGAGAAACAGAAUUCUACCGAAUAUAUGAAGCAAGUAAUCCAGAUGUGGCAACUAUGUCCAAUGCAACAAUCAACUCAAAAAGCACAGUUUAUUGCUCAAUUUAUCCACUCAAAGUCUUAGUAGAUGUCCCAAGCAAAUCAGUCAUUCAAUUAACAGGCAGAUUACUCCCAACAAUGUAAUUUAAUUCAACCAAUUAAUAAUGCAGCCACAGAAUCCUCAAUUUAGUCCAAAAAUUGAUUCCAGCAACUCAACACAAUAAUUUAGCAAAAUGAUUUUCAGUGAAGUCCAGAAUGCAACUGCAAAAAUUAAUACUCCAGAGGUUUGCCAAGUGAUUGAGACAAAGAGAUACCGUCACACCGUUGACCGGCAACAAUUCUUGGCGAUAAGUGAGCCGCAAAGAGAGGCGAUGGUGACUGGAAGGGCGACUCCUAGGUGGUUACAGACUGCGCGGAUGUAGGAGGGAGAGGGGCGUUGAAAUGCGACGAACGACUGGGGUUGAUAGCGUUGGUGGAGGAUGAGGCAGCUAAUGAAGUGCGGUGACGACAGUGGCGGCGUGCAAGGGAUGGUGGCGGAGUUCACGUUAGUCACUUGAAGCGCGACAGUGGCGGCGGUCAACUUGGGGGAGGGAGCGACAACGAAGAAACAGAGAGACGGACAGAGAGAGAGAGAGACAGCGAGCUCUAGCGACGGCGUGCGUCUAUCGAUUGAGCGGUGAAGCAGCGAUGGAUGUCUAGGUGGGGGUUGGGCUUCGGCCGAAAGGGAAAAAAAAGGAAAUAGGGGAAGAAGAAAGAAAGAAAGAGAAAGAAAGAAAAAGAAAGGAAGAAAGAAAGAAAAAGAAAUAGGUGCGGCGAUUUUUUUUUUAUUUUAAAUUUAAAAUUAGAGAUUUGAAAUUUAAAAUUUGAAUUUAAACAAAAAUGUAAAAAAAAUUUCAAUUUUUUAAUUAAUGAAUUAUAUAUAUAUAUAUACAUACCUUUCUCUCGAACACGACGUGAGCACGUUCUGGACGUAAGAACCCUUCUAAUGAAGAGUUGUUGAAUUAAAAGCUACCACAUGCUCGGUUGAUACAGGUGCAUUAUAAGGGUGGAAACCCUUCUAAUGGGGAGUUCGAGAAUUGCUCAUUACCACGCGCCCUAUUGACCCGGGCGCGUCAUGUCAGUCAGUCCGCUCUAAGAUCGAAGAAAGAGCUCUCCAGGUGAUUUGACGCGGGCACGUCAUGAGGGUGCAAACCCUUCUGAUGAAGCACCUGGGAAUUGCACAUUACCACGCACCCCAUUGACGCGGGAGUGUCACGUCGGAGGAACACCUACUAAUCAUCAAAAAUGAAAAAUUAAAUCAAAAAUUUGAGAAAACUUUUAGAAAACAUAUUGAAGCUAUCAACUAGAACUGAACAAAGAAGUAAAAAAAUUAGGUUACCUCCUAAUAAUCGUCUUUCUUUAAUGUGUUUCGCUAGACAUAGUUAGUCGCCCUUAACAUUCCUGAGACGGCUCUUUGAGGUGCAGCAUCUCUCCCUCUUCCACUGGCAAUCCUUCAUAAUAAAAUUUAAUACGGUGGCUGUUGACGACACAUUUCUUCUCGGUCUUUAAAUUUUGUAUUUCUACUGCACCAAAGUGAAAAACAUUAGUCACUACAAAAGGAUCAAUCCACCGAGAACACAGUUUACCUGGAAAUAACUUAAGUCACGAUUGGUAGAGCAGAACCUUUUGGCCAACGACAAAAGUUUUUCUUGAGAUCUGCUGAUCAUGAAAAGAAAAACUUUAUUUUUCUCCAUAUAAAUGGUCGCUCUUUAGUUUGUCCCUCUUUGCUUUGGGCCAAUCUGCAGGUAAUUUGCCAAUUAUUAGGUAAUUAACUAAAUCAGCAUACCAAGGCAAUUUAGAAUUUAGCGAAAAUAAUUGUUCAUCAGGGAAUGUAUCCCUCAAUGGCACGUUCUCCUCUCCAACUGGUAUGCAACUUAAAUGGUCAGUUACCAAAUUCUUCGAGUCUCUUUUAUCCCUUAUUUCCAGAUCGAAUUCUUGCAAGAGCAAUAUCCACCUUAUUAGCCUCGAUUUUGCAUCUUUCUUCAUCGUCGAGUAUCUCAGAGUUGCAUGAUCAGAAUAUACAACAACUUUAAUUCCUAAUAAAUAUGACCUAAAUUUCUCUAAAGCAAAGACAACUGCUAAAAGCUCCUUUUUUAUGGUGGAGUAAUUCAAUUGAACUCAAUUCAAAGCCCUUGAUGCGUAGUAGAUGGCAUGGGUUGCUUUUCCUACUCUCUGUCCCAACACUGCUCCCACUGCAUGAUCACUGGCAUCACAUAUGAUCUCAAAUGGGAGAUUUCAAUCAGGAGGUUCGAUGAUCGAUGGCGAUGUGAAUAGCUCACUUAACUUGUCGAAUGCUCUCUCACACUCGACAUCGAAGUCAAAAGUUGCAUCUUUUUGUAAGAGUUUGAACAGGGCAGAUCCAAUUUUCGAGAAAUCCUUAAUGAACUUUCGGUAAAAACCUGCAUGUCCAAAAAAAAAAUACAUUUUCCGCACACUCGCGGGGUAAGGUAAAGCAGAUAAAAUGUCUAUUUUAACCUGAUCAACCUCAAUACCCUUAGAAGAUACUACAUGACAUAGAACUAUCCCGUACUCAACCAUAAAAUGACAUUUUUUCAAUUAAACACGAGAUUAGUUUCUAUACAUCUAAACAAGAUCAAUUUCAGAUUAUCUAGACAAUUAUCGAAACUAUCACCAUAUACACUAAAGUCGUCCUUGAAAAUUUUAAUAAUUUUUUCAACAUAUUCUGAAAAAGUGCUCACCAUACAUCUCUAAAAUGUCACAGGGGUAUUGCACAAUCCGAAAGGCAUUCACCUGUAUGUGAAAGUUUCAAACGGACACGUGAAGGUGAUCUUCUCUUGAUUCUCUGGUGCGAUUGCAAUUUGAAAAUACCCUGAAAAUUCGUCCAAAAAAUAAUAGUGAGCUCGAUAAGCUAACCGCUCAAUCAUUUGGUCAAUAAAAGGAAGGGAAAAAUGGUCAUUUUUCGUGACAGCGUUUAAUUUUUGGUAGUUGAUACAUUGCCGCCAUUCGGUGGGUUUGCGUACUGGCAUAAGUUCACCCUUCUGAUUGGCCUCCACUGUCAUUCCUGUAUCGGGUUACCUGUAUCGGGCUCACCCACGGACUGUUUGAUAUUGCGUAUACGAUUCCCACAUCUAGCAAUUUUAGUAUUUUUUUUUCACCAUUUCCAUCAUGAGAGGAUUGAGACUCCUUUGAACUUGCUUUACAGGUUUGGCAUCCUUUUCGAGCCUUAUUCGGUACAUACACAUAGAGGGACUGAUCUCUUCAAUGUCAGCGAUGGUCCAUCCUAUUGCCUGCUUAUACUCUCUAAGAACUCGGAUUAACUUGUCUUCUUGGGUUUCCAACAGUCUCGCCAAGAUAAUCACCGGAAGCAUUUCUUUCUCGCCCAAGUAUGCAUAUUUCAAGUGUUUCGGUAAAGGUUUUAAUUCAAGUACAGGUGCCUGCACCACAGACGAUAGUACCUUUUGGUAAGAUUCGGGUAUAAAAAUAGGUGUGAGCUCAUACAUUGUCGUCGUGGUUGGCAACGAGUGUAACGCUCCAAUCAUACACUUCAGAUCUUCACUCAAUUCUACCUCAUGAAUUGUGUCUAACUCGAAGUGUUUGGUUAGAACAACUUCUAAUUCAUUCCUACCCACAAAUUCAAAUACUACCUGCACCGCAGGAUCAAUAGCACUUACGAAAAAAAUAGAGUUAAAAUUAAAGUUCGAGAGGUAUUUCAUGGUUUCAAAAAUAUUGAAAUGAACAAUUUUUUCAUUAAAUUUUAUGAACAAGAUACCCUUAUUAACAUCAAUUUUUGUCUGGAUUGUGCUAAAAAGGGUGUACCUAACAACAAAGACGAGGGGUCGAGGGAAUGAUCAUCAUCUAUGUCAAGUACAUAAAAAUUAUAUGGGAAUACCAAUUCUUUAAUUUUAACCAACACAUUCUUGGCCAACCCAUCAGUAUAUUCAUUUGUUCGGUCAGUUAAUCGAAUUAUUAUCUCAGUUUCUUUUAACGGACCAAGGUUCAAAGAAGUAUAGAUAGAUUUAGGCAUUACAUUGAUUGAUACUCCUAAGUCCAAUAUGGCAUUUCUAAUCAAAGUAUUACCUAUCCUACAGGGGAUAGUCAACAUACCUGGAUCUCUACAUUUCAGUGGAAGAUUCUUCUAUAGAAUCGCUGACACAUUCUCCCCCACAAUGACUCUUUCAUCUCCCCUCAAUCUUCUUCGUUGACGCACAAAUCUUUCAAAAACGUCGCGUACUUUGGCACUUGUUUGAUUGCAUCUAGUAGGGGAAUGUUGAUUUCUACCUUGCGGAAUACCUCCAAGAUCUCUUUCUCUUUGUCCUGCUUUUUCGAUUUCUCCAACCUGCUAGGAAUGGGAGGCGAAUUAGUUUUAACUUCAAUGAUUAGGUCAGGGAGUACCCCUGGAUUUUUACUGUUUCUAUCCUCCUCCUCAAGCUCUUUCUCGAUCUUUUCUUCAUCCUUGUCCUUUGGAGUCACGAGUUCGGAUCUCUGAAUUUUCUUCCCGUUCGUUAAGGUCAUUGCACUUACAUUCUUUGGAUUCAGUUCAAGUUGAGAUGGCAAUUUUUCGUGAACUUGGGAUUCCAGACGGUUGAUUGAUAUUGCCAUCUGACUUAUCUGAAUCUGCAUUGCUUGCAUCUGAUCCAUUUGAUUCCUUAAAUUUUAUAAGUCAGAUUCUGUCUUUUGUUGACAUUGCAUAUUACUAACAAUUAAUUGUUUCAUCAUUUUUUCUAAAGACAGGCUUGAACUUGGAGGAGGUGGUGGCUGCCGAGGUUAGUAUUGCUGUUGAUAUCUUUGCUGUCUAUUCAAUGCAAAAUUUGAUUGUCUAUUUCCUCCAUAACUGAGGUUAGGGUGAUCUCUCCAACCCGGAUUAUACAUGUUCGAAUACAGAUCAUAUGGCUUUCUUGGCGCAGGCGCAUGACCAACCAUGUUUACUUGCUCUACACUUUCUUCUUAAAUCAUUGGAUACAUCUCUGUAGAAUGGCCCAUGGCAGUACAAAUCCCACAUACCUUGGCUUGUGGUGCAUUUUCUACAGUCAAUUGCCUAACAAAAGAUGUUAACUCGAAUAGUUGUUACAGGAUAGAGGAUGUUUCUAUCUCAUUUACUCUAUGUAUCAGGACAUCCUCCCUUGUGCCAAACUGCUGCGAGCUCUCGGCUAUCCCUUUAAUCAACUCCCAUGCUUCUCGAGAAGUUUUGUUUACCAACGCCCUUUCACUUGCAGUAUCAAUAAUACUCAUGUCUCUAAAAAGUAGCCCCUCGUAAAAGUACUGGAUAAGCAAUUGCUCGCUUAUUUGGUGUUAAGGGUAUUUGAUGCAUAACUUCUUGAAUCUCUCCCAGUAAUCAUAGAGCGACUCCCCUGGAUAUUGUUUGAUAGCGCAUAUCUCCUUCCUCAGACUUGUAGCUCGAGACGUAAAAAAAAAAAUUUUCAAUAAUUUUUUUUUAGCUGCUCCCAAGUGGUGAUACUACCUGGAGGUAGGUAGUACAACUAGUCUUUUACUGAGUCCUUGAGAGAAAGGAAAUGCCCUCAUUUUUAUUUGUUCUUCCGUAAUUUUCGAAAGUUUCAUACUGUUACAAAUAAUAUCAAACUCUUGAAAGUGCUUAUGAGACUCAUCACCUGAUAAAUCAUGAAAAGAUGGUAAAAGAUAAUUAGACCAGAUUUUAACUCAAACAGGGUGUUAUCAUUUAAAUUUGAAAAAGUAAUGCAUAAGCGCUGCUGAUUUAAAUUAGGAGCAGCCAGAUCCUUCAAUGUUCAUGCAUUAGCCAUAGUGAUUUCUUCUCGAUUCGGGUCACUCGAAAUAUCAUCAAGCGAACUUGUUAAUUCAACUUCUGGAUCAAGUCUCCGAGAUGCAGCACUAGAUUGCUCUUCCCUGAGCUGUCUGGUCUCUUUUCGCUUUUGGCACGUGAUCUUCUCUACUUCAGGAUCAAAAAUUAAUUUACCCGUACGAGAAGAACGAGGCAUAAACUAGAAAAAUACUAGAAAAUUAAAACGAGAAUUAACUUAAAAAGAAACAAAUUAACUAACGACAGUCCUUGACAACGGCGCCAAAAAUUGACAGGUGUCGAGUUUGUGCAAUAAUAAAUACCUGUUCAAAUAAAGUAUCGAUUUUGUAUACAGUGGUAAGCAGGGUCGAAUCUACAGGAAUUAGGGGUAAUUCGUUUCUUCUAGAAUUCAAGAUAUGGGGAAUUUUAUAAGAAUUAACAAUAAGCUAUGCUACUCGAAUAUUUCAAUUAAAUAAAAAUUAAAUGACAAAUUAUAAAAAUUCAAAUGGUAUUGGACAAACUCUAGUCAAGAAGCAACUUCGAAAUGGUUUUCCUAAUUGAUCAUCGAUGUAAGAAUAAUUCCACUUAUAAACUGAUAAAUAAAUUAUAAUUGUCAAACAAGCGAUGACAAUCAAUUUCUCCUUAAUUAUCGAUAGCCAAGGUACGACCGUUAGCUACUACCCUAAUUACGAAAUAACUCUAGGUACGACCGUAAAAUUCAAUUCCCCAAUUACCUUACGAAUUAGAGAAAUCUGUUCUAAUUAAACAAUACACUACGAGGGUUGUUUCAAAUUAGUCCGUAUAUUUCUCUGACACAAACCAAUCAUGCCAGUUUUCACUAGUUUUGAAUAAUUAAACAAUUACAGAUUUAAUUACUCUAAUUGGUUUUAGGUUAUCGAAUUAGUCUAAGAUCUGGGCCCCGGAUAAUUGAAUAAUAUGACAACCAUAAAAAUAUAAAGUAGGAAAUAUACGAAUACCAGAAAAUAAUAGGAAAAAGUAAAUUAGUUUGAUCUCACAAUUUAAGUUGAACCAAGUCCUCCGUUGUUCAUUGAUUAGAAAUAAAAGUUUAGUUCAUCUCUAUUGAGAGAAUCCCAUGCAAAAUUGCUGAAGUAAUUGUCGCGUACAUCGUCUCUCAAUUGAAAUGAAAAAUCCGAUGGAAUAAGAAUAAGGAAAGAUUACAAAGUCAAAAGAAUGACUAAUGUUUCUUCCUUGGGAUCAGUCAUAUGAUGGAAUCAGAAAAUAGGAAUUAGCCAAAAGCCAAAAGCUAGAUUCCUCCUAUUUUCUUAUGGCGGCUGGCUCUCCAAAAGCUAAGUGGAGUCCUCAUCUCAAUUGACUUCUGUCUCCUAUUCAGUCGCAGCCAACAAACUAGGAAAUCUCCUAAUUGGCAAGCUUCCUUUUUGUGCUAAACUACCUUUAUCAAUUCAAAUCAAACAAUCAACUAAUGGAAUGUUUGCGGCCCCAUGUUGCACUUCCAAUUGGCAGUUGGUGUUACGCGCCUUUCUCGCAUUUUCUGGACACGUUGAGACCUGACUUGACGCUACUACGCCAAACAGCAAUUGUAGUGGAAAAUUUGCACCUUUUUACCACAUUUUAUUCCAACUCCCUGCAAUCAAUACAAAUUUUCAAAAGUGAGUAGAAUCCACCAAUUAAUACACAUUUGGUAAGAUAAUAUGAGAGAAUUAAUUAUAAAAUAAAUGACAAAGUUGUGACCUAUCAUUUAUGCCAAAUAAAAGUCUUCCCAUACACAUGAUAUCAGCAUGGUACUACAUAUCUAUAAACAAACAUUUACAUAUCCGAUUUCUCUAGUUUUUUUUGGCAAGAGAGAUGAUAAGACUAUUAAAGAAGCCUUUGCCCAUGCGGAGAAGCUUUGCUGCAUUCUUCGCAAACCUAUGGAAUAUGUCAGGUAUAAUAGCUUCUCCAAAAUGACUUGCGAGUAUGGGUUCGUAAACUCUGUUUGUUUUAGAUAUCAACGUGUCAUAGCAUGAGUUAGUACUACUCUGUUUGUGUGUUAAGAGAGAGAUAGAGAGACUGACUGACUUGGUAAGAUGAAUUCUUUGCGUAGCUUGUGUCACCUUCGCCCCUAUUCAUAUGCAGUAUUUGUUGGAGUUCCAUUUCUGAUCUCUAGUUCUUAAUCGAAUCGGGACUGCUGAAGAAAGUGUCGGCUAAUGAUUGAUAGUAGAACGAAGUUUGGGACUUAAAUAGCGGAAUUUUCUUAAAUUCGUGUACUAACUGACUACAUACGGGUGUGAAGUGCAUUUGAAUUGACAGAAAAUCUGUCAACUGGUCAAAGAGAAAGCCACUUCACACACAUACGUAGCUAGUUAGUAGAUGGAUUAAUGAAAGAGAAAGGCACAGCCAAUGAGAACGAGACACGAAGUAAAUGGUAUGCAUAACACUGAAAAGUUGUAUCACUUCUUCCAUCCCAUUAAAAGUAUAAUAACUUCUAUUUUGAAACAUUCCAAAAUGUUUGUCAAAUUAAAGUCACUUUUGAUUUUUUUUUCAAUGUUGUCCUCAUCUUUAUUGAUAUUUUAUACUAAAUUCAAAUUUAAAAUUUGAAUUUUUAAAGGUAAUUGUGGAAACAAAUCCUCUAACAACACUAUCAAUCCACUAUUAUUAAAAAAUUGAAAUCCUAAAAUGCAACAAACAUUUCGGAGAGAGUAUAAUUCAAAGAAUUAUAUGUAAAACGUAGGCACGACAUGUUUUGUCCGUGUGAAACAUGACACAUAACGUCCAAGCUGAAAUGAAAACGUGUUAGUAGCGUAGAGCACUAAUAGGUAGUGUUUUGAAACCUAAGUUGAACCGGCCGGUUCAACCGGUUAGAUCGCGAACGAAUCACGGCUCCAGUCCUAGCACCUUCCACAUACAUCAUUUUCACACUUUUUUAGGGACAUUUGAGGGGAUGUUGCAGCAGCAUUUUGGGAACUCAAAGACUGUUUUUCUUGAUUCUCUGGCAACAAGGAACAACUAGAAAUAUAGGAGUAAAGACUUAGUUUUCUUGAACAUAUUUCUCUAGUUUUUUUAGUUAGCUUAGUCUUUCAUUUUUCUUGGAGAAUUCUUGGAGAACUCUUGAUGUGCUCAAUAUUUUGAAGACAAUGAAGAUAAUGGAAAUUGAAAACUCUUGUUUCUUCAAUUGAAUGAGUAAUUUUUUCACUCCUUCUUUCUUUAUUGUUGGAUUUAUGUUUGGUUGCUGAUAGGUUGCAUUGUUGUUAUUAAUUUUGUGAUUAUUUCCUCUUUGAUUUUAGCCAAAUAUUGUAUUAAUGGAUAAAUUCUACUCAUAUUUGCUAAUUUGUGCUAAUUGUAGGAAUAUGACGAGAAAAGGAGUAAAAAGUGGUUUAAUGAAAAUUUUUAGCCAGUUCUUUGUGGGCUCGUUCAAAUCCUACUGUCAAGUCUCAGAGACUCGAGAUUUUACUACGAGUGGUAGUAUCCCAGUUCGAAUGGAAGUUCUUAGAAGCAUGUUUCCUUAUCUGAGAUAAUUGGUCUUUCUUUUUGUAUUAAGAAACAAAUGGGUUAUCUUUUGUCAAUUUAGGGAAUCUCCUUUUCUUUGGAGAAAAUUAGGAAGUAUUAGUAGUUUAGGAAAGUAAGAGACGUGAGAACAAGGAAGUCUUCUUGUUUGCGUUGGCUUUAAAAAGUCAUAGUUGUUUUGAGCGAAAGGGGUGAUUAGUCUCGGCAGUCGGCACCAAGGAAGAACGAAGAGUUUUUCUCUUCGUCUUUUCUUUUCUAUUGCUCCUUCUGUUGUCGAACCUCAGGCAACUUUCGUCAAUGAAAUUGCGUGAGUUAUUUUCAAUGGAAAGCAACUAAUCCCUUUUUCUAGUCAAUGGUCAAUUUGAAGAUACGGUUUCAAAUAUCUAUGAGAUUGAAUUAUUUUUAUUUAUUUCUUUUAUUCAUUAGUAUUCGUACGUCUUCUGUUUCAACUUCUUAUGAUUAUUUUGUUAUGUGAAUGUCAAGGAUUCGAUAAUUGAAUUAAUCUAGUAAUCUACUGCCAUAUUAAUCAAUUAAAUUCAUAAUUUUUUGAUUGAUUAAUACUAGUGGCAACUAGCGUGAUUUGUCCCAUGUUAGGGAAACAUAUAAUCUAACUUCAAUGAACCUUCAUAGUAUGUCUGUUAGUUAGGAUUGAGCUUUUCUAAUUUUUAAUGCAAUUGGAGAAUUAAAUCCUAUGGUCAUAUCUAGAAUUGUUUCUUGGUUAGGAAAAUAGUUAAUGGUCGUACCUUGAUUAUCGAUAAACUAAGGAAAAGUUGGCUAUCAGAACUUGUUGAUGGUUGUAACAAAUCUAUUAAUGAGUGAUUAAAUCAUCCUUGCAUCAAUGAUUAAUUGUAUGAAUCGUAUCUAAAAAGUUGUACCUUUGAUUAUAGUCAUAUUUAUUGUUGAUUUAAUUCUUAUUUAUUUCGUUAAUUGUUUCUUUAAUUGGUUAGUGAAUUAUUUCUAAAUUGUCUAAAAAUUCCCCUUACUUUAGGCUCUAAAAAGAGAAAAUUUUUUCAAUCCCUGUGAAUUCGCUCCUACUCAUCGCUAUAUACAAAAAUUUGUAUUUUAUUUGAAUAAAUAUUUAUUAUUGUACAGGCUCGACAUGUCUCAGUUGCAUUAAAGCCUUAAGCUUUUCUAUUCUAUCUACUAUGUCUAAGUAAGAUAAAUAUUAUUAUUCGGAUUAAUCUUUCCUAUACUGACAGUGUAUACACUAUUAGCAUUGGAUAAAUGAUAACUAUACAAAUUUUGAAUUUGAAUUUGAAAUUCAAUUUUUGCACACAUGUCAUGAAUCAAACGGUGAUAGUGUAUACACUGUCAGUAUAUUUAAGAUAUAUUCUUAUUGUUUUAGGGUGGAUGAAUCUAUUUGUACUUUAAUUAUGGAUUAAUUGUGGUUACCAAUUGCCAUAUCUUGCAUUUGCAAGUUCACUUACUUUGUGCAUGAACAUUUGUGAAUGCUUAAUCAUAAUUUACAAUACAUGUUAGUUAUUAUUAAUAUAUGUGAGUAGUUAACAAUGAUGGAAAUAGAAUAAGCAGAAUCUAAAGAACACGAAAGUAAUCAUACACUUUGGUGGAUUUUCUUCACAUUUCUUCGUUUUAAUGAAACCUCCACCUGUGAUUUCACCAUUAAAAUUAGGGAUGUACAAAAUCAAAAAAUUUCGAUUUAUCGACUGAAUUCGAAUUGAAUUUGGAAUUUUCAAAAUUGGUAAAUCAGAAAUAGGAAUUGAAUUCGGGUUUUUCUAAUUCAUAUAUUUCGAAUUUCGUUCAAAUUCGGUAAUGGGGUUUUUCAAAUCUAAAUUUUCGAUUUCGAAUUCACAAUUCGAAAUCGAAAAUCAAAUACCGAUUUCGAUUUCAAAUUUGUUUUUAAUAUAUAUAUUUUAUAUAUGUAAUAUAUAAAUUAUAUUAUAUAAUAUUAUAUAAAAUUUAUAUUAUAUAAUAUUAUAAAAUUUAUAUUAUUUAAUAAAGUUUAUAUUAUAUAAUAAUAUAUAAAAUUUUUCGAAUUUGAUGAAAUCAAAAUUUACCAAAUUCUAAAUUAAAUUCGGUAUGAAUUUGAAAUCGAAAUCGAAAUCGAAUUGUUAGACCCGAAGACAAGCUAAGAGGGGAGGUGAAUUAGGUUAUUUAAAAAAUUAAUCAGGUUGUGAGACACCUUUUUGUUCAAUAUGAAAUUUACCCUCUUUUCUAGGAAAUCACACAAUAAAUCAAUCAAUGAAUGAACAAUAUCACUUGAGAGAAGUAGAAAAGAUAAGCAAUUUAAGAAUCACAACAUAACAAUAAGUAAAUGAGAAGAAAGGAAUUGCAAACCAAUUGACUACUAAUGUGAGGACUUGUAAAAUUCCUGAUAUUUUUCUUAAAAAUUCCCUUUAUUUAAAAAUUAUUACUUUAUAAUAGCCUUACUAUCUAAUCACCCCACAAUAAGUGCAAAUGAACAUAGAAUUAAGGGUUUUCCCUUUUCGUUUUCAAGUUAUCGCAAAUUAGGAUUUUUACACCUUUUCGUACUGUGACUAUUCGGUACGGAGUGUGUAUCAAAUUUGAUAAUUAAGAGUGAGUUUUAGAUGAUAUUAAGUGUGUGCUUAGAAGUGAUAAUAAUAAGUUAGUGAAUUGUAAGAUAAAACCCUAGUUUACGCGAUUUAAGACGGGUAUCGUUCACUACCGAUUGAAUACACCACUUGACCACCACUUUCUUACCAUGAAACAUCAUUGAAAUUAGUGCAAAAUAUCAGCCCCUUUCUUAGCUUAUAGUGGCCGAAAUUGUUGACUAGAAAAACACAAGGAAAAGAAAAAAUUUGAGAGUUAAUCUUAUGGCGACAAGUGGCGGUCAUCCAAAGGUUGUUGACCAACCAAUUUCUUCCAUAUUUAUCACCAAAAAUCACUCACAAUGCUCCUCAUUUCAGCAUUCCAGCCGUGAGCUUUGAGGGAGAGAGAGCAAGAGGAAGAAAACUCCAUUUCAUCUUGAGGUUAAUCCAUUUGAAUGAGAAAUCAAGGAAACUAAACCGAUUAACUUCUCAAUUAGGAGCUUAGGAAGCUUGGGGAGCUAAGUUUUUCAAGGAAAGGUGAAGGACAUCUCUUGCAAGCCUUUUAUUGAGGUAUUAUGGCUGUUCAUCUUCCUCCUUUCCCUUAGUCUUGUCGAAAUUAUGUAGUAACUUGUAUUCUUGCCUUGUGAUACCUAGUUAAGGGGUUUUGAUGCUUGUGGUGCUGAAAUUUUGAGUUAAGGUUUUGAAUGGUUCACUUAUAUUUCUUGUUGUUUGGAUGGUAUAUGAUGUAUAUAAUCUUGUAUAGGAAGUUGUAGUGGUGGUUUAAGCUAGAAAGGUGAAGUUUACACUUUAAAAUCACUGAAUUCCAGAUUUGGGUUUUCAUCUUACCCUGUUCUGAUCGGUUCUGUUUGGCCAUGAUGGAGGUCGAAUUAGACUUAGCUCAAACCAUAAAAGUUGUAGAAAAUGAUGUUUUAUAGCUGCCUACGAAAUUUCAACUCAAUCCGAGCACUGUAACAUGUGAAAAGAUAAAAAUACCCUUGACUGCCAUAGGUAGAUCUCUGUGGAUAGUUUUGACAUUUCACCAUUCUGGCCCCAUUUUUUCCAUCUUGAUCCGUAUUGAAUUAGCAUUUGGCUAAAACACAAAAGUUGUAGUACUAUAUUUUAGCUUUCCAACGCCUCUGAAAACGCCUCAAUCGAACUUUUGUAGCCUGAGUUAUUAUCAGUUGAAUGCAAUGCUAUUAACCAGCCUGACGGUAAAAUUCUGGUUCUGUAAACGAUGAAUUUGACUUGGAUACACUAUGAACUGGAUUGAGUGGCUUUCAUCAAAGUUGUAGUCCUUUGUCUUAACUUCGAAAUGGUAUAAAUUUCACCCCAAUCCGAUAAGCGUAACUUCGGUUGUGACUGAUACGCUAAGAGACGUCGAACCUGUCUUUUACUUUUUGCCUUAAACCCUAUUUCUGGUCAUUUUUGUAGCAUGGUUUUGUAAUUGUAUGACGUUGAGCCUAUUGAACGGCUAUUGUAAUGAAACUAUUUGCGUGUGAUUUUAGGACUGAUUGAGGAAAAGAAUGAAAUCAUAAAUGGCUGAAAAAUAGGUAAAUACAAAGGGCGUGCUGCCCAAAUUUGCGCUCGAGGCCUAAGUAGAUAUACUCGCGAUUUGCGUAAGGAUUUGAGAACGAAUACCACUUGAACCAUCUAGGAUAUUUGUAUCUUCUUUUAUCGAGAUAUAUAAGUUAGAACUUGGCCGACCUUGUACCCUUGGGAAAAUGGAAAUAACGACUAGUAGAAAUACGUUUUUCCUCGUUCUUUCGAUUCAAAUAGUAUUUUCAGGUAUAAUUGCUACCAAAUCUUACAGUUUGAAAAGCGAGCAAGAGUUUUACGAAUAUUUUCUAAAUGAAUUUCAAUUACUUGAUUCUUGUUAACCGAAAUGUUUAAGUUUCGAAUCUUAGUCGAUUUUUAAAAUUCUUAAACAAUGUUUUAUCGCAGAUUUGGACUCCAAACCAGGGGUACAACCUAGACGUGAUCACUAGAAGCACUACAUUUUGGUGAGUGCUUCCAAAUAUCUGAUUGAACUUGACAUUUGUGUUUAACACUUGACCAAUGUGAUUACAUGAUACAUAAGUGAAUUGAUAGGGUAAGAGUGUACUUUAUCGCACUUGUCCUAAUGUGAUUUAUCCUUGUUCAUCGAUUUCAAUUGACUUGAUAUACAUGCAUAUGAAUUGUAUCUUGCCUGAAAUUCCAGAAACCCUGUGGCUAGUUAGUCGAGUCGAGCCGACAAGGGUCUGGUCGAUUAGAUAACGAACCUUGGGUAGUUAGUGAUGUCGAGCGGAGUGUUAUCUUCUCGACUAAUCGGUAUACUCCAGUAUUACCACCAGUAUUUAUUGUGGAGUUCGGGUCCGGUAAGGGAUUUGGUCGGUGGUCGGAAAUUGGAGUUAAGUGGUGUUCUACUGGACUAGUUACCUUAUUUGAAAGUUGACGGAGUGUCAACUACCAAUCGAUUAAACUAUGGUGGAACCGAUAUAUGAGCAACUGUAUCCUUAUAUGUGAAAUGCGAAAAAUUUAUUGUUUGGCUAUAUGAAGUAUUAUUACUCAUUUCUUGACUUGUUUUGCUCGCUAUUUCACUAUUGUUCUACUUCUACGUUAUUUGAUGGUUAAUUUGAUAUUUGGAACAUCACUGAAUUUUAGCUCACUCCAUUAGUUUUGUUUUCCUUACAGGGGGUACGAGCGAGACGUGAGACGUGUGCAGACUAGCGUAUUCUAAAUAUUUUGAAUUUUGAAUUGUACGUGCGCUAUUAUUCGACUAGGUUGAUUUGUACUUGAAAUGUAACCACUUUGAAGUAUUUGGGUGUAUAGAAAUUUUGUACCUUGGUUUGUGCAUCCUUGUAUAUUAUAAGUUUGAAUUACGAUAUUAUGUAUCGUCUAUGGAUGUAUGCUUGAGAUACGAGUGAGUGAGUCCUGACGAGAGAUGGGCAGACGACUCGCUAAACCCUAGGGUACGCCCCAGGGGGAGGUGGGGUCGUCACAACCAAGAUCCUCUUCCUCUUGAAGAUCAAUUCAAAUAAGUUUCAUCAAAUUGAUGAAAUAUAAUCAAUGUUGUGUACAAAAGAAGACUCACUUUCUCCUUGCCCAAGCUCCACUCAGUUAAGUUAGAAAGUUUUAUUAUCCCUCAGGACAACCCUCACAGAGUUACACUAUUGAAGUAUUCACUCACAAAUAAAAGUUUACAAUGAACUUCACACUAUCAAAACUACAAAACUUCCUUGGAGAGUGUUUUCUCACUAAAAUUACUCUAUAUCUUUUGUAUGUUUAGUGUGCAAAAGUUGUUUGAAAUUUCUGACCAUGCACUAUUUAUAUAAGACCAAAAAGUGCUUCAUUAAUGUUUUCAACAGAUAGAAAGUAGCUGAACAGCCAACUAGCUGUUAGGAGUAUCGAAUGUCCGGUACUAUCGUUGCUUGCGUCCGAUAGCAGACAGAGAAUUAGAAGGAUUUUAUCGGACAUCCGGUAUUUCCGAUGCUUGCGUCCGAUAACAGACAGAGAGUUUGAAAGAUCAUCUCAAUUCUAUCAGAUAUCCAGUACUUCGAAUGCUUGCGUCCGAUACGAUCUGCACAGUUUAUUGGACGUCUGCUAUUGUUUUUGUGAGUGUCCGAUAGCUUUCGUCUUCCUUUAUCUUUUUUUAAAUACUCUUGUUCUUUGAAUCAAAUUGCUUCAAAGUUGAAAGAAUUUCUUAGAAAAGAUAUCAGUACUAUCAAUUUGUUUUGUAAAUAUCAAAAGACAGGGAUCAAGAUUAACAUUCUCCCCCUUUUUGAUGAUGACAAAACAAUGGAUGGAAGGAAGAAAAUGAGCAGAAACUCCCCCUUACUCAUAACAUCCCAAACCAACAUCCAUUUAGUAAUUUCUCUCCCUUUUUGCCAUCAUAAAAAUAGAGAGUAAUUACCAUAAAAAAUAACAGCAGUGGCAACCAUCAUCAGCCAAUAACAGAAAAAUAACAUCAAAAGAUACAAAAAAUAACAAUGAACAUCAAUGAGACCAACAUUUAUGUCAACCAAUAUUCAUUAGUCAUUCAAAAACCAUCAAAGGAACUUAGUUCAGAACAUCUGAAAUAUCAAAAGUAUUACAAAAUACUUGUAGCAAUCAUAACUCUAUAUUUCUUUUCAUGAAUUUUCGUACCUUCUUCAUCUUUGUCAAGUUUGGUAGAUGCAUACAUAGGCGUUCCAACUUGUUUUGAAUCCUCCAUUCUGAAUCUUUUGAGAAGUUCCUUUGUAUACUUUGCUUGAUUAAUGAAUGUACCCUCUUGAAUUUGAAGCACUCGGAACCCAAGGAAGAAAUUUAACUCUUCCAAUAUACUCAUCUCAAACUCAUUUUGCAUAAUAGUGAAAAAAUUCUUGCAUAAACACUCAUUAGUAGCACCAAAAAUAACACUCAUUAGUAGCACCAAAAAUAAUAUCAUCCACAUAUAUUUGCACAAUUAGAAGAUCAUUGGAACUUUGUUUAGUGAAAAGAGUGGUAUCCACAAUACCCCUUUUAAAAUCAUUUUCAACCAAAAAAUUAUCCACUUUUUAAAACUAUUCUCAAUCAAGAGUUUUGGAUCCUUGAGAGUUAGCAUCAUUUCUAACUAUCCACAUAUAUUUUAUGCUUCUUCUCAUGUUUUUCCUCACAUAACAAUCACUUUUCAUGUGACCUUUUUGACAACAAAAAUUACACAUAACCAAAGAGUUAUUUGCAUGAAAAGGUUUAAUAGAUCUCUCUUCUCUUCUCUUAUGAAUGGUAAAUUCAUUUGCACCAAAUUUAACUGCUUUUUAUGAGUGUCAAGAUGAGGUUUUAAUCUAUUUUCUUGAAAAUAAUUUUAUUUUUUAUGUUGGAGAAAUUCAUUUAGAUUGUCCAUUCUUCUUUUCAAAUCACCUUGUUCCUCUUUGAACAUGUCACAAAGUUUUAUUUUUCUAUCAAACUCAUUUUGUAGAUCAAUCUCAUCUUUUUUCAAGUAAUCAUUUUCAUUUUUUAACUUUUUAUUUUCUUGAAAAAUACGUGCAAUGUUUUGAAGAAAAAAAUUAAUUUUAUGUUUUAAUUUCUUAUUUCUAGCAUAAGAUUCUUUUAAACAAUCAUGCAAUUUUUCAAUGAAGGAUUCAAGAUCGUCAUCAGUUUCAUCAGCACUUUCAAAUUGAAGGUUAGAAGUUGUUAUCUCAUUAUCUCCAAUGGCCAUAAAAGUCAAUUGAGCAGAUUCUUUUUCCUCUUCAAUUUCACCAUCAGAGUUGCACUCAUUUCAUAUGAAUUAGAAGUUGUUGAAUCUUGAUUUUCUUUCAACUUUUCCUUCUUUUUUCUUCUUCAUUAGACACUCAAUCAUGUAGUGUCCAGGUUGGCCACAUUCAUAGCAUUUGUUGCUUCAUUUUUUAUUGGCCUCUUAUUUUCCUUUGUUUCUUGCAUUGUUGAAUUGAUUUGGAAAUGAAUUUCUAGGUCCUCCUUUUCUGAAUCUCCUUUUGUUGAGGAUUCUCUUGAAACUUUUUGUGAUGAGAGCAAGAUCAUUGUCGUCAACAUCCAUAUCUUCUCCAUUCAAGGAAGCCGAGUCAUCUUCAUCUUGAGAUGCUUUUAGAGCAAUACUCCUUCUUACCUUUGCAUCUUCUUCUUCUUAUACCUUAGUUUUAAGUUUCAGCUCAUAAGAGGUUAGAGAGUUAAUAAGAGAUUCAAUAGGGAUAGAAUUCAAAUCUUUAGCCUCUUCAAUAGCAGUCACCUUACUUUCCCAAUUUUUGGACAAAGUAUUCAAGAUUUUUCUAUUUUUCUCUCAUAAGAAGUUUCUAGAACUUCUAAAUCCUUAAUAAAAUCAUUAAAUUUACAAUACAUUUUGUCAAUAUUUUCAUGAGAUUCCAUUUUAAAUGACUCAUAUUUAGUAACCAGUAUAGAUUUCUUUUGUUCUCUAACAUUCUCACUACCUUCAUGAAUUUCUUUUAAUUUGUCCCAAAUUUCUUUAACUGACUUACAGCCUUUGACCCUAAUAGAUUCAUUUGGGUCUAAAGCAGUAUAUACUACAUUCAUGCCUUUUGCAUUUAAGGUGAGAUGAGUUCUAUUUUCUGCAGUCAAUUCAUUUCUUGUCUUUGGUUUAAAUCUAUGAGUAUUUUCAUCUACUAUUGAGGCAUCAUAUGGACAUUCAUUAACAAUAAAUCAUAAUUCAAUGUCAAUAGAUUGCAAGAAAAUAAUCAUUCUCUCUUUCCAACUCAGAUAAUUUGAUCCAUUAAAAAUGAAAGGUCUAGUUACAGAUUGUUUUUCCAAAAAUAUGACAUUGUUGGUUAUCAUUUUUACUCCUAAACCGAUUGAGGUUAAUCUCCAGAAGACCAAACUCUGACACCAAUUAUUAGGUCCGAAGACAACCUAAGAAGGGGGUGAAUUAGAUUAUUUGAAAAAUUAAUCAGGUUAUGAGACACCUUUUUGUUCAAUAUAAAAUUUACCCUCUUUUCUAAGUGAUCACACAAUAAAUCAAUCAAUGAAUGAACAAUAUCACUUGAGAGAAGUAGAAGAGAUAAGCAAUUUAAGGAUCACAACAUAACAAUAAGUAAAUAAGAAGAAAGGAAUUGCAAACCAAUUGACUACCAAGAUCCUCUUGAAUUUGAAGAUCAAUUCAAACAAAUUUCUUCAAAUUGAUGAAAUACAACCAAUCUUGUGUACAAAGGAAGACUCACUUUCUCCUUGCCCAAGCUCCACUCAGUUAAGUUAGGAAGUUUUACUAUCCCUCAGGACAACUCUCACAGAGCUACACUAUUGAAGUAUUCAUUCACAAAUGAAAAGUUUACAAUGAAUUUCACACUACCAAAAUUACAAAUCUUCCUUGGAGAGUGUUUUCUCACUAAAACUACUCUAUAUCUUUUAUAUCUUCAGUGUCCAAAAGUUGUUUGAAGUUUCUAACCAUGCACUAUUUAUAUAAAACCAAGAAAGUGCUUCAUUAAUGCUUCCAACGGAUAGAAAGUAGUUAAACAGUCAACUAGCCGUUGGGAGUAUUGAGCGUCCGGUACUAUCGUUGCUUGCAUCCGAUAGCAGACAGAAAGUUUGAAAGAUUCUAUCAGACGUUCGGUACUUCCAAUGCUUGCCUUCGAUAGCAGACAGAGAAUUUGAAAGAUCAUCUCAAUUCUAUCGGACGUCCGGUACUUCUGAUGCUUGCGUCCGAUAUGAUCUGUACAGUUUAUCGGAUUUCCGGUAUUGUCUUUGUAAGCGUCUGACAGCUUUCGUCUUCCUUUAUUUUCUUUCAAAUACUCUUGUUCUUUGAAUCAAAUUGUUUCUUAGAAAAGAUAUUAGUACUAUCCAUUUGUUUUGUAAAUAUCAAAAGACAGGAAUCAAGAUCAACACGAAUUCGGUCGGAUUCUCUGAUGCGAAAAUUUUGAAAAAUUUCAAAUUCAAAAUUCCGAAUUACCGAUUUCAAAUUCGAUACACACCCCUAAUUAAAAUAGGGAAACUCUAGUGUUGGCAAUAAUCAGUUCAUCAGCAAAAGCGAGUCUUGAUUACUUGAGGAAAAUGUAUCUUUGGCAAGACAAGAGUAGUUAGUGAUAAUUAACCACUUCAUUGAUAGUUUGGUACAUUUAGUGGAUUUUACACCCUAGAAUGCUUGUGUUUAGUUGAGAUGCUCCAAUUUCACUACUUUCAAGUGCAUUGUUAUAGUAAUGAUAUUGCUUUACUUUUGUUAAAAAUUCUUGAUAGACUAAAUAAUAGAGGGAAUUUUAGGCCUUAGUAAUUGGUUUGUGUUUCUCGUGGGAUAUAACACCUCGCAUGCUACAAAAGUGACUUGUAUAUUUGCAACAAACGAGAUAGUUGGUUAUAACUUUCGAGUGCAGGUUUGAACCUCAUUAUAAAUAAAUUAUCUAAUCCAUAUUCAUUUUUAUCCUAAAAAAGUAGGAUCUAAUUCAAACUAUAUUCAUUUUUCUCAAAACAAAAAAAGGAAUCGAACCCAAUCCAUAUUCAUUUUUAUCACUAAAAAGUGGGAUCUAAUCUUUUUGUACAGUAAAAAAAUGACUAUAUGUAGAUCACGUGGUGAUUUCAUCCUGAAAGUGGUCAAAAACUUAGAUUGGGAUUAAAUUUUGUUAAGGUAAACUUGUAAUGGACGUAAAGUGAACAUUUUAAAAAUGAAUGACAAAAAAUUCAUUUGGCGAAAUGUGAGGGACAUUUUGAACGAUUUUUCAUACUUUUAAUACCAUAUCUUUAGGCCAAUAUAUAAUCAUAUUAUUUCAAAAAUAUACUAACUAUGUCUCCUAGGCUCUUAGUCCCCCUUCUCAAUUGAUCAACAAUGUAAAUAAUAACCUUCUAUUUUUCACCUUCCUUGAGAAAUUUGAACAGAAGAAAAAUGAUACUAUUUUUUAUUGUAUUCGUGAAAUUUUGUUCAGCAGAAAAUAACAAAAUAAAAUAAAAAAAUAGUGAAAAAGUGAAGAUAAAGGCCAUUACAGCUAUAAAACAAUAAAGAACAAAAGAAGACGUAUUACGUUUUCUGGAUAUUUACUUAUUUUCUGACAUUUAAUUUUACUUUGCAUAUCUUCUUUUUUCCCUCGUGUUUUGAUCCAGUUCAAACUUCUUGCAAAUAUGCCCCGAACUGGCCUAGACAAUGAGUACCAAAGCCAUGUGAAAAUCGACCUUAAAUGUAUCGAAAACUUCUAUGUUCAAUCACGAAAAAAUUCAGGGCCUUAAAAACUGUCCAAAAACAAUACACCACAAGCCAUUGCAUUCACACAAACAUAGUGAAAGCAGAAGAAGCUUUAGCUUUGAAACUUGCUCAAGUAUUAAAAUCUUGCAAAUCCCUCUUGCCCUGGCCACUCCAAUCCUUCCAUUAUCCAAAAAGGUCAGCAAAUCGAUGCCCAAAUCACUGUCAAUGGACUUAAUAGCUUGGGUUUAUUGGGAACAAGGGUUUUGGGAAUUUACAUACUUUGUGGGAAGUUUUUUGAUGCCAAGAACUUAUUUUUUCAGCUUGAGUUGUACUAUGCCUCCCCUUGGAAUUGGAUGAUUAGGGGAUUUACUUUGGUGGGUUGGUUUGAUUUUGCAUUAAUGUUUUACUAUAAGAUGUUGGGUUUUGGUACUUGUCCUGAUAAGUACACUUUUCCUUAUGUAAUCAAGGCUUGUUGUGGUUUGCAAUCAUUGAAAUUAGGUAGAUUAAUACAUGGGUCGAUUAGAGAUUUGGCUUUUGAGUUGGAUGUGUUUGUGGGUAUUGCUUUGAUUAAAUUGUAUGCGGAGAAUGGUUGUAUAGAUGAAGCGCGACGUCUGUUUGAUAAAAUGCCUGAAAAAGGAUAGUGUUUUGUGGAAUGUAAUGCUUAAUGCUUAUGCGCAAGAUAGGAACUUGGUGGAUGAUGUGCUUAGGUUGUAUAGAGAAAUGAGGAUGACUGAAACUAAACCUUAUUCAAUUAGUUAUGCUUGUAUUCUUUCAGUUUGUGGUUUAGAACAUAUGGUUUAUUUUGGUGCUCAGGUACACGGUAAUGUUGUCAGAUGUGGGUUGGAGAUAGAAUCUUCGGUUGCUAACACUUUGAUUGCUAUGUAUGCAAAAUGCCAAUGCUUGUCUGAUGCACGAAAGUUAUUUGAUUUGAUAACGCAGGCUGAUUUUGUAACUUGGAAUGCAAUGAUUGGGGGCUAUGGUCAAAGUAGGCGUUUGCCUGAAGCUUUAGAUUUGUUUUGCCAAAUGUUAUCUAUGGGUGCUAUACCAGACUCAACCACCAUUUACAAGUAUACUUUCAUUGUUUUCUGACUUGCAGUCCCUAAAUCAAGCCAAGGAAAUUCAUGGUUACAUAUUAAGAAACAAUGUCAAUAUGGAUGUGUUCUUGAAGAAUGCACUUAUUGAUAUUUACUUUAAGUGCAGGGUUGUGGAGAUGGCAUCUAAAAUCUUCAACUCUUGCCUUGCUGUAGAUAUCGUCAUUUGUACUGCAUGAUUUUGGGGUUUGUGCUCAAUGGAAUGGAUUUUAAAGCCUUAGAAAUGUUUAGAUGGGUGCUAGAUAAGAAAAUGAGGCCCAAUCCAGUAACUCUAGCAAGUCUCUUACCAGCUUGUGCUGGUUUGGCUGCUCUGAAAUAGGGUAGGGAGUUGCAUGGUAGUGUUCUUAGAAAUGGGUUUGAAGACAGGUGUUAUGUAGGAAGUUCAAUUUCAGAUAUGUAUGCAAAAUGUGGAAGGUUGGACCUAGCACGUCUAGCUUUCUUCAAAAUUUCCAAAAAAGACACUGUUUCUUGGAACUCAAUGAUUACUAGCUGUUGCCAGAAUGCAAAGUCGGAGGAAGCAAUUGAUCUUUUCUAUCAGAUGGGUUUAGAAGGAGUCAAAUAUGACUCUGUUAGGAUAUCUGCAACUCUUUGUGCAUGUGCAAACUUUCAAGCACUGCAUUAUGGCAAAGUAAUACAUGGAUUCAUGAUUCGAGGAGCAUUUAGCUCAGAUCUUUUUGCUGAGAGCGCAGUGAUAGACAUGUAUGCUACAUGUGGACACUUGGAAUUAGCAUGUACUGCUUUUGACUUGAUGGAGUGCAAGAACGAAGUUUCUUGGAAUAGCAUAAUUGCUGCUUAUGGGAACUAUGGACACCUUGAGGAUACUUUGGCUCUACUGAAUGAAAUGAGGGAAAAUGGAUUCUAGCCUGACCAUGUCACUUUUCUAGCCAUAAUAUCUGCUUGUGACCAUACUGGCCAAGUUGAAGAGGGCAAGAAAUUUUUUGAAUGCAUGACCCAAGAAUUUGGAAUUACAGCUCGAAUGGAACACUAUGCAUGCUUAAUAGAUUUGUUUCACCGAGCUGGUUGUCUUGAAGAAGUACAUCAAGUGAUUAGGAGCAUGCCAUUUACUAUAGAUGCUGGCAUAUGGGGCACGCUACUCGAAACCUACCGUGUCCAUGGCAACGUUGAACUAGUUGAAUUGGCUUCAAAUCAACUUUUUGACCUGGACUCGCAAAAUACUGGAUAUUAUAUGCCCCUAUAACAAGUGCAAGCUGAUGCUGAAAAGUGGGAAGGGGUUAACAAAGUAAGAAAUAUGAUGAAGGAAAGAGAAGUGCAGAAAGCUCCUAGUUACGACGCGAUCUCGCAACUCGGGAAUACGUGGUUUGACAAUUCUUCAUUCAGGCAGAAGAGACAUUUUGAUGAGAGGUUGAAACCAAACUGUUGUAAAAUUUCUGGAAAAGUUAGCAAGGAGUACAACAACUGUCACAUGAAGAUGGAAAUUUUGUAUGGUAGUCGUUUAUCCCAAAUCAGCAGACAUGAGACCAUUGAGGCACCUUGUGAGCGCAGCUGUAGUAGUGCUAAAGAUAUGCUAAAGAGUCCAUUGGAUGAGGGACACCAUGCUAGACGAUCAUCACCACUUGAGAUAGAGAUUUGGGGAGGUCCGAAUGUCAUGUAUCUCACUAAGGGAUAAGGCACUCUCGACAGGUUGUAAGUUCCAAGACCCAUUUUCCAAACAAUCGCUGACUUGCAGGGCAAGGGACAUAUGCCUUCCCUGUAGCAAGCAAGCCCGUACCCAACCAGUUUUCAAGCCAAAAGGAUGAACCACCUGUGCAUAUCAACCGUCACGACUGAUCCUCCGCAAAAUCUCGAGCUUGUAACAGUCAUCACCAUGUCUUCAAUCCUUUGCUGGACGUUGGUAACUGGGUUAAAUGCGAUUGUUGGCUAUAUUUCACAGUCAUGAAACGGGUCCAUAACGUAGAGGUAGUUCGUAGCCACCACCAAAGCUUGCAACUAAAUGCCUGCAGCACAGCCUCUAGUGCCAUGAACCCUAAGCCAUCCUCUUCGACUAGUUUACAUAGCUUCUUCCAUUCCCUCUAAUGUCUCCUCUCCUUCCCUUCCAUCUCACCAUAGAAGAAGGUAGCAAAACAGCAUUCCAUUUGGCAUAAAGUACUUGUUGGGGGCUCCAAAAUAGCCAUGAUAUGUUAGGGUAUUGACGUCAAGACGUGCUUGAUAAGCAAUGCGUGACCCCAGCUGAAAAUGCCUUGGUUUUCCAGCCAGCUAGCUUCGUUCUCAUUUUGUCAAUUAUAUGUUGAAAAUUCACUCGACUUGGUCUGCUUUUGCUAGCGUGCAGCCUGGAUAUUGAAAAGGUAACUGGCGGCCUUUAAUAUCUAGCCAUUGGGAUAUUUGCCAUGAUGUAACCGUCAAGCAUUGUAAGGAGAUAAUAAAGAAGCUCUUGUUUUUAUUGAUUCGCUGCCCCGAGCCCACUUGAUAAGUGUCGAGAAACUCUAGUAGUGAUUUGAUGUCUAUUCACUCCCCCUUCAUAAAGAGCAAGACAUCGUCGGCAAAGCUCAGAUGUGUGAUUGGGAUACAUUCCCUCGGGAGGCCGAAUGGAGAGAGUUUACCCGUCAAGAGUAGGGCAUUCAAGCCUCGGUUGAAUGCUUCAGUAACUAGUAAGAAUAAGUAUGAGGAGAGUGGAUCUCAUUUGACUCCCCGCUCACCUUGGAAGAAGCCGAAGGGCUUGCCAUUGAUAAGCACUGAAAACCAUGCUUCUUGAAGAUUGUUCAUGACCAAGGAAAUAAACUAGCCAUUAAAUCCAAAUUUACACAGCAACUUGGAUAGAAAUUGCCAGGAUAUGAAGUCAAAGGCCUUCAUCAUAUCCACCUUGGGAAUCAUGUUGUGGCCCGAGUUUUUGUGCCUAUCGAUUCUAACAAUUCGUGGCCCAGAAGGAUAUUGUCUGAUAUUUCCCUCCCUUUGACAAAAGCAGAUUGCUCUGAUGAUAUCAAAAAGGCAUCAAUGAUUUCAUUCGCAUACAAAGAAUCUUCGUGAAUACCUUUUUUAGGAAGGUGCAAAGAUUUAUUGGUCUAAACUCGACAAAUGUCGACGGCUGUUCCUUUUUUGGCAGCAGUGUGAUUAAGGUGCUGGCAAUACUUUUUGGGAUUGGAACCCCACAAAAAAACCCUCGACUGCUUGCAAUAGGUCUUGAGCUGUUAUGUCCCAACAAGUCAUGUAAAAGAACCCCGUAAAACCAUCCACCCCUGCUGCACUUUGACCAUCUAAUGCAAAAACAGAUUUUUUGACUUCCUCCAAUGUAACUUCGCUCAUUAAAUCCUCGUUUUGUUGGUAUGUAACCAGCCUUGGAAUCGAAGCCAACAAUUCUUCAAUUGCUGGCUCACUAUUAGGAGUGUUUUGGUAGGACAGCAAGUUUCUAUAGAAAGCCGCUGCACUCUGACCUAUAGCCUCCUCGUCUUCUAACAUGUUGUCAUCUGCCCCUCUUGACGAAUUGAGAGGCAUGCCCGCUUGGAUAUUAGAGUGGAAUGGAAAAAUUUUGUGUUGGAGUCUCCCUCCGUCAGCCACCUUAUUCGUGCUUUUUGUUUCCAGAACAUUUCCUCAUCAGCAAGUGUCUUGAGCAGCCUCGCUUGUGUGUGGCUCCAUUGGGUCUUUGGCUCUUUUGUCCCUUCCUCCUCAAGCAAGAUCUCGCAUGCUUUAACUUCUUCUUUAGCUGCUACUACGUCCUUGAAAACAUCUCCAAACAUGUCUUUGUUCCACUGCUGAAGUUCAUGUUUGAGGCGUUUGAGCUUGAAGAAGAAAGCAAACAUGCCAUAGCCUUGAACGACUUGUUCCCAACUCUGGUGAACCGUGUCAAGGAAUGUUGGGUUCUAGACCCAUGUAUGCUAGAAUUUGAAUAACUGUGGAGCAAGGGCGCUGCAUUGCUUAACUUUCAGCAAAAGUUAAUUGACACUAACACUUAACUAAAACUUCAAAAAUGCAUGAAAACUGAAACAAAUAGUCUUGGGUUGCCUCCCAAGUAGCGCCUUUCUUUAAUGUCUUUGGCUAGACAUUAUCAUGUUUUGCUCAUGGAGGGUAAAAUCUUGUGGCUCGUCUUACUGCUUCAUCCUCUAUAUAGUCCUGAUAACCCUCGUAAAUAGAAUAAUCCUUGAGCAUACGAGCUACGGGCUUCCAUGGACUAGUGAAUGGCGCCAAACGAGUCGAUGAUAAUUUGCAUUCUCCAUUCACUCCUCCCCCACUUGCAUUUAUUGGUACAAGAUAUCUUGCCAUCGCCACUCUUAAUUUAUUCCUGUCAUGAAAUUCAAAAUUGUCUGGUAUAAUAAAUUCAAUUUCAUUAACAGGAAUUGAAGAGUAAGAGUCAGGAGAAUAGUGAUGAAGGAGUGGAGGGGAUGUCACCGCAUUUGGAGAUUGUUCACUGGAUUCAUUCACUUGAACCAUUUGAUGUUGGGGUCUCAAUUCUUGCUCUUCAACUUUCUUUUCAACUACAUCUUUAGAUUCUUCUUCUCGUGACUCUUGCAGUACCAUGUCAUUUGUCAGAAUAAUUGCACUCUCAUCUUUCUCAUGGUCGAUAAUAGUCGGUGAGGACAAUUCUUCAUAAACUGGAGAAAUCAAUUUGCUCGUUUUAAAUGCCCAUUCAAGCCUUGCUUCUUUCAUCUCUUCACUCAUCUUUUGUGUCUCCUGUUGAAGUUGAUAUGUGUUAGUAGCUAUUAAUUCAACCAUUUCUUCAAGAGACAUACCUGACAUGGAUGACGGUUCUUGAGACUCUAGCUGUUGAAAAUCUAGUGGCCCUGUUGUAUAAUUAUAACUGGAGUUAUCCCACCAUCCUUGAUCAUACCCGUUUGGAUUAGGGUUAUACCACGUUUGAGACCAUGGUGAAAAAUCUCCAUAAUUAUUGAGUGGGACACUCAUAUUAUCUUGAUAUUCGGGGCACAUACCGGUCGAAUGAUCCCUGGCAUAACAAAUUUUACAGGUUGCAGCAGCCAUUCUUUCUCUAAUAGAGUUUACUGCCUCUGAAUAUGCAAACUUAGCAAAAAAACUAGUCUCAUCGCUUUCCCCGGAAACAAAAUCCAGUCUAUCACCAAAAUACGGAGUGUUAGAAGCCAUAAACUAUAAUAAAAAAAAUAAGGGAAAAAUAAAUAAAAAAUAAAAAAAUAAAAACAAGAUGAACUCAAAAAGAAACAAAUUAAUCUGGCACCAGUCCCCGGCAACGGCGCCAAAAAUUGACAGGCGUCGAACCUGUGCAAUAAUAAAUACCUGCUCAAAUAAAAUACAAAUUCUGUAUAUAGCGGUAAGCAGGGUCGAAUCCACAGGGACUGGGGAUAAUUUAAUUUCUUCUCAAGUUCCAGAUAUGGGGGGUUUUUGAAAAUGAGAGUAACUAAAUUAUUUGGAAUAAAAUAAAAUAAAAUAACUACAACUCAAUUAACUAAUUAUCACAAUAAGAAUAAUGAUGGACGAACUCUAGCCAAGAGACAACUUCGGAGAUGGUUCACUUAAUUCGAUCACAGAUGCAAGGAUUAUUCCAGUUACUAUCCGAUAAAUUAGUUAUAGUUGUCAUACACGCGAUAAACAACCAACUCUUCCUCAAUUUGUCGAUAGCCAAGGUACGACCGUUGACUAUUUCUCUAAUCAGGAAAUAACCCUAGGUACGACCAUAGAAGUUCAAUUCCCUAAUUGCAUGAAUAAUUAGAAGAGCCUAAUUCUAACCAAUCAACACGCUACGAGGGUCUCUUUAAGUUAGCCUGCCUAUCUCCCUGACACAAACCCAAUCAUGCCAGUUGCCACCAGUUUAGAAUAAUUAAACAAUUACGGAUUUAACUACCCUAAUUGGCUUCAGGUUAUUGAAUUAAUCUAGAAUCCGGGCCCUGGAUAAUCGAAUAAUAAAACAACCAUAUGAACAUAAAGCAGAAGAUAGACAAAUACCAGUGAAUAAUGGGAAUAAAUAAAAACUAAUUCGAUCUCACAAAUUUAGUAGAACCAAAUCCUCCGUUGUUCUUGACUAGACAAACUUAGCCACGCCUCAUGAGAAAUUCUUCAAGUAAUUCCACUGAGGUCCAGGCCAUCAAAAGAGCCAAGAAAGAAACGAAAAAACUAAAACUAUGCUAAAAACUGUCUAAACUAAAACUAUUGAUUGAUAAACCUCUCGUACGUUUCUCCCUUUUUAAAGCCAAAAGGAAGUCUAAUGCUAUCUCUAGUGGUCCCCACACCAAAUUCAAAGUCUUGUACGUUUCUUUUCCUAGAGUCCAAAUGACUCAUGCUUCUUAUCCGUGGUCCCCGCACAUGUGGACAAAGCCUCCAAAGUACUUGUUGUUCCAAGUCUCUCUACGUUGCUUUCUUUGAAAAGCCCAAAUGACUAAAUGCCUUGCACUAGCUUGUGGUCCCCACCAAUUCAAGGACCUAAAGGUUGAAGCCCUUAGAAGUCUGCAUUUUUCCAUACAAGUCCCUCCUUUUUGGUAAUUUUCUGCUUCACUCCUGAAAUUGAUUCCAAAUACCAAAUAUGAGUAAAUAUCAGCAAUUAACACAAUAUUUGUCAGGGAUAGAAGGGGAAAUCAAUAAUAAAUUUACUAACAAAUUAUACCCUAUCAAUUCCCCCCACACCUGAAUCAUGCUUGCCCUCAAGCAUGGGAAAAGUAUACAGACACCAAAAUUUGAUAAUGGUCAUUGCUCUAUCUACCAAAUUGCCAAGAUAUUCAAGAGAGAACCAUAUAUCGGGCAUUAGUAAUUAAAAUCCAAGAAGCAUCCCCCCAGUUAGCUUCCCAACCACCAACUUUUCCAAUUCAAAGCAAACUAAUCUAAGAAAAAGGAAUGGUUGCUCACAUUUAUCAGUAAAUGGUCCAGCUAUUAACCAAAAUCUCGACAUUAAGAUCACAAACCGGCGAGCUGACUUAUUCACAUACUAACACAAUCUUUAUUUUAUUUUUUUCCACUUUUUUUUUUGUUUUUUUUUUUGUUUUAUUUUUUUUUUUUUGAGUAACAAAAGACUUAGUGUAUAGCCCUUAGAGCCUUUUGACUCGAACUCCAACAUUUGAUAGAUGGAGGAGCCCGGUUACUCAGCUCCAAUCGCUACAGGACCACGCACUCAUAGCAACUACUACCUUUUGACGCGAAAAUCGACACUUUAGGUGAAGAUCCCCGGUUACUCAAUAGUAACUACUAGCAGAGUACAGUCAGCUCUUAUUUACAACCAUACAGCACAAUAACUAAAAAUAACACAAAAAUAACAGCAGCCAGCCUCAAAUUUCCAAAUAUGGAGAACUAAAAUUAAUAACUGGACCAAUUCACAUAAAAAAAUGCCAACUAUCAUUCCCUAUGCCUAGAAAAGUUAACCAAAAACUGAAAAAGUCAAGCAAUUACCGAUAUUCACCAGAGAGAUGUUCAUGAACUCAACCACAUUAAUUUAAUACCCUUUUAUUAAUAAAACUUGGCAAUAGCAUAAUUAGAGGCAACAAUCCCGCAUCAAAACUUGGUAUUCAUUUAAGGACUGACCACUAGGAAAAGAAAUGAAAAGGAAAUAAAUGAAAAGGGAGAUAAAUAUCAAACUAAAAAUAAAGGAAAAACCUUUAGAAACUAAAAAUAAAAAUACUAGCACCCAAAACUGACCCCCCCCACACCUAAAUCACACAUUGCCCUCAAUGUGAUAAACUAACAGCAAAAGGAAGGAGAAGGGCAACGGUACUUCCCUGAAGUUGUCAAAACAGGGGUGGGUCGGGCGGGGUACUGCCAAAUUCCGCACCAUGUUAUGCAAGUCGACGUCAAUGUGGGUCACUCGAGUCUCCAGUCUCUCAACUUGUAUUCGGAGUUGGACCCAGUCGUUAGCCCCUGGUUGGUCCCCUCAACAAGCAAAUGCAAACUGUCUCCAAUUGGACAGUCAAGUAUCCAAUUCCACCUACUAAAAUUAGCAAAUGGCUCAAGAAAAUGGUACUCCAGUAACAGUAGUUCAAAAGUCGGACAAUAACCAAAUCACAAGGGUAUUAGUUGGCUAUCAGACAGGCAACCAUAUAGAAUCCAUGAAUGUAUUCAAAACACCCCAACCAGUACCACUGGUACAGGCAUAGGGAAAAAUUAAAGCAAAUGACCAACCCAAAGUAUUGAUAAUUCCAAGCAACGCCAAGCAGUACCAGAAAUCGAAAAGACCAAAAUGGUAGUCAAUUGGGGCAAAUAACUCCCAAGGCAAAUAGAGGCAACCUACUUCAAUAAGCAACGGAAAUGGCACAGGAGCCGUCCAAUGCACCAAUUAAAUGCAAUAAACCCCAACCAAAGGCAGCUCAAUAGAUUCCAGGCAGAAAGUACCAAAUGAUACUCAAUUGACACCAAAAACGAUCCCAACAAAGCAGCAAGAUCGAAGGAUACUCAGUCACAGAUGCUCAAUCAUAUCGAAAUAAGAAAUUGCAAGCAAAUUAGCACAACCAGUACCACUGGUGUAUACACAGGAAAGGAGGGAACCACAUGGCCAUCCCAAUUAAUAAAAAGCACAACUGAGGCACCCCAAAGGCUAGAAAAGUACCCGAAAAACACAGCAAAUUGAAUGAAUAUGCACUGGGUCUCCAAUUCAGUCAAAAUAAGAUCAAGGGGCACGAUACAGAAACUAACAAAGCAGUACUCAAGUGAUACCAGUAGGAACCCCAACAAAGCAAUGAAUUCAACCAAUUGGAGCAAGUGAAACUCAACAAAUGUCACCAAGUGGACAUUCAAUUACCCACUUCAAGAUACCAAGCCUUAAGAAUUUUAAGAAUCCCAGCAAACAAGCAAUUCCAGCAACUACCGAUUAGAAUUCAAGAAAAUUUAAGAAUUGUAAGCAACACCGCAACCAGUACCACUGGUGCACAGACAGGAAAGAAUUAAAUUCAACGGCAGCAACUCAACCACAAGAACUGCAACUUAAAAAUAAGGAAGUAGCUGCAAAUAGAAGCAACAAUGAUAUGCAAAAUAUCUCAACCAGUACCACUGGUGAGUCACAGGCAAAAGUUAAUCAAACAGCCAACACUGCAAUAAAUAGCAGAAAAUAUCCCCACUAUGGCAUCAAUUAAACCCAAAUCUGUCCAAAAUUUAACCUAGAAAAUGCCCAAAUAACACCUUCUUUUAUCCGUCAAGAAAUCCAGACACAAAUUUCAGAAAUUUAAGCUAAUUGGAGAAGGAAUUACAAUACCUCCACCUGUCGAUUUCUGACAGGUGGUGACGACGUGGCUGGACAGAAAGGCUCGCGAGGGAGGAGCUGUCGGCGUGCGCGGGUUGAGGUGACGUCCUGGUCUGCUGUCGCACGCGGACAGCGGUGGAGGGAGCUGCGCGCGGAGCUUGGCGAGCUCGUGAGGUGGUGGCUGAGGUGGGAGCGAGCUGGUGCAGGCUGCGGCACGCUGGUGGUAGCGGCAGGCGGCGCGCGAGGAAACUCCUGGGCGGCGCGCUGUCGGCUGCGUGUGGCGAUGGGCUGGCUGGUGUAGAGACGAGCUGGGGCGGAGGGCUUUGGCCUGCGAUUGCUUGGCUGUGAGGGACGGCGGCGGCGGCUUCCCUUGGGCGAGCCAGUGACGCGCGGCCAAGAGAAAAGGGAGAAGGCCGCGCGCUGUGGGAGAGGAGGUUCGCGAUCUGUGGCCGCGCAAGGGGGAGGGAGCGCGGGGCCUGGGCUGCACGCUGGGGUAGCGCGCGCGCCGUGGAGAGCUCGCUGGAGCUUGGAGCUGUUGCUGAGAGAGGCUGACUGGACUGCGAAGGUAGAGAUUGGUGGUGCCGUGCGCAGGUGGAGGGCAGACAGCAACGGUGGCGGCGCGCGGCGUGGGCAGCGGAGGUCGUGCGGCUUUGGUUGCGGAGUGGAGCUGCUGUGGUGGUGGAGGUUGAUGAUUGGGGGAAUUGAUAAUUAGGGGGAAAGGAUGGCGGCCGAAAGAAGAAAUAAAAGAAAAGGGAAACAGCGCAGCAGGGAAGAAAGGAAGAAAGAAAGAAGAAGGAAAAAAAAAAAAAGAAAUUUUUUUUUUAUUUUUUUAUUGCACACUCAAAUUUCAAAACUCGAAUUGUGAGAACCAAAACUGAAGGUGUAAAACGGAAAAUGUUUUUAUUUUUUAAUUUUUGAUUUUUUUUUUUCAAGGAACCUCUGGCUUAGGCGUGGGCACGUCUAACUGCUAUAGAGUCCGCAGAUCCUGAACGAAAAUUUCUUUCCCUCAGGCGUGACCACCUGGUGUGGGCACGUCUAACUGCUAUAGAGUCCGCAGAUUCUGAACGAAAAUUUCUUUCCCUCAGGCGUGACCACCUGGCGUGGGCACGUCUAACUGCUAAUUCCCUGUCACCAAACAUCAAACUAUUAAUUGACACUAACACUUAACUAAAACUUCAAAAAUUCAUGAAAACUGAAACAAAUAGUCUUGGGUUGCCUCCCAAGUAGCGCCUUUCUUUAAUGUCUUUGGCUAGACAUUAUCAUGUUUUGCUCAUGGAGGGUAAAAUCUUGUGGCUCGUCUUACUGCUUCAUCCUCUAUAUAGUCCUGAUAACCCUCGUAAAUAGAAUAAUCCUUGAGCAUACGAGCUACGGGCUUCCAUGGACUAGUGAAUGGCGCCAAACGAGUCGAUGAUAAUUUGCAUUCUCCAUUCACUCCUCCCCCACUUGCAUUUAUUGGUACAAGAUAUCUUGCCAUCGCCACUCUUAAUUUAUUCCUGUCAUGAAAUUCAAAAUUGUCUGGUAUAAUAAAUUCAAUUUCAUUAACAGGAAUUGAAGAGUAAGAGUCAGGAGAAUAGUGAUGAAGGAGUGGAGGGGAUGUCACCGCAUUUGGAGAUUGUUCACUGGAUUCAUUCACUUGAACCAUUUGAUGUUGGGGUCUCAAUUCUUGCUCUUCAACUUUCUUUUCAACUACAUCUUUAGAUUCUUCUUCUCGUGACUCUUGCAGUACCAUGUCAUUUGUCAGAAUAAUUGCACUCUCAUCUUUCUCAUGGUCGAUAAUAGUCGGUGAGGACAAUUCUUCAUAAACUGGAGAAAUCAAUUUGCUCGUUUUAAAUGCCCAUUCAAGCCUUGCUUCUUUCAUCUCUUCACUCAUCUUUUGUGUCUCCUGUUGAAGUUGAUAUGUGUUAGUAGCUAUUAAUUCAACCAUUUCUUCAAGAGACAUACCUGACAUGGAUGACGGUUCUUGAGACUCUAGCUGUUGAAAAUCUAGUGGCCCUGUUGUAUAAUUAUAACUGGAGUUAUCCCACCAUCCUUGAUCAUACCCGUUUGGAUUAGGGUUAUACCACGUUUGAGACCAUGGUGAAAAAUCUCCAUAAUUAUUGAGUGGGACACUCAUAUUAUCUUGAUAUUCGGGGCACAUACCGGUCGAAUGAUCCCUGGCAUAACAAAUUUUACAGGUUGCAGCAGCCAUUCUUUCUCUAAUAGAGUUUACUGCCUCUGAAUAUGCAAACUUAGCAAAAAAACUAGUCUCAUCGCUUUCCCCGGAAACAAAAUCCAGUCUAUCACCAAAAUACGGAGUGUUAGAAGCCAUAAACUAUAAUAAAAAAAAUAAGGGAAAAAUAAAUAAAAAAUAAAAAAAUAAAAACAAGAUGAACUCAAAAAGAAACAAAUUAAUCUGGCACCAGUCCCCGGCAACGGCGCCAAAAAUUGACAGGCGUCUAACCUGUGCAAUAAUAAAUACCUGCUCAAAUAAAAUACAAAUUCUGUAUAUAGCGGUAAGCAGGGUCGAAUCCACAGGGACUGGGGAUAAUUUAAUUUCUUCUCAAGUUCCAGAUAUGGGGGGUUUUUGAAAAUGAGAGUAACUAAAUUAUUUGGAAUAAAAUAAAAUAAAAUAACUACAACUCAAUUAACUAAUUAUCACAAUAAGAAUAAUGAUGGACGAACUCUAGCCAAGAGACAAGUUCGGAGAUGGUUCACUUAAUUCGAUCACAGAUGCAAGGAUUAUUCCAGUUACUAUCCGAUAAAUUAGUUAUAGUUGUCAUACACGCGAUAAACAACCAACUCUUCCUCAAUUUGUCGAUAGCCAAGGUACGACCGUUGACUAUUUCUCUAAUCAGGAAAUAACCCUAGGUACGACCAUAGAAGUUCAAUUCCCUAAUUGCAUGAAUAAUUAGAAGAGCCUAAUUCUAACCAAUCAACACGCUACGAGGGUCUCUUUAAGUUAGCCUGCCUAUCUCCCUGACACAAACCCAAUCAUGCCAGUUGCCACCAGUUUAGAAUAAUUAAACAAUUACGGAUUUAACUACCCUAAUUGGCUUCAGGUUAUUGAAUUAAUCUAGAAUCCGGGCCCUGGAUAAUCGAAUAAUAAAACAACCAUAUGAACAUAAAGCAGAAGAUAGACAAAUACCAGUGAAUAAUGGGAAUAAAUAAAAACUAAUUCGAUCUCACAAAUUUAGUAGAACCAAAUCCUCCGUUGUUCUUGACUAGACAAACUUAGCCACGCCUCAUGAGAAAUUCUUCAAGUAAUUCCACUGAGGUCCAGGCCAUCAAAAGAGCCAAGAAAGAAACGAAAAAACUAAAACUAUGCUAAAAACUGUCUAAACUAAAACUAUUGAUUGAUAAACCUCUCGUACGUUUCUCCCUUUUUAAAGCCAAAAGGAAGUCUAAUGCUAUCUCUAGUGGUCCCCACACCAAAUUCAAAGUCUUGUACGUUUCUUUUCCUAGAGUCCAAAUGACUCAUGCUUCUUAUCCGUGGUCCCCGCACAUGUGGACAAAGCCUCCAAAGUACUUGUUGUUCCAAGUCUCUCUACGUUGCUUUCUUUGAAAAGCCCAAAUGACUAAAUGCCUUGCACUAGCUUGUGGUCCCCACCAAUUCAAGGACCUAAAGGUUGAAGCCCUUAGAAGUCUGCAUUUUUCCAUACAAGUCCCUCCUUUUUGGUAAUUUUCUGCUUCACUCCUGAAAUUGAUUCCAAAUACCAAAUAUGAGUAAAUAUCAGCAAUUAACACAAUAUUUGUCAGGGAUAGAAGGGGAAAUCAAUAAUAAAUUUACUAACAAAUUAUACCCUAUCAAUUCCCCCCACACCUGAAUCAUGCUUGCCCUCAAGCAUGGGGAAAGUAUACAGACACCAAAAUUUGAUAAUGGUCAUUGCUCUAUCUACCAAAUUGCCAAGAUAUUCAAGAGAGAACCAUAUAUCGGGCAUUAGUAAUUAAAAUCCAAGAAGCAUCCCCCCAGUUAGCUUCCCAACCACCAACUUUUCCAAUUUAAAGCAAACUAAUCUAAGAAAAAGGAAUGGUUGCUCACAUUUAUCAGUAAAUGGUCCAGCUAUUAACCAAAAUCUCGACACUAAGAUCACAAACCGGCAAGCUGACUUAUUCACAUACUAACACAAUCUUUAUUUUAUUUUUUUCCACUUUUUUUUUUGUUUUUUUUUUGUUUUAUUUUUUUUUUUUUGAGUAACAAAAGACUUAGUGUAUAGCCCUUAGAGCCUUUUGACUCGAACUCCAACAUUUGAUAGAUGGAGGAGCCCGGUUACUCAGCUCCAAUCGCUACAGGACCACGCACUCAUAGCAACUACUACCUUUUGACGCGAAAAUCGACACUUUAGGUGAAGAUCCCCGGUUACUCAAUAGUAACUACUAGCAGAGUACAGUCAGCUCUUAUUUACAACCAUACAGCACAAUAACUAAAAAUAACACAAAAAUAACAGCAGCCAGCCUCAAAUUUCCAAAUAUGGAGAACUAAAAUUAAUAACUGGACCAAUUCACAUAAAAAAAUGCCAACUAUCAUUCCCUAUGCCUAGAAAAGUUAACCAAAAACUGAAAAAGUCAAGCAAUUACCGAUAUUCACCAGAGAGAUGUUCAUGAACUCAACCACAUUAAUUUAAUACCCUUUUAUUAAUAAAACUUGGCAAUAGCAUAAUUAGAGGCAACAAUCCCGCAUCAAAACUUGGUAUUCAUUUAAGGACUGACCACUAGGAAAAGAAAUGAAAAGGAAAUAAAUGAAAAGGGAGAUAAAUAUCAAACUAAAAAUAAAGGAAAAACCUUUAGAAACUAAAAAUAAAAAUACUAGCACCCAAAACUGACCCCCCCCACACCUAAAUCACACAUUGCCCUCAAUGUGAUAAACUAACAGCAAAAGGAAGGAGAAGGGCAACGGUACUUCCCUGAAGUUGUCAAAACAGGGGUGGGUCGGGCGGGGUACUGCCAAAUUCCGCACCAUGUUAUGCAAGUCGACGUCAAUGUGGGUCACUCGAGUCUCCAGUCUCUCAACUUGUAUUCGGAGUUGGACCCAGUCGUUAGCCCCUGGUUGGUCCCCUCAACAAGCAAAUGCAAACUGUCUCCAAUUGGACAGUCAAGUAUCCAAUUCCACCUACUAAAAUUAGCAAAUGGCUCAAGAAAAUGGUACUCCAGUAACAGUAGUUCAAAAGUCGGACAAUAACCAAAUCACAAGGGUAUUAGUUGGCUAUCAGACAGGCAACCAUAUAGAAUCCAUGAAUGUAUUCAAAACACCCCAACCAGUACCACUGGUACAGGCAUAGGGAAAAAUUAAAGCAAAUGACCAACCCAAAGUAUUGAUAAUUCCAAGCAACGCCAAGCAGUACCAGAAAUCGAAAAGACCAAAAUGGUAGUCAAUUGGGGCAAAUAACUCCCAAGGCAAAUAGAGGCAACCUACUUCAAUAAGCAACGGAAAUGGCACAGGAGCCGUCCAAUGCACCAAUUAAAUGCAAUAAACCCCAACCAAAGGCAGCUCAAUAGAUUCCAGGCAGAAAGUACCAAAUGAUACUCAAUUGACACCAAAAACGAUCCCAACAAAGCAGCAAGAUCGAAGGAUACUCAGUCACAGAUGCUCAAUCAUAUCGAAAUAAGAAAUUGCAAGCAAAUUAGCACAACCAGUACCACUGGUGUAUACACAGGAAAGGAGGGAACCACAUGGCCAUCCCAAUUAAUAAAAAGCACAACUGAGGCACCCCAAAGGCUAGAAAAGUACCCGAAAAACACAGCAAAUUGAAUGAAUAUGCACUGGGUCUCCAAUUCAGUCAAAAUAAGAUCAAGGGGCACGAUACAGAAACUAACAAAGCAGUACUCAAGUGAUACCAGUAGGAACCCCAACAAAGCAAUGAAUUCAACCAAUUGGAGCAAGUGAAACUCAACAAAUGUCACCAAGUGGACAUUCAAUUACCCACUUCAAGAUACCAAGCCUUAAGAAUUUUAAGAAUCCCAGCAAACAAGCAAUUCCAGCAACUACCGAUUAGAAUUCAAGAAAAUUUAAGAAUUGUAAGCAACACCGCAACCAGUACCACUGGUGCACAGACAGGAAAGAAUUAAAUUCAACGGCAGCAACUCAACCACAAGAACUGCAACUUAAAAAUAAGGAAGUAGCUGCAAAUAGAAGCAACAAUGAUAUGCAAAAUAUCUCAACCAGUACCACUGGUGAGUCACAGGCAAAAGUUAAUCAAACAGCCAACACUGCAAUAAAUAGCAGAAAAUAUCCCCACUAUGGCAUCAAUUAAACCCAAAUCUGUCCAAAAUUUAACCUAGAAAAUGCCCAAAUAACACCUUCUUUUAUCCGUCAAGAAAUCCAGACACAAAUUUCAGAAAUUUAAGCUAAUUGGAGAAGGAAUUACAAUACCUCCACCUGUCGAUUUCUGACAGGUGGUGACGACGUGGCUGGACAGAAAGGCUCGCGAGGGAGGAGCUGUCGGCGUGCGCGGGUUGAGGUGACGUCCUGGUCUGCUGUCGCACGCGGACAGCGGUGGAGGGAGCUGCGCGCGGAGCUUGGCGAGCUCGUGAGGUGGUGGCUGAGGUGGGAGCGAGCUGGUGCAGGCUGCGGCACGCUGGUGGUAGCGGCAGGCGGCGCGCGAGGAAACUCCUGGGCGGCGCGCUGUCGGCUGCGUGUGGCGAUGGGCUGGCUGGUGUAGAGACGAGCUGGGGCGGAGGGCUUUGGCCUGCGAUUGCUUGGCUGUGAGGGACGGCGGCGGCGGCUUCCCUUGGGCGAGCCAGUGACGCGCGGCCAAGAGAAAAGGGAGAAGGCCGCGCGCUGUGGGAGAGGAGGUUCGCGAUCUGUGGCCGCGCAAGGGGGAGGGAGCGCGGGGCCUGGGCUGCACGCUGGGGUAGCGCGCGCGCCGUGGAGAGCUCGCUGGAGCUUGGAGCUGUUGCUGAGAGAGGCUGACUGGACUGCGAAGGUAGAGAUUGGUGGUGCCGUGCGCAGGUGGAGGGCAGACAGCAACGGUGGCGACGCGCGGCGUGGGCAGCGGAGGUCGUGCGGCUUUGGUUGCGGAGUGGAGCUGCUGUGGUGGUGGAGGUUGAUGAUUGGGGGAAUUGAUAAUUAGGGGGAAAGGAUGGCGGCCGAAAGAAGAAAUAAAAGAAAAGGGAAACAGCGCAGCAGGGAAGAAAGGAAGAAAGAAAGAAGAAGAAAGAAAGAAAGAAGAAGGAAAAAAAAAAAAAAAGAAAAUUUUUUUUUAUUUUUUUAUUGCACACUCAAAUUUCAAAACUCGAAUUGUGAGAACCAAAACUGAAGGUGUAAAACGGAAAAUGUUUUUAUUUUUUAAUUUUUGAUUUUUUUUUUUUUCAAGGAACCUCUGGCUUAGGCGUGGGCACGUCUAACUGCUAUAGAGUCCGCAGAUCCUGAACGAAAAUUUCUUUCCCUCAGGCGUGACCACCUGGUGUGGGCACGUCUAACUGCUAUAGAGUCCGCAGAUUCUGAACGAAAAUUUCUUUCCCUCAGGCGUGACCACCUGGCGUGGGCACGUCUAACUGCUAAUUCCCUGUCACCAAACAUCAAACUAUUAAUUGACACUAACACUUAACUAAAACUUCAAAAAUUCAUGAAAACUGAAACAAAUAGUCUUGGGUUGCCUCCCAAGUAGCGCCUUUCUUUAAUGUCUUUGGCUAGACAUUAUCAUGUUUUGCUCAUGGAGGGUAAAAUCUUGUGGCUCGUCUUACUGCUUCAUCCUCUAUAUAGUCCUGAUAACCCUCGUAAAUAGAAUAAUCCUUGAGCAUACGAGCUACGGGCUUCCAUGGACUAGUGAAUGGCGCCAAACGAGUCGAUGAUAAUUUGCAUUCUCCAUUCACUCCUCCCCCACUUGCAUUUAUUGGUACAAGAUAUCUUGCCAUCGCCACUCUUAAUUUAUUCCUGUCAUGAAAUUCAAAAUUGUCUGGUAUAAUAAAUUCAAUUUCAUUAACAGGAAUUGAAGAGUAAGAGUCAGGAGAAUAGUGAUGAAGGAGUGGAGGGGAUGUCACCGCAUUUGGAGAUUGUUCACUGGAUUCAUUCACUUGAACCAUUUGAUGUUGGGGUCUCAAUUCUUGCUCUUCAACUUUCUUUUCAACUACAUCUUUAGAUUCUUCUUCUCGUGACUCUUGCAGUACCAUGUCAUUUGUCAGAAUAAUUGCACUCUCAUCUUUCUCAUGGUCGAUAAUAGUCGGUGAGGACAAUUCUUCAUAAACUGGAGAAAUCAAUUUGCUCGUUUUAAAUGCCCAUUCAAGCCUUGCUUCUUUCAUCUCUUCACUCAUCUUUUGUGUCUCCUGUUGAAGUUGAUAUGUGUUAGUAGCUAUUAAUUCAACCAUUUCUUCAAGAGACAUACCUGACAUGGAUGACGGUUCUUGAGACUCUAGCUGUUGAAAAUCUAGUGGCCCUGUUGUAUAAUUAUAACUGGAGUUAUCCCACCAUCCUUGAUCAUACCCGUUUGGAUUAGGGUUAUACCACGUUUGAGACCAUGGUGAAAAAUCUCCAUAAUUAUUGAGUGGGACACUCAUAUUAUUUUGAUAUUCGGGGCACAUACCGGUCGAAUGAUCCCUGGCAUAACAAAUUUUACAGGUUGCAGCAGCCAUUCUUUCUCUAAUAGAGUUUACUGCCUCUGAAUAUGCAAACUUAGCAAAAAAACUAGUCUCAUCGCUUUCCCCGGAAACAAAAUCCAGUCUAUCACCAAAAUACGGAGUGUUAGAAGCCAUAAACUAUAAUAAAAAAAAUAAGGGAAAAAUAAAUAAAAAAUAAAAAAAUAAAAACAAGAUUAACUCAAACAGAAACAAAUUAAUCUGGCACCAGUCCCCGGCAACGGCGCCAAAAAUUGACAGGCGUCUAACCUGUGCAAUAAUAAAUACCUGCUCAAAUAAAAUACAAAUUCUGUAUAUAGCGGUAAGCAGGGUCGAAUCCACAGGGACUGGGGAUAAUUUAAUUUCUUCUCAAGUUCCAGAUAUGGGGGGUUUUUGAAAAUGAGAGUAACUAAAUUAUUUGGAAUAAAAUAAAAUAAAAUAACUACAACUCAAUUAACUAAUUAUCACAAUAAGAAUAAUGAUGGACGAACUCUAGCCAAGAGACAAGUUCGGAGAUGGUUCACUUAAUUCGAUCACAGAUGCAAGGAUUAUUCCAGUUACUAUCCGAUAAAUUAGUUAUAGUUGUCAUACACGCGAUAAACAACCAACUCUUCCUCAAUUUGUCGAUAGCCAAGGUACGACCGUUGACUAUUUCUCUAAUCAGGAAAUAACCCUAGGUACGACCAUAGAAGUUCAAUUCCCUAAUUGCAUGAAUAAUUAGAAGAGCCUAAUUCUAACCAAUCAACACGCUACGAGGGUCUCUUUAAGUUAGCCUGCCUAUCUCCCUGACACAAACCCAAUCAUGCCAGUUGCCACCAGUUUAGAAUAAUUAAACAAUUACGGAUUUAACUACCCUAAUUGGCUUCAGGUUAUUGAAUUAAUCUAGAAUCCGGGCCCUGGAUAAUCGAAUAAUAAAACAACCAUAUGAACAUAAAGCAGAAGAUAGACAAAUACCAGUGAAUAAUGGGAAUAAAUAAAAACUAAUUCGAUCUCACAAAUUUAGUAGAACCAAAUCCUCCGUUGUUCUUGACUAGACAAACUUAGCCACGCCUCAUGAGAAAUUCUUCAAGUAAUUCCACUGAGGUCCAGGCCAUCAAAAGAGCCAAGAAAGAAACGAAAAAACUAAAACUAUGCUAAAAACUGUCUAAACUAAAACUAUUGAUUGAUAAACCUCUCGUACGUUUCUCCCUUUUUAAAGCCAAAAGGAAGUCUAAUGCUAUCUCUAGUGGUCCCCACACCAAAUUCAAAGUCUUGUACGUUUCUUUUCCUAGAGUCCAAAUGACUCAUGCUUCUUAUCCGUGGUCCCCGCACAUGUGGACAAAGCCUCCAAAGUACUUGUUGUUCCAAGUCUCUCUACGUUGCUUUCUUUGAAAAGCCCAAAUGACUAAAUGCCUUGCACUAGCUUGUGGUCCCCACCAAUUCAAGGACCUAAAGGUUGAAGCCCUUAGAAGUCUGCAUUUUUCCAUACAAGUCCCUCCUUUUUGGUAAUUUUCUGCUUCACUCCUGAAAUUGAUUCCAAAUACCAAAUAUGAGUAAAUAUCAGCAAUUAACACAAUAUUUGUCAGGGAUAGAAGGGGAAAUCAAUAAUAAAUUUACUAACAAAUUAUACCCUAUCAAUUCCCCCCACACCUGAAUCAUGCUUGCCCUCAAGCAUGGGAAAAGUAUACAGACACCAAAAUUUGAUAAUGGUCAUUGCUCUAUCUACCAAAUUGCCAAGAUAUUCAAGAGAGAACCAUAUAUCGGGCAUUAGUAAUUAAAAUCCAAGAAGCAUCCCCCCAGUUAGCUUCCCAACCACCAACUUUUCCAAUUCAAAGCAAACUAAUCUAAGAAAAAGGAAUGGUUGCUCACAUUUAUCAGUAAAUGGUCCAGCUAUUAACCAAAAUCUCGACAUUAAGAUCACAAACCGGCGAGCUGACUUAUUCACAUACUAACACAAUCUUUAUUUUAUUUUUUUCCACUUUUUUUUUUGUUUUUUUUUUUGUUUUAUUUUUUUUUUUUUGAGUAACAAAAGACUUAGUGUAUAGCCCUUAGAGCCUUUUGACUCGAACUCCAACAUUUGAUAGAUGGAGGAGCCCGGUUACUCAGCUCCAAUCGCUACAGGACCACGCACUCAUAGCAACUACUACCUUUUGACGCGAAAAUCGACACUUUAGGUGAAGAUCCCCGGUUACUCAAUAGUAACUACUAGCAGAGUACAGUCAGCUCUUAUUUACAACCAUACAGCACAAUAACUAAAAAUAACACAAAAAUAACAGCAGCCAGCCUCAAAUUUCCAAAUAUGGAGAACUAAAAUUAAUAACUGGACCAAUUCACAUAAAAAAAUGCCAACUAUCAUUCCCUAUGCCUAGAAAAGUUAACCAAAAACUGAAAAAGUCAAGCAAUUACCGAUAUUCACCAGAGAGAUGUUCAUGAACUCAACCACAUUAAUUUAAUACCCUUUUAUUAAUAAAACUUGGCAAUAGCAUAAUUAGAGGCAACAAUCCCGCAUCAAAACUUGGUAUUCAUUUAAGGACUGACCACUAGGAAAAGAAAAGAAAAGGAAAUAAAUGAAAAGGGAGAUAAAUAUCAAACUAAAAAUAAAGGAAAAACCUUUAGAAACUAAAAAUAAAAAUACUAGCACCCAAAACUGACCCCCCCCACACCUAAAUCACACAUUGCCCUCAAUGUGAUAAACUAACAGCAAAAGGAAGGAGAAGGGCAACGGUACUUCCCUGAAGUUGUCAAAACAGGGGUGGGUCGGGCGGGGUACUGCCAAAUUCCGCACCAUGUUAUGCAAGUCGACGUCAAUGUGGGUCACUCGAGUCUCCAGUCUCUCAACUUGUAUUCGGAGUUGGACCCAGUCGUUAGCCCCUGGUUGGUCCCCUCAACAAGCAAAUGCAAACUGUCUCCAAUUGGACAGUCAAGUAUCCAAUUCCACCUACUAAAAUUAGCAAAUGGCUCAAGAAAAUGGUACUCCAGUAACAGUAGUUCAAAAGUCGGACAAUAACCAAAUCACAAGGGUAUUAGUUGGCUAUCAGACAGGCAACCAUAUAGAAUCCAUGAAUGUAUUCAAAACACCCCAACCAGUACCACUGGUACAGGCAUAGGGAAAAAUUAAAGCAAAUGACCAACCCAAAGUAUUGAUAAUUCCAAGCAACGCCAAGCAGUACCAGAAAUCGAAAAGACCAAAAUGGUAGUCAAUUGGGGCAAAUAACUCCCAAGGCAAAUAGAGGCAACCUACUUCAAUAAGCAACGGAAAUGGCACAGGAGCCGUCCAAUGCACCAAUUAAAUGCAAUAAACCCCAACCAAAGGCAGCUCAAUAGAUUCCAGGCAGAAAGUACCAAAUGAUACUCAAUUGACACCAAAAACGAUCCCAACAAAGCAGCAAGAUCGAAGGAUACUCAGUCACAGAUGCUCAAUCAUAUCGAAAUAAGAAAUUGCAAGCAAAUUAGCACAACCAGUACCACUGGUGUAUACACAGGAAAGGAGGGAACCACAUGGCCAUCCCAAUUAAUAAAAAGCACAACUGAGGCACCCCAAAGGCUAGAAAAGUACCCGAAAAACACAGCAAAUUGAAUGAAUAUGCACUGGGUCUCCAAUUCAGUCAAAAUAAGAUCAAGGGGCACGAUACAGAAACUAACAAAGCAGUACUCAAGUGAUACCAGUAGGAACCCCAACAAAGCAAUGAAUUCAACCAAUUGGAGCAAGUGAAACUCAACAAAUGUCACCAAGUGGACAUUCAAUUACCCACUUCAAGAUACCAAGCCUUAAGAAUUUUAAGAAUCCCAGCAAACAAGCAAUUCCAGCAACUACCGAUUAGAAUUCAAGAAAAUUUAAGAAUUGUAAGCAACACCGCAACCAGUACCACUGGUGCACAGACAGGAAAGAAUUAAAUUCAACGGCAGCAACUCAACCACAAGAACUGCAACUUAAAAAUAAGGAAGUAGCUGCAAAUAGAAGCAACAAUGAUAUGCAAAAUAUCUCAACCAGUACCACUGGUGAGUCACAGGCAAAAGUUAAUCAAACAGCCAACACUGCAAUAAAUAGCAGAAAAUAUCCCCACUAUGGCAUCAAUUAAACCCAAAUCUGUCCAAAAUUUAACCUAGAAAAUGCCCAAAUAACACCUUCUUUUAUCCGUCAAGAAAUCCAGACACAAAUUUCAGAAAUUUAAGCUAAUUGGAGAAGGAAUUACAAUACCUCCACCUGUCGAUUUCUGACAGGUGGUGACGACGUGGCUGGACAGAAAGGCUCGCGAGGGAGGAGCUGUCGGCGUGCGCAGGUUGAGGUGACGUCCUGGUCUGCUGUCGCACGCGGACAGCGGUGGAGGGAGCUGCGCGCGGAGCUUGGCGAGCUCGUGAGGUGGUGGCUGAGGUGGGAGCGAGCUGGUGCAGGCUGCGGCACGCUGGUGGUAGCGGCAGGCGGCGCGCGAGGAAACUCCUGGGCGGCGCGCUGUCGGCUGCGUGUGGCGAUGGGCUGGCUGGUGUAGAGACGAGCUGGGGCGGAGGGCUUUGGCCUGCGAUUGCUUGGCUGUGAGGGACGGCGGCGGCGGCUUCCCUUGGGCGAGCCAGUGACGCGCGGCCAAGAGAAAAGGGAGAAGGCCGCGCGCUGUGGGAGAGGAGGUUCGCGAUCUGUGGCCGCGCAAGGGGGAGGGAGCGCGGGGCCUGGGCUGCACGCUGGGGUAGCGCGCGCGCCGUGGAGAGCUCGCUGGAGCUUGGAGCUGUUGCUGAGAGAGGCUGACUGGACUGCGAAGGUAGAGAUUGGUGGUGCCGUGCGCAGGUGGAGGGCAGACAGCAACGGUGGCGGCGCGCGGCGUGGGCAGCGGAGGUCGUGCGGCUUUGGUUGCGGAGUGGAGCUGCUGUGGUGGUGGAGGUUGAUGAUUGGGGGAAUUGAUAAUUAGGGGGAAAGGAUGGCGGCCGAAAGAAGAAAUAAAAGAAAAGGGAAACAGCGCAGCAGGGAAGAAAGGAAGAAAGAAAGAAGAAGGAAAAAAAAAAAAAGAAAUUUUUUUUUUAUUUUUUUAUUGCACACUCAAAUUUCAAAACUCGAAUUGUGAGAACCAAAACUGAAGGUGUAAAACGGAAAAUGUUUUUAUUUUUUAAUUUUUGAUUUUUUUUUUUCAAGGAACCUCUGGCUUAGGCGUGGGCACGUCUAACUGCUAUAGAGUCCGCAGAUCCUGAACGAAAAUUUCUUUCCCUCAGGCGUGACCACCUGGUGUGGGCACGUCUAACUGCUAUAGAGUCCGCAGAUUCUGAACGAAAAUUUCUUUCCCUCAGGCGUGACCACCUGGCGUGGGCACGUCUAACUGCUAAUUCCCUGUCACCAAACAUCAAACUAUUAAUUGACACUAACACUUAACUAAAACUUCAAAAAUUCAUGAAAACUGAAACAAAUAGUCUUGGGUUGCCUCCCAAGUAGCGCCUUUCUUUAAUGUCUUUGGCUAGACAUUAUCAUGUUUUGCUCAUGGAGGGUAAAAUCUUGUGGCUCGUCUUACUGCUUCAUCCUCUAUAUAGUCCUGAUAACCCUCGUAAAUAGAAUAAUCCUUGAGCAUACGAGCUACGGGCUUCCAUGGACUAGUGAAUGGCGCCAAACGAGUCGAUGAUAAUUUGCAUUCUCCAUUCACUCCUCCCCCACUUGCAUUUAUUGGUACAAGAUAUCUUGCCAUCGCCACUCUUAAUUUAUUCCUGUCAUGAAAUUCAAAAUUGUCUGGUAUAAUAAAUUCAAUUUCAUUAACAGGAAUUGAAGAGUAAGAGUCAGGAGAAUAGUGAUGAAGGAGUGGAGGGGAUGUCACCGCAUUUGGAGAUUGUUCACUGGAUUCAUUCACUUGAACCAUUUGAUGUUGGGGUCUCAAUUCUUGCUCUUCAACUUUCUUUUCAACUACAUCUUUAGAUUCUUCUUCUCGUGACUCUUGCAGUACCAUGUCAUUUGUCAGAAUAAUUGCACUCUCAUCUUUCUCAUGGUCGAUAAUAGUCGGUGAGGACAAUUCUUCAUAAACUGGAGAAAUCAAUUUGCUCGUUUUAAAUGCCCAUUCAAGCCUUGCUUCUUUCAUCUCUUCACUCAUCUUUUGUGUCUCCUGUUGAAGUUGAUAUGUGUUAGUAGCUAUUAAUUCAACCAUUUCUUCAAGAGACAUACCUGACAUGGAUGACGGUUCUUGAGACUCUAGCUGUUGAAAAUCUAGUGGCCCUGUUGUAUAAUUAUAACUGGAGUUAUCCCACCAUCCUUGAUCAUACCCGUUUGGAUUAGGGUUAUACCACGUUUGAGACCAUGGUGAAAAAUCUCCAUAAUUAUUGAGUGGGACACUCAUAUUAUUUUGAUAUUCGGGGCACAUACCGGUCGAAUGAUCCCUGGCAUAACAAAUUUUACAGGUUGCAGCAGCCAUUCUUUCUCUAAUAGAGUUUACUGCCUCUGAAUAUGCAAACUUAGCAAAAAAACUAGUCUCAUCGCUUUCCCCGGAAACAAAAUCCAGUCUAUCACCAAAAUACGGAGUGUUAGAAGCCAUAAACUAUAAUAAAAAAAAUAAGGGAAAAAUAAAUAAAAAAUAAAAAAAUAAAAACAAGAUUAACUCAAACAGAAACAAAUUAAUCUGGCACCAGUCCCCGGCAACGGCGCCAAAAAUUGACAGGCGUCUAACCUGUGCAAUAAUAAAUACCUGCUCAAAUAAAAUACAAAUUCUGUAUAUAGCGGUAAGCAGGGUCGAAUCCACAGGGACUGGGGAUAAUUUAAUUUCUUCUCAAGUUCCAGAUAUGGGGGGUUUUUGAAAAUGAGAGUAACUAAAUUAUUUGGAAUAAAAUAAAAUAAAAUAACUACAACUCAAUUAACUAAUUAUCACAAUAAGAAUAAUGAUGGACGAACUCUAGCCAAGAGACAAGUUCGGAGAUGGUUCACUUAAUUCGAUCACAGAUGCAAGGAUUAUUCCAGUUACUAUCCGAUAAAUUAGUUAUAGUUGUCAUACACGCGAUAAACAACCAACUCUUCCUCAAUUUGUCGAUAGCCAAGGUACGACCGUUGACUAUUUCUCUAAUCAGGAAAUAACCCUAGGUACGACCAUAGAAGUUCAAUUCCCUAAUUGCAUGAAUAAUUAGAAGAGCCUAAUUCUAACCAAUCAACACGCUACGAGGGUCUCUUUAAGUUAGCCUGCCUAUCUCCCUGACACAAACCCAAUCAUGCCAGUUGCCACCAGUUUAGAAUAAUUAAACAAUUACGGAUUUAACUACCCUAAUUGGCUUCAGGUUAUUGAAUUAAUCUAGAAUCCGGGCCCUGGAUAAUCGAAUAAUAAAACAACCAUAUGAACAUAAAGCAGAAGAUAGACAAAUACCAGUGAAUAAUGGGAAUAAAUAAAAACUAAUUCGAUCUCACAAAUUUAGUAGAACCAAAUCCUCCGUUGUUCUUGACUAGACAAACUUAGCCACGCCUCAUGAGAAAUUCUUCAAGUAAUUCCACUGAGGUCCAGGCCAUCAAAAGAGCCAAGAAAGAAACGAAAAAACUAAAACUAUGCUAAAAACUGUCUAAACUAAAACUAUUGAUUGAUAAACCUCUCGUACGUUUCUCCCUUUUUAAAGCCAAAAGGAAGUCUAAUGCUAUCUCUAGUGGUCCCCACACCAAAUUCAAAGUCUUGUACGUUUCUUUUCCUAGAGUCCAAAUGACUCAUGCUUCUUAUCCGUGGUCCCCGCACAUGUGGACAAAGCCUCCAAAGUACUUGUUGUUCCAAGUCUCUCUACGUUGCUUUCUUUGAAAAGCCCAAAUGACUAAAUGCCUUGCACUAGCUUGUGGUCCCCACCAAUUCAAGGACCUAAAGGUUGAAGCCCUUAGAAGUCUGCAUUUUUCCAUACAAGUCCCUCCUUUUUGGUAAUUUUCUGCUUCACUCCUGAAAUUGAUUCCAAAUACCAAAUAUGAGUAAAUAUCAGCAAUUAACACAAUAUUUGUCAGGGAUAGAAGGGGAAAUCAAUAAUAAAUUUACUAACAAAUUAUACCCUAUCAAUUCCCCCCACACCUGAAUCAUGCUUGCCCUCAAGCAUGGGAAAAGUAUACAGACACCAAAAUUUGAUAAUGGUCAUUGCUCUAUCUACCAAAUUGCCAAGAUAUUCAAGAGAGAACCAUAUAUCGGGCAUUAGUAAUUAAAAUCCAAGAAGCAUCCCCCCAGUUAGCUUCCCAACCACCAACUUUUCCAAUUCAAAGCAAACUAAUCUAAGAAAAAGGAAUGGUUGCUCACAUUUAUCAGUAAAUGGUCCAGCUAUUAACCAAAAUCUCGACAUUAAGAUCACAAACCGGCGAGCUGACUUAUUCACAUACUAACACAAUCUUUAUUUUAUUUUUUUCCACUUUUUUUUUUUUUUUUUUUGUAACAAAAGACUUAGUGUAUAGCCCUUAGAGCCUUUUGACUCGAACUCCAACAUUUGAUAGAUGGAGGAGCCCGGUUACUCAGCUCCAAUCGCUACAGGACCACGCACUCAUAGCAACUACUACCUUUUGACGCGAAAAUCGACACUUUAGGUGAAGAUCCCCGGUUACUCAAUAGUAACUACUAGCAGAGUACAGUCAGCUCUUAUUUACAACCAUACAGCACAAUAACUAAAAAUAACACAAAAAUAACAGCAGCCAGCCUCAAAUUUCCAAAUAUGGAGAACUAAAAUUAAUAACUGGACCAAUUCACAUAAAAAAAUGCCAACUAUCAUUCCCUAUGCCUAGAAAAGUUAACCAAAAACUGAAAAAGUCAAGCAAUUACCGAUAUUCACCAGAGAGAUGUUCAUGAACUCAACCACAUUAAUUUAAUACCCUUUUAUUAAUAAAACUUGGCAAUAGCAUAAUUAGAGGCAACAAUCCCGCAUCAAAACUUGGUAUUCAUUUAAGGACUGACCACUAGGAAAAGAAAUGAAAAGGAAAUAAAUGAAAAGGGAGAUAAAUAUCAAACUAAAAAUAAAGGAAAAACCUUUAGAAACUAAAAAUAAAAAUACUAGCACCCAAAACUGACCCCCCCCACACCUAAAUCACACAUUGCCCUCAAUGUGAUAAACUAACAGCAAAAGGAAGGAGAAGGGCAACGGUACUUCCCUGAAGUUGUCAAAACAGGGGUGGGUCGGGCGGGGUACUGCCAAAUUCCGCACCAUGUUAUGCAAGUCGACGUCAAUGUGGGUCACUCGAGUCUCCAGUCUCUCAACUUGUAUUCGGAGUUGGACCCAGUCGUUAGCCCCUGGUUGGUCCCCUCAACAAGCAAAUGCAAACUGUCUCCAAUUGGACAGUCAAGUAUCCAAUUCCACCUACUAAAAUUAGCAAAUGGCUCAAGAAAAUGGUACUCCAGUAACAGUAGUUCAAAAGUCGGACAAUAACCAAAUCACAAGGGUAUUAGUUGGCUAUCAGACAGGCAACCAUAUAGAAUCCAUGAAUGUAUUCAAAACACCCCAACCAGUACCACUGGUACAGGCAUAGGGAAAAAUUAAAGCAAAUGACCAACCCAAAGUAUUGAUAAUUCCAAGCAACGCCAAGCAGUACCAGAAAUCGAAAAGACCAAAAUGGUAGUCAAUUGGGGCAAAUAACUCCCAAGGCAAAUAGAGGCAACCUACUUCAAUAAGCAACGGAAAUGGCACAGGAGCCGUCCAAUGCACCAAUUAAAUGCAAUAAACCCCAACCAAAGGCAGCUCAAUAGAUUCCAGGCAGAAAGUACCAAAUGAUACUCAAUUGACACCAAAAACGAUCCCAACAAAGCAGCAAGAUCGAAGGAUACUCAGUCACAGAUGCUCAAUCAUAUCGAAAUAAGAAAUUGCAAGCAAAUUAGCACAACCAGUACCACUGGUGUAUACACAGGAAAGGAGGGAACCACAUGGCCAUCCCAAUUAAUAAAAAGCACAACUGAGGCACCCCAAAGGCUAGAAAAGUACCCGAAAAACACAGCAAAUUGAAUGAAUAUGCACUGGGUCUCCAAUUCAGUCAAAAUAAGAUCAAGGGGCACGAUACAGAAACUAACAAAGCAGUACUCAAGUGAUACCAGUAGGAACCCCAACAAAGCAAUGAAUUCAACCAAUUGGAGCAAGUGAAACUCAACAAAUGUCACCAAGUGGACAUUCAAUUACCCACUUCAAGAUACCAAGCCUUAAGAAUUUUAAGAAUCCCAGCAAACAAGCAAUUCCAGCAACUACCGAUUAGAAUUCAAGAAAAUUUAAGAAUUGUAAGCAACACCGCAACCAGUACCACUGGUGCACAGACAGGAAAGAAUUAAAUUCAACGGCAGCAACUCAACCACAAGAACUGCAACUUAAAAAUAAGGAAGUAGCUGCAAAUAGAAGCAACAAUGAUAUGCAAAAUAUCUCAACCAGUACCACUGGUGAGUCACAGGCAAAAGUUAAUCAAACAGCCAACACUGCAAUAAAUAGCAGAAAAUAUCCCCACUAUGGCAUCAAUUAAACCCAAAUCUGUCCAAAAUUUAACCUAGAAAAUGCCCAAAUAACACCUUCUUUUAUCCGUCAAGAAAUCCAGACACAAAUUUCAGAAAUUUAAGCUAAUUGGAGAAGGAAUUACAAUACCUCCACCUGUCGAUUUCUGACAGGUGGUGACGACGUGGCUGGACAGAAAGGCUCGCGAGGGAGGAGCUGUCGGCGUGCGCAGGUUGAGGUGACGUCCUGGUCUGCUGUCGCACGCGGACAGCGGUGGAGGGAGCUGCGCGCGGAGCUUGGCGAGCUCGUGAGGUGGUGGCUGAGGUGGGAGCGAGCUGGUGCAGGCUGCGGCACGCUGGUGGUAGCGGCAGGCGGCGCGCGAGGAAACUCCUGGGCGGCGCGCUGUCGGCUGCGUGUGGCGAUGGGCUGGCUGGUGUAGAGACGAGCUGGGGCGGAGGGCUUUGGCCUGCGAUUGCUUGGCUGUGAGGGACGGCGGCGGCGGCUUCCCUUGGGCGAGCCAGUGACGCGCGGCCAAGAGAAAAGGGAGAAGGCCGCGCGCUGUGGGAGAGGAGGUUCGCGAUCUGUGGCCGCGCAAGGGGGAGGGAGCGCGGGGCCUGGGCUGCACGCUGGGGUAGCGCGCGCGCCGUGGAGAGCUCGCUGGAGCUUGGAGCUGUUGCUGAGAGAGGCUGACUGGACUGCGAAGGUAGAGAUUGGUGGUGCCGUGCGCAGGUGGAGGGCAGACAGCAACGGUGGCGGCGCGCGGCGUGGGCAGCGGAGGUCGUGCGGCUUUGGUUGCGGAGUGGAGCUGCUGUGGUGGUGGAGGUUGAUGAUUGGGGGAAUUGAUAAUUAGGGGGAAAGGAUGGCGGCCGAAAGAAGAAAUAAAAGAAAAGGGAAACAGCGCAGCAGGGAAGAAAGGAAGAAAGAAAGAAGAAGAAAGAAAGAAAGAAGAAGGAAAAAAAAAAAAAAAGAAAAUUUUUUUUUAUUUUUUUAUUGCACACUCAAAUUUCAAAACUCGAAUUGUGAGAACCAAAACUGAAGGUGUAAAACGGAAAAUGUUUUUAUUUUUUAAUUUUUGAUUUUUUUUUUUUUCAAGGAACCUCUGGCUUAGGCGUGGGCACGUCUAACUGCUAUAGAGUCCGCAGAUCCUGAACGAAAAUUUCUUUCCCUCAGGCGUGACCACCUGGUGUGGGCACGUCUAACUGCUAUAGAGUCCGCAGAUUCUGAACGAAAAUUUCUUUCCCUCAGGCGUGACCACCUGGCGUGGGCACGUCUAACUGCUAAUUCCCUGUCACCAAACAUCAAACUAUUAAUUGACACUAACACUUAACUAAAACUUCAAAAAUUCAUGAAAACUGAAACAAAUAGUCUUGGGUUGCCUCCCAAGUAGCGCCUUUCUUUAAUGUCUUUGGCUAGACAUUAUCAUGUUUUGCUCAUGGAGGGUAAAAUCUUGUGGCUCGUCUUACUGCUUCAUCCUCUAUAUAGUCCUGAUAACCCUCGUAAAUAGAAUAAUCCUUGAGCAUACGAGCUACGGGCUUCCAUGGACUAGUGAAUGGCGCCAAACGAGUCGAUGAUAAUUUGCAUUCUCCAUUCACUCCUCCCCCACUUGCAUUUAUUGGUACAAGAUAUCUUGCCAUCGCCACUCUUAAUUUAUUCCUGUCAUGAAAUUCAAAAUUGUCUGGUAUAAUAAAUUCAAUUUCAUUAACAGGAAUUGAAGAGUAAGAGUCAGGAGAAUAGUGAUGAAGGAGUGGAGGGGAUGUCACCGCAUUUGGAGAUUGUUCACUGGAUUAAUUCACUUGAACCAUUUGAUGUUGGGGUCUCAAUUCUUGCUCUUCAACUUUCUUUUCAACUACAUCUUUAGAUUCUUCUUCUCGAGACUCUUGCAGUACCAUGUCAUUUGUCAGAAUAAUUGCACUCUCAUCUUUCUCAUGGUCGAUAAUAGUCGGUGAGGACAAUUCUUCAUAAACUGGAGAAAUCAAUUUGCUCGUUUUAAAUGCCCAUUCAAGCCUUGCUUCUUUCAUCUCUUCACUCAUCUUUUGUGUCUCCUGUUGAAGUUGAUAUGUGUUAGUAGCUAUUAAUUCAACCAUUUCUUCAAGAGACAUACCUGACAUGGAUGACGGUUCUUGAGACUCUAGCUGUUGAAAAUCUAGUGGCCCUGUUGUAUAAUUAUAACUGGAGUUAUCCCACCAUCCUUGAUCAUACCCGUUUGGAUUAGGGUUAUACCACGUUUGAGACCAUGGUGAAAAAUCUCCAUAAUUAUUGAGUGGGACACUCAUAUUAUCUUGAUAUUCGGGGCACAUACCGGUCGAAUGAUCCCUGGCAUAACAAAUUUUACAGGUUGCAGCAGCCAUUCUUUCUCUAAUAGAGUUUACUGCCUCUGAAUAUGCAAACUUAGCAAAAAAACUAGUCUCAUCGCUUUCCCCGGAAACAAAAUCCAGUCUAUCACCAAAAUACGGAGUGUUAGAAGCCAUAAACUAUAAUAAAAAAAAUAAGGGAAAAAUAAAUAAAAAAUAAAAAAAUAAAAACAAGAUGAACUCAAAAAGAAACAAAUUAAUCUGGCACCAGUCCCCGGCAACGGCGCCAAAAAUUGACAGGUGUCGAACCUGUGCAAUAAUAAAUACAUGCUCAAAUAAAAUACAAAUUCUGUAUAUAGCGGUAAGCAGGGUCGAAUCCACAGGGACUGGGGAUAAUUUAAUUUCUUCUCAAGUUCCAGAUAUGGGGGGUUUUUGAAAAUGAGAGUAACUAAAUUAUUUGGAAUAAAAUAAAAUAAAAUAACUACAACUCAAUUAACUAAUUAUCACAAUAAGAAUAAUGAUGGACGAACUCUAGCCAAGAGACAACUUCGGAGAUGGUUCACUUAAUUCGAUCACAGAUGCAAGGAUUAUUCCAGUUACUAUCCGAUAAAUUAGUUAUAGUUGUCAUACACGCGAUAAACAACCAACUCUUCCUCAAUUUGUCGAUAGCCAAGGUACGACCGUUGACUAUUUCUCUAAUCAGGAAAUAACCCUAGGUACGACCAUAGAAGUUCAAUUCCCUAAUUGCAUGAAUAAUUAGAAGAGCCUAAUUCUAACCAAUCAACACGCUACGAGGGUCUCUUUAAGUUAGCCUGCCUAUCUCCCUGACACAAACCCAAUCAUGCCAGUUGCCACCAGUUUAGAAUAAUUAAACAAUUACGGAUUUAACUACCCUAAUUGGCUUCAGGUUAUUGAAUUAAUCUAGAAUCCGGGCCCUGGAUAAUCGAAUAAUAAAACAACCAUAUGAACAUAAAGCAGAAGAUAGACAAAUACCAGUGAAUAAUGGGAAUAAAUAAAAACUAAUUCGAUCUCACAAAUUUAGUAGAACCAAAUCCUCCGUUGUUCUUGACUAGACAAACUUAGCCACGCCUCAUGAGAAAUUCUUCAAGUAAUUCCACUGAGGUCCAGGCCAUCAAAAGAGCCAAGAAAGAAACGAAAAAACUAAAACUAUGCUAAAAACUGUCUAAACUAAAACUAUUGAUUGAUAAACCUCUCGUACGUUUCUCCCUUUUUAAAGCCAAAAGGAAGUCUAAUGCUAUCUCUAGUGGUCCCCACACCAAAUUCAAAGUCUUGUACGUUUCUUUUCCUAGAGUCCAAAUGACUCAUGCUUCUUAUCCGUGGUCCCCGCACAUGUGGACAAAGCAUCCAAAGUACUUGUUGUUCCAAGUCUCUCUACGUUGCUUUCUUUGAAAAGCCCAAAUGACUAAAUGCCUUGCACUAGCUUGUGGUCCCCACCAAUUCAAGGACCUAAAGGUUGAAGCCCUUAGAAGUCUGUAUUUUUCCAUACAAGUCCCUCCUUUUUGGUAAUUUUCUGCUUCACUCCUGAAAUUGAUUCCAAAUACCAAAUAUGAGUAAAUAUCAGCAAUUAACACAAUAUUUGUCAGGGAUAGAAGGGGAAAUCAAUAAUAAAUUUACUAACAAAUUAUACCCUAUCAGGGGCAAAUGAUCCGAUCCUAUUCUAUUCAAAGUUUGUAGCGAGUUAUCUUGAAAACACUACUGCCAUUCUAAGUUUACUAGCUGUCCAUACCAUUCUAAGUUUACUACCAUUUGAUUUACAGUGAACUUGGUCAACACAAAGUUUAUUCUAUCAAGGUUAUAAAGAAUAAAAUUGCAUCCAUUUUGCAGCUAAGGUAGGAACCCUGAAUAAGCUAGUUAGCUAUCAAGUUUGUUUCAGAUAAUAAGCAAUGAGCAUCUGAUCAUCAAAGAGACAGAGAAAUGAUAACCUCAACAACCAAGUCAUUUAUUGCCAUCUCAAGUAAGUCUAUGGUAUUCAGGUCAUCGAAUUCAUCUCCUUUACAAAUGCAAGUAAGGAGCAUUCGGCCACGUGAAAGUAACUUUUCCGAACGAAUCCUUAGAAAUAUGGACAAGCAGAUGACUUGCUUUGGAAGAGUAAAUGCUCUUUUUGUUUGCACUGAUCCCCAAUUCAGUCACCAAACCGCUGGGAACCUGUUGUCUAAAGCUGGUAACUUAUAUAGUUGGAUCAUUUUGUUAGUGUUGCAUAUGGGAAUAUAAAUCAUGAGCCACGAAUUAAAUUGUUAAUCUCAUUUCUUAACUACAAUAGUUUAUCUCAUUUAAUUGUUAAUCAUGCUUCAUUUAAAUGCAUUUAAUUAGUAAAUUUUAGGAAUUUUAUGUUUAUUCGUAUUUUUUUAUAAUAAUAAAGUGAAUUUACUAUAUGUUUGUAUUUUCUUUUAAAUUGUUAAUUAAAUUAGUGUCUUGACUAUUUUGUUAGUUUUGGAGUAUAAAUAAGGUAAAUUCUACCUCAUUUUACCAUUACUUUAAGGGAGGUACUUUUUAUUAUUAUUUUAAGUUCUUUUAUGUGCUCCUAUGUAUUUUUUAUAUGUGUGAUUGCAUGUUUUAAAUGUCUUUUCUUUUCUUUUAUCUUAUUCAUUUUUAGCUUUCAUUUAUUUUAUUUAUUUAAAUUUUGAUUAUUAUUUGGAAGGCAUUUAAAGCCAAAUUGUAAUAGAUAGGUGUCCAAAAAAUGUAUUCAGUUAGGCCAUGUAAUUAGUUAGAUAGAUUUUAUUUUCACCAAAAUUGUAAUUAGUUAGAUAAAUGUAGAUAGGUUUAUUAUUUUCAAAAUUUCCCUUCUACAUUGUAGUUAGGGUCCUUGUGAUAACUCCACCUUCUCCUAGGGCAUAUCUAAGGGUUUGGCGGACCGCCUGCCCAACUCUCGCCAGAACUCACUCACUAACGUUCUUGAAAUAGCUGUUCAAGUCUCAAAAUUAACAUAAAAGUUUCAUUUCCAGCCAACAAUUCAAACUUAAUUUACAAUCCAAGAGUAAAACAUAGGAUUACAUUUCUAAAGAUUUCAAAUACAUCCCAUCUACAAAAGUACAAGUACGAGAGAUUAUAUACACUAGUUCGCGGCUACUUGCUCCAACCUCCACCCCUGUAAGGAAAACAAAACUAAAGGAUUGAGCUAAAAAUCCAAUGAGGUUCCUAAACAAACAAUCAGGUAGGGAAACCAUGGAAACAUUACAUUUAACAAUUUGCAUACUUUGCACAGUAAUAUCCAGUCAUUCAAGAAAUAAACAUUCAAUCAUUGGAAGGAUACGUGCUUAUUUGGAGCAAUUCAUUCAAGUCAUUCAUUCAUUCAUUCGCUAACCAUUUUCCUUAUCCUUCCGACAUUAGAAAACAUUUGUAAGUGAAAACUCCUUCAGUGUUCUUGUCAUUCGUUCAUUGAUAUCAUUGCAUUGAAUUCACUGGCCAAUUCUCCACUAGAUUUCGUGGUAAUAUUCGAGUAUACCAAACAUUGUCCCAGGGUCAGCAGCAGCCCGACGGAGUCCGCUUCUGACUCGAGUCGACUGGCAACGAAGGGCAAGGGCCCAGUUCAGCCAAAAGGCUUACAUUCAUGUACAAGUAGCAUUCAAUCAUUGAAAAUUCACUUUUUCUUGGGUCGAGUGCGUUAAAGUACACACUCGCCCAUCGAAAAUCCACUUAGCAAUCAUUGAAAAGCAUUUAAUAUUCCAGCAACACUCACAACAUUUCACAUAGUCAUUUAAAGCAUACACAUGCAAGGAACACUCAUCUUUUAAAGUAGACCAAAGUUAAAUGUUCCCACCGUUAAAUCCUAAAAGUAAUCAGGACAAGAUGUCAUGAGACUUAUAACAUAUGUUCUUGACAAGAAAUCCAUCACAACUCCACAUAUAUACAAAGUUUCAAAUAACUAAAUCAAGGCUGGAAAUUUUGCCUCUUAAAGCUGAAAAUUGCACACCAAGACUAAAAUUCACAUAUCAAAACUUAAAAUUUCAUAUCAAAGCUAGAGUAUCUCUUAUCAAAGCAGGAAAUUCAUCUCAAAGUUAAACAUUGAACAAUAAAACUGGUAAAAACCAUAAACAUGCUUCCUUUAACUUCAAUCAUAACAUAUCUUGCAUAAAUCUCAAGAAACAAGUAAAAAGAGAUGUUAUCUAGGAAUUUUACCUCAAAACCCCAAGGUGACAAGCAACUCAAGAGUUUCUUCCUCAAAUAACUCCACCAAAGGCUCACCUCCAAACUUAACUCAAGGUUUAUCGGAGUGGAUUAAGGUUGGUCUUUGGAUUCUUCACAAAUCAAGCAAGGAAAUCAAGAAGAAAAUUUGGAAGUUUUUCUCUUUUCUCUCUCUCUCAAUUUCGGCCUUAAUAAGAGAAAAUGAAAGGCUUGUGUUGUGAAAUUGCAAAAUAAAGACUAAAGGAAAGUUUUGGUCAAAAAUUGGCUUGAUGGUUGACAAGUGGCGGCUUCUGGUUUCCUUCCUAUCUCUUUGUCUUUCUUGAUUUAUAUCUAGUUUCCAAAAUAUCUAGAGUUUCUCUAAUACACUCUUAACACUUCUAAUCACAUACUCCCUCUAAUACCACACUUGUUCUCAUCCACCAAAUAUAACGCACACAUCUCACUAGUCGGUCAAACUACCAUAAUACUUUACGAAACUUAACAUGCAUCAAAAUUAUAAAAGGGAAAAGAGAAAAAUCUUGAGUUAACCUUUAAAAUCACCAUCAAAUUAAGGCUAACAAAUAAACAAGUAAAGUAAACUAAAAGGAAAUAUAAAUUAAUUUUUCAAAAAUAGGAGAAAAUUUAAAAUAAUUUUCGGGUUCUCACACUUGUAACGAUCCCACAUCGAUUAGGGAGGAGAGUCUUGGCUGUUUUAUAACCUGUUGUGGGUGUCCCCCCACCUGACCGAGACCUUUUGGAGGGGUGCUGGGUUUCUUGACCUGCGGGUUUGGGCUCUUCACUUGUUGUGAACUAUAGCCCCACCUCCAGGAACAAAACCACGACCUUCUGGACGGCUAACUGUGGGACAAUAUUGAUCAGGGGUGUUAGAAUUGGUAUCAGAACCGACUCCUGACCCUGGUGUUGGAUCUCCUAAGGGGGGUGGAUUGUAACGAUCCCACAUCGGUUAGGGAGGAGAGUCUUGGCUACUUUAUAACCUGUUGUACGUGCCCACCCACCUGACCGAGGCCUUUUGGAGGGGUGUUGGGUUUCUUGACCUGCGGGUUUAGAUUUUUCAUUUGUUGUGGCCUAUAACCCCACUUUCAAGAACAAAAUCCCACCUUUUGAGUGGCUAACUGUGGGACAAUAUUGGUCAAGGGUGUUAGAGUCCCCAAUAUAAUAGUUAGUUUUUAUUUGCUUGCAUGCUUGUGCCCUAAUGUAUUUUAUUCGUUUUUUCUAGGAUUUUGUAUCUAGAUAUUAUGCCUACGUGCUCUACAUGUUUUAUAUGUUUUUUGUGUUUUGAUUAUGUUUUAUGUGUUUUAUUUAUUUAUAAUAAAUGCAUGACGUCGCCGCACUAGUCCAAUAUUAGUUCUGGCAUUUUUUCCCGAUUUUUCACUAGUCCAAUGCUAGUGAGAACUUGUAGAAAUGGAUUAGUUUAAUGCUAGACCCUUUAAAUCAUUUUCACGCUAAAUUCAUACCUUGUGUGAUAUUUAUUGCAUCUCAUGUAUUUUUUCCUAUUUUUAGGUUAUUUUCAAUUGCAUGAUAUUUCCCCUACUAUCAUUCUCCUACCCUCUAUAUAUUUGGACUAUAUCAUUUAGAAUUACAUUUCAUUCUAGGGAAUAAGAAGUAGACUAGUCCAUUUGGUUGACAAGAUUAAGAGAGUCACCCUUCGAAUAUGAGAAAUGGGCGAAUAUGGCUUUUUAACCUUAGCACGCCAUUACUCCUCUAUAAGAAGAAAAAUUGAGUCACGAAUUUUAGUCUCCCAUACCCGUUAUAUUGCAUUUCCCUUUUCUAGGUCAUGCACAUUUAUCUAUAUUAUAAUUUCCUUUUUGAGUCUCACCUUUUGAACUUUUCAUGAUCUCUUCAAAUAAUCAUUUCUAGACAUCACAAUUAAUGUGAUUAGUACCAAUUAAAUUUUGAAGAGACAUUUUGACCCUCCCAAUAUCCUUUAGAUCUAAAUUUGUAUCCAUAUAGAAGCAUCCAAAAUGUGAUAAGUUUUAUACAUUAGAUUAGGAAAAUUUUUGACUAAAUCCCGCAAUUACCCUUGGUUAGGUUGAAAGGGUGUCUUAGAUCAAAUCUUUGUUUUUCCUUUUUUUCAAACAUGACUCUCGAAUUCUUUUAUCUUAUUUUCAAAGAUUUGAAGUCAUAUAAAAGGGUUUUAUUUGUUUUUAUUUAAAAUAUAUUUUUGGUGAAUUGAUACACAUAAACUCAAUACCAAGUGAUGACUCUACUGUUUUCUAAAAAUCUUUUUUAAACUAUUAUUUUGGACUUAAACCGUCGCAUAUUUUAAGUUCCAUUUUAAGCCUUUUUUUAUUUAUUUUUUAAAAUCAAAAACUUAUUUUUUUUAAUACUAUUUUUUCUUUUAUUUUCAAAAAUAAGGUGCCACAAACCCUAAACUGAACCACGUUCCAUUAUCGCAAAAAGUAAUACACAGUGGAUUUAAGGAUGGGCGGUUGUGAUUCACAUGCUUGUUUUGCUUGUUGGCUGGCAUCAGUUGCGUCAAAAGUUGGAGCACCCAUUAUGUCUGUCCCCGACCAAACUAGGCCCCAGCUUAGCAUCGUCCACAGGGCGUCACCUGCUCAUGUAGCUUCUGUCUGCAGUCUGGCUCUUACCAUUAUUUAUGAUUGUGACUUUCCCAUACCACUUGCAUUUUCUGUGGUGAGAAUUUUUCUAUGAGAAUUAUCUCAUUGUUUUUACUUUUUUUUUUUUUCUCUAUUUGUCUUUUUGGAGAAUAAUAAUAAUGUAUUGGUAUGCUUUUUUAAAAUCUGAACCAUGAAAAUAUUCACAAGUCAUUCAUUUAUUGUGUUCUGCUUCUUUUUCAUAUGUUGGAACUUAGAGAUGGAAUAACUGAGAAUUGAGCUUGCGAGAUACUAACAAAAGUUUGAAUGUCUUUCAAGAUAAAGUGGCACUUCCUUCAAAAAGAUAAAGUGACACUUAGCGAAUGAAUAAAUGACAAUUGAGUAUGGCAUUUACUAAGGAAAAGCCUAAUGUAUUUGAAGACAAAGUGGCCACUUUAUGAAAGUUAUUCACGAAUGAUAAAAUCAGAAGUAGAGAUACGGGGAUGGUUACGACUACGGUAGAAAGUUCACUUUUCUGCCCAUAGCAGGCAGAAGCAAUGCAUGGAGGCCAACUGUGCUCUGUGGGACUCACAAAGAAGGAUAUCCGGACACCACUGAGAAAGCGGUUGUCCGUGGAUGAAAAAAUAUAAUACAUUUUAAAAUCACAAUAGAAGUUCUGUUAAAAAUUUAUUUAUUAUCUAAUGCCCAAUACUUAUAUUUGAUAAAUUAAAACAGUUAAUUAAAUAUUUUAUUAUAACAUAAACAACUCUAGUCAUUGAGUUGAUUGAAUAAUAUUUUUUUUUUUUUUUUUGACAUUUCAACUAGUUGUCAAUUAAGUUUCAACUAAAUCCUUUCCCCCACACAAAAACCAACUAAAAACAAACUUUUACAUGUCUGACUUCUCUGGCUUUUUGGCGAGAGAAAUGAUAAGAUUAUUAUAGCAGCCUUUGCCCAAGUGGAGAACCUUUGCUGCAUGCUUCGCAAGCCUGUGGAAUAAGUCAGGCAUAAUAGCUUCUCCAAAAUGACUUGCGAGGAUGGGUUCGUAAACUGAUCUAAUUAAUGAUGCCACAUACUCUGCUUUAAUAUGUUCAUCGCCGUAUACUUGGAAAUGGGAUCUUACUGGGUAAUCAUCAUCAAUAGAGAAGCCAGCAUCAUAAUGGGCCUUAAAAGUCUCCAGGUAUAAAAUUUCAAAAGAACCUUCCUCCUCAACUAUGCACUUUACUUCUUCUGCUGAAGGUGUAAAGAAUGGAAGAUUGAAACUAGCCAAUUUUUCUUCCUCCAGAUGUCCCUGCAGAUAUGCCAAUCAUCAAUUCAAUUCAAAUUAUUUGAAGCGCGAGACUUGGAAAUUAGCCAAUUUGCUAAAACAUCAACUCUAGGAAAAAAAAGGUACAGUUUUUUUCCUUAAUUUCAAAAUGAAUAUAUUAUUAUUACUUGUGCUUUUAGUUCAUAUUAUGAUUUUUUCCAAUACCUUUUUAACCAAAAAGGGGGGAAAAAGAUAGCCGACAAAUUAAAUCCCCCUAUAUUUCUAACUUGAAAGAAUUAUCUUAACUGUAUUGGAGUUGUGUGACCUAACUUCUAAUUAAAGGCUACUACCAUCUGAUUUACGGUAAACUUGGUCUACACAAAGUUUAUUCUAUCAAGGUUAUAAAGAAUAAAAUUGCAUCCAUUUUGCAGCUAAGGUAGGAACCUUGAAUAAGCUAGCUAGCUAUCUAGUUUAUUUCAGAUAACAAGCAAUGAACAUCUGAUCAUCAAAGAGACAGAGAAAUGAUAACCUCAACAAUCAAGUCGUUUAUUGCCAUGUCAAGUAAGUCUAGGGGAUUCGGUUCGUCGUAUUCAUCUACUUUACAAAUGCAAGUAAGGAGCAUUCGGCCACGUGAAAACAACUCUUUCGAAUGAAUCCUUAGAAAUGUGGUAAAAUCUUUCGUAAAUUGAUCCAAAUAUGCCUUUUGGACGGGCGGACGACUUGCUUUGGAAGAGUAAAUACUCCCUUUGUUUGCACUAAUCCCCAAUUCAAUCACCAAACCGCUGGGAACCUGCACGUCUAGAACUGGUAACUUAUAUAGUUGGAUCAUUUUGUUAGUGUUGCAUGUGGGAAUAUAAAUCAUGAGCCACGACUUAAAUAAAAUAUGUUAUUAGUUUCUUCCUGUGGAUAUCUUUAGAAUUAUUAAAGAAAUUUCCAUGCAUAGUUACUAAUGUGUUGAAUGAAAAUCAUGAACUAUUUUUGCUACAAGAAAAAGUAAAAAGAUAAAGGGGAUUAACUCAAAGACCUGAGAUAACCAAUGAAAACUGUAACAAGAGUGUAUAAAAUGCAUGGACUCCUCGGGGAAGAGUCUGCCGUAGAAAGAGCCAGGCAUUGCGCUUAUUAGGCACGAUCCUAUUUUGCGUCCAUUUUCUUUCUCAAGUUUGCGGUAGAAGCUUGGCAGCAACUUGAAAACCGAAUUGAAAUCAUUUUGGAAAAGAUCAUUCAGAAAAAUCUGAAUGGUGGGACGUUCUAAUUCAUUCUUCUCUUCCUGGCCAACUUUGUCAAUACUUUGCACAAUGUCCCGAACUGUUAAAAGUGUGUUUGGUCCAGAAGCGCAUCCCAAAUCCGCAACUUUAAUGCAGUUGUUGAUGUUGGGCAAGUUGGCCCGCAACAAUUCUCGUAUGCAUUGUUCAAGGACAGGUUUCACCUUGGCAAGAGCCAGCUGUUACACAUACCAGUCCAAAAUACAAAUGUGAAGGGGGGAAAAAAGACAUACUAAGUUAGAGAUCGACGUAUCAUAGCAUGAUUUACCACUACUCUGUGUGUGUGUGUUAAAGAGAGAUAGAGAGACAGACAGACAUUGUAGGAUGAAUUCUUGGCGUAGCUUGUAUCGCCUUCACCUCCAUUCAUAUGCAGGACUGCUUGGAGCUCCAUUCAUAUGCAGGACAAUCGAAUUGCGACUGCUAAAGAAGGUGUCUGUUAAUGAUUAAUUGUGCAAAAUGUCGGGCUUAAAUAGCGAAAAUUUCAUAGAUGCGUAUGCGAACCAGCUACCUACGUGCGUAGAAAAGUCUGUCAAUUGGUCAGAAAGAAAGCGCACAGCCAAUGGGAACCAGACACGAAUGAUAAAAUCAGAAGUUGAGAUUUGGGGAUAAAAUAUCUUAUCUUAUAGGGUUAAAUGCAAAAAACCCCACAAACUAUAUACCCAAUUGCAGUUUACCCCCUAAACUAUAAUAAUAAACAUUUUGUCCCCUUGAAUGAUAUGUUUGGACAAAUCUACCCCUUUUAUUUUAAGCAUUGUUAUUUUUCUUUUUUCCCUAUCAUUUUCUUUUUAAAUUCUUCCUUUUUUUUCUUUAAACAUUGUUUAAAUAAGUAGACUAGAUUAGUCAAAAUUUGUUUAUUUCUUAAUUUCGUAUGUCAAUAUUUUAUAAAAAAAAAUCUAUGGAAUACAAGAUUUUUUUUCCAAAUGUUGGAGUCAAUGUCAUUUAAGAAAUUGAACUUUUCAAAUAUAUAAUAACAAAAUAGAGAAAUUGAUUAAUCAAUUAUUAGUAGUAUCAAUAACAAAAAAAAUGAACUACUAUUGUUGUUUAUUCUUAUUUUUUAUUUCACUACAAAUAACAAUUGCUAACUUUUCUUUUUUAUGUGACAUAUAAUAUGUUACUUUUAUUAUAAGUAGUUGAGUAACUGUGAACUCUUAAUUAGUUCAUGGGUACUUAAAUUGUUGAAUUACUAGAUUAAUACACUUUACAAUAUAAGCUACAUAUAUUUUGUAAUAACAAAGAGUUUAUGUCAAAUUAUUAAGAAUAAAUUUAACAAAUAAACAAAUUAAAAAAUAGUUUAAAAAAUAUUAAAAUUUUUUAUGUAAGUCUUUUCACAUCGGAGAAAGACGUUGGCUAGUUCCACGAGAGAAGGAGAAAAUAAAAGGAAAAAAUGAAAAAAGCUAAUAGAGAAAAGAAAAGAAAGGAUUUAAGACAGUAGGGGUAAUGUUGUCCAAACAUAUCAUUCAAGGGGACAAAUUGCCUAUUAUUAUAGUUUAGGGGGUAAACUGCAACUGGGUAUAUAGUUUGUGAGGGUUUUUUGUAUUUAACCCUAUCUUAUAUAGAAAAAGUCAAGACUUCUACUCUCAUAUUGAGCCACGUGGCCGCAUUUGGGAAGGGAGUCUACUGUAGUAUAUUGAUAAGUGUAUGUUUUGAGUGUUUUAAAUGUGUUUUAUUAAUUAGUUUUGGUGUAUUUUAAUUAAUUUUAUAGCUAAUUAACUAAGUUUCUAGUGAAAAUAUACAUUUUGUGGUUUAAGUAUCAAAAAUUGCAUUUCUAUAGAUUUUAAUAGUGAAAAUUUCAUAUUUUUGUAGGUUAAAUUAUUCAAUCAUCAAUUGGAGUGACUUGAGAAGAUAUUUGGAUGAUUUGAAAUGAUUUAAAGAAAACAUGAACUAUCAAAUGUUCAAAAGAGGAAAUUCAAUCAAGAAUAAAAGAAAGGGAGUUUUCCAACUUUGAUACCUUGUGGUCUUUCAGCUAUAUCUUGAGUUACAAGCAUUGAAUUGAGGUGAUUCUUAAACCAUUUUAACACUAAGAGAUAGCUGCAUAUUUGAUAGGGAUAAUUUCAUAUACCUCCCCUUAGGUUUCUGACAGUUUCACUCCCCUCCCCUGUGGUUUCAGAAAUACCACAAACCUCCCCUAAAACUAAAUAGGCAAUGUCAAAAUAGACCCAAUUUAAAAAUACAAACAAUAAAAAAUCAGUAGCUAGAGAGAGAAACAAGUGUAUGCCACAAACGCCCUCAUUAUCUUGCAUUAAUGAGCUAAUCUCAUGUGAAGAAAAAACAAGGAAUUUAAGAAGAAUAAAACUUGAGGGGGUGUAAGUGAGACCAAUGCAUUCAUUAAGGUUUGAACGUCAAUAGUGAACAAAAUGGAAGGCAACGGCUCUUUCUGGCAGUCAGUUCUAAUGUCCAUAUGCAACGCCCAAUUCAGAAGGCUAUUUAUAAGAGUAAGGGACUGCUUGUUUUACAGAUUGAAAUCGGAAAUGGAAAUGGAAUCAUAGACUCCGGUUUUGGAAUUAAACUUUUCAUUCCAAUAUCUAACUUGGUUCACAUAUUGGAAUUAGCAUCAUUCCAAUUCCUGAUACUUGGUUUGAUGAGUGUUUCGGAAUUAAAUGUAAUUAAAUUUCAAAUUUACCCCUGAUAUAACAAUUCUUCUAAAACAAAAGAAUUACACAUACGACAAAUUAACAUCUCCAUAAUUGUAACUACAAUAGUUAUUAACUUUUUGAUAAAACAUAAGAAAAUCAUAAACCAUAAAAAAAAUUAAUACCAAAAAAUAAAUAUAGUGGCUGCAUUAACAAGGAGUAAAUUCCCAAAACGAAGGAGUUUUUAAACUAACUUCUCAAAGGGUGAUGAUUUUUGAAUCUCUUUCCACAGGGUGAAAAAUACAUCCAAGGAAUGCAUUCUUCCAAAUAAAAACGCAACUUUCAAAUACAUUAUUUUAAUUUUCAUAAAUUUAUUUAAAUAUGAAAAAUUGGUUAAAUAGCGCAUAAUAUACCAACUUUUUAUGAGAAAUUGACAGGUUUUGUAGUAUGUUUUGUAUCAGCUCUUUAUGGGAGACAUGCUAGUUCUCUAUGGGAAAAAUUGGUUAAAUAGCGCUCAAAGGAAAACUAUUAUGCUUUGUAUUUAACAUAAAUUAAAUAUGUGAAAGUUAAAAAUAAAAAAAGAAAUUGCUCAUAACAUACCAGCUCUUUAUAGGAAACUGGCAGGUUUUAUAGUAUGUUUUGUACCAACUCUUUAUGGGAAACAUACCAGCUCUUUAUGGGAAAAAUUGGUUAAAUAGUGCCCAAAGGAAAACUAAUAUGUUUUGUAUUUAACAUAAAUUAAAUAUGUGAAAGUUAAAAAAAAAAAAAAGAAAUUGCCCAUAACAUACCAGCUCUUUAUGAGAAAUUGGCAGGUUUUGUAUUUAAUGAACUAUUUAAUCAAUUUUUCAUAUUUAAACAAACUUACGAAAAUUAAAAUAACGUAUUUGAAAAUUGCAUUCAUAUUUAAACAAAUUUACGAAGGCCCUUUUCUAUAUUGGUUGUUAGGACUCUAAUUUUUCGUUAAUUACAUUAAUUGUGUUUAUAACUAACUUAACUAAAUUUUUCCAGAUAAUCACGAAAUAUUAGCAAACUUGUGAGGGUAUUUAAGUCUUUGUGGCACCAAUGAUGUAAGAAAUGGAACCUCACAAUCUGACAAGGGAGGUUUGUGGUAUUUCUGAAACCACAGGGGAGGGGAGUGAAACUGUCAGAAACCUCAGGGGAGGUAUCUGAAAUUAUCCCUAUUUGAUAUGAAGACUUGAAAUCUAGUUUAGUCGUUUUCUUUGUCGAAAUACAGAAGUGCAUUUUUAUUGUCAAAAACUAAAACAGAGUUCUGACUAGUCGAGAAUAUUUUGGUUAUUUCUUGGUCCACAGAUCUCCAAAUUAGAUGAUUCUUGAAGCAUUGAAAAUGGGCUACAACUUUCAUGCUUUUUACAAGAGUUAGUUCAUCCUCCAUCAUCAAGAAAAUACCAGUUGACGUUGGACCAAAAACAGAGCAAAGAGAAGACUUGACCAGAAAUGAGCAAACUUCAAAAAGAGAAAAACGUGGGUAUAAUAUGCGACCUUAGGUCAUGUUUUCGAGGUCGCGUAAUCUUCAUUUGUGGCUGCAGUUUGCUCUGCAACUUUUGCUUUGUUCACACAAGCUUUUUGACUACUUUUUCAGCAAGAAUUUCGACUAGGUAUGAGCUAACAAGUAUGGAGACAUCAAGAAACAACCUUUUGAUGAUUCCAAAAGCCAACUAGCACCAACCUUAACAUGAUUACUUGGAGUUUUAAUCCUCUAUAAAUAGAGGCCUUUGGGAAACAUUUUCCCAACUUUAGAAAGGCUAGAGAAACUCCACAAAAAUGUAGUCUUCACUAGAAUUUCUUUAGUUCAUUAAUUAGAUUAGUAUAGUAUAGUUAGUGUAACUUAUCCUUCUUGUAUUUGUAACUAAACUUGGAUGAAGAUUAAGGAGCAAAAUGAAGAGUUUGAUCUCAUGUGACAAGGGUGAUAUCUCUUAUACUAUUUUUUCUCUUGUAUUUGAUUUCAUAUUUAGUUAUUAUACAAGUUUGGAUUUGUGUUUAAAUAUGUAUUUUUAAAGUUUAUACCUAGAGUUAUGGAUGAACUUGCUAUAUCUUAUUAGUGAUAUUUACUUGGUUAUUUGAUGAUAUUAUUUUGAGCAAAUUAUUUAUUAGUUUUACUUUUCUAAUCAUGAUUAACCAACCAUUAAUUAUGAUAAUAUUAACGUGUUAAAUUUGCAAUGAGAAUUGGGAUUAACAAUAGUUCAACGAAGUGAUAAACUUAGGGAAUACACUCACAAGAGUAGAGGUACACUUAUGUGGAUUUACUGACUUGUUUCAUGUAAUUUCAUAGAAGAAAUAAGUUUGUAAUUAAUUUCAUAACCAUGAGAGUAGGUAUGGUUUAAUUACAAGUAUAGUUGAUUCAUUACGAGAGUAGAUUUCAUAUACAUUAAGAAAUUAUGCCAUAACUAGCCAAGAUAAUAACAUUCACUUAAUCGAUAAUUUCAUUAGCGAGAGUAGUUAGGAAUUUCAUACCUCUAGAAGUUUUAUAUUUUUAUUUUUAUUACGUUUACUUCAUGUUUGUAGUGUAGCUUUAAUCUUUUGCAAUUUGUGGUAAUCUAAAUAAUAAAGGAGUUUGAAAGCUAUCGGUAAUUGACAAUUUUCUCUGUAGGUUUGACCCUUAAUACUCUAUGCUCAAUCACGCAUAGUAUACUUGUGAAAAAUGGCAUAUGGGGUAUUUUGAAUUUUAUAAAUAUGAAACUUGACUAUGGAUGACCUAAUUGUUAUAUACAUAUCCCGUGCCCGUCAAAUUUUUAAUGCCGUUGCCGGGGAAGAUUUUGCUCAAUAUUGGCGCUAAGAAUAACUUUAUUAAUUUAGACAUUUUUUCUUGGUUUUCUUGUUUUUAUUGUGUUUAUUGUCCUUUUGUUAUGUUUAGUGUCUUGUUGUAUCUUUUAUUUUAUGUUUAGUGUCAUGUUUUUGUAUGUGUCGAGUCAUCUAUUCUUCUUGACUAAACUUGUUUUUGAAUUACUUUGAAAGUAUGUUUAGGGUUUUAAGGAGAGUAGAAAACAUGAGGAGACAAUGCUUGAGAAGUGAAAGAUCGGCAAUGGAUUAUUAUCAAGUACAAAGCACCUUGAAUAGAGGUAACCAAGAUGUUACCGAAGGUAUAUCAUUCAAAAAUGGUUUAAAGAGUUUAAAGGCUAAACUUGAUAUUAUAAUAUUAAAAGUUCAAUUGGACACCAUUACAAACAUGCUUGAGCAAAAGAGGAAUGUUAAUACUUUUAAUUCUUAUCAUGUGAUUUGUAACUUGUGUGGAGAUUAUCAUGCUACUCAUACAUGUAGGCAAGCACACAAUGUGGAUUAUUAUGAUGAAUUUGGGUAUUACAAUCCUUAUUUUGAUCAAUAUGGUCAUAACUGGGGGAAUUCUUAUACUUAUGAUUGGGAUAAUCAAUGUAUUUAUAGUGAUUCUCAAUGUUAUCAUGAUUACCCACCCGAGCGUGUCCAAUAUGAAUCUAAACUAUUUUGGGAAUUAGCCAUAGAAAAGCUAGCUAAUGCAACCUCAGAUCGUUUUGAUAGGGUUGACCAAAGAUUUGAUGAAUUAACUUCUCAUUUUGGUAGAUUACAAGAUCAAUUACACGUUUUGUGUGAAGUUAUUUUUUCUAAUCAUGUGCAAGAUGACCCUAACAUGAAUGAUGGAAAUGUUGUAUGUCGAAAUGGAUUGCAUUUUGAUGGAAAUGAUGCAUUUAAUAUACGUUUCAAUGAGAAAUUGUCCAUUUCACAAAAUCAUAUCCUUGGAACUAACUUUAAAGCUCAAGAGAUGAGCAUCAAUGACUCAUUUUUCAUCUCUCUUGAGGAAUGUGUUGAAAACAUAGGUUCUAAAUAUAUCGUCACCCAAGAAAGGCAAGCAGAUGUUCCUUUGGUGAGCACUCAAGUGACGCACAUUCAAGGUAUUAUUUAUCCAUCGCUUGAGAUAUGUAAGCCUCUUCCACCUCUCAUACUAUUAGAACAUGUGGAUUUUGAUAUCAAGCCACCAUUUAUUGAUCCACCAUGUCUUCUAAUGAUGAAUUAUUCAUUGACAAAAUCUCGAAAAAUGAAAUUAUAUAGUCGAGCCAAAGACUAUAAACAAAAGCGCUAGUUGAGAGGUAACCCAAUAUUUUGAUGACUUAUGUUAAUUCAGUGUGAUUUUAUGUUUAAAUUAUGCAUUUAAUGUAUUGUUUUUCUUUUGUAGGUUUGGGAAAUAGAAGUAAAAGUGAUCAAAUGAGAUGAAAAAGGCGAAAUUUGAUUGAAAAACUCCACCCCUCGAUUUGAGUAUUUAAUGUUUUUGAUUCGUUAAAGAGAGGUAAAAUACAUAUUUUGAUCAUUUUACAUAGCGUGCGUUGAUUAUUUUAUCGAAAGAAUGAUCUAGUGUGCAUUUUAAGCAAUAGGGGUACCAUGUGUAAUUUUAAAAAAUUGAAUCUUCUGUAGAAAAAUUGCAGAAAAAAACGCAGCAUCAUGGAAAACGCGACCUUAGGUCACGUUUUCUUGAGGUCGCCUACUCUAUUCUACAAUUUUUCAACAGAAUACACGAGUACAGAAAACAUGACCUAAGGUCACGUUUUCAAAUGUAAGAUAGAAAACGCGAGCCUGAAAACACAAGCUCAAGCUCGCAUUUUCUACUCGCAUUUUUUAAGUUCUUUUAAGAAACAAAAAUGCAGGCUGCCUUAUUCUUCUUUUCUUCUUCUCCUCCUCACAUUUUCUCACACAUACUAACACACAAUUCACCAUUUUCCUCUUUUACUCAAUUUCCUUGUAAGAAAUCAUCAACAAAAUAUUAUUUGACCUUCAUAGAUCCUUUUUAACUAAUUAGAAUUCAGGAAAAAGAUCUCAAAAUUUGGUUGAAGGUUAGGGUUCAUAAUUUCUAAUUCCAUCAAUUGAAGGUCAAUUGGAGUGAUUUUCAUAGGACUUUUUGUAUCAUUUGUAUCACCAAACAUCACUCUACCAAUUUGAGAUAAAUUUCUUGAACUUAAUUUGGUAUUUUAAAAUUCACCAUUUGCAUAUCUUUUGAGUUUAUUGAAACACUUUGAAUGGCGAAUUUGUGAUGUUAUUUGUUGGUGUAUAUAAGUUCCAUUAUGCUUAUGUAACAUCUUUAAGCAUAUUUAGAUGAUCAAAUGUGGGAAUGUGAUGAUCUAUGCAAUGUUUCAAUUCAUGUAUAUUCCUAUUUUAUGAUCAAUGUAAUAAUUGGUCUUAGAAUAUUGUUAAGCAUAAUUGGAUAGUUCAAAUUGCUAAAAUGUGACUUAUUCAUGAUGCUUACAUGUCUACAUUCAUUACAUGGUGACAUUUUAGCAAAUUUGAAUUUGUAAACUUUAGAGAGUGGCUAGUUUAUCUAGUUAAAGGAAAAUGAUACAUUUAAAUGGAAAUUUAUUGCUUAAUUUUCAUAUAAAACAUCAUUGGAUGAAAAAUUUUGAAUAUGUGAAGAAUUUAGCAAUUUGUAGAAUUUUAGGAGUAAAAAAUGUGUGAAGUGAAGUGAAAUGUUUCAUUGUACCUUGAGUAGUUUCUUAUAUAUUUUAUAUGGGCACAUCACCACGACAAAGGCGUAGAAGUUACGGAUCGCCAUUUUGUGUUUAUUAAUACGUUUGUUAUCACUUUUGUUUCUCAUUUUUCAAUUCUUAGGUUUAAUUACUAAUGGUUAUCCAAUGGAACUAAUAAAGUUUUGGAAAUAAACGGACAAUGGUUUGUGACACUUCAUGACGCUUCAAUUAUAUCAAUAAGGGAGUAUUCCUUUUUUUUUAUUUCCCUUCUUACACAUUGAAAACAAUGUAUAUGUUAAGUGUUGGGGGGGAGGGAAUUGAGAUUAUAUGCAUCGUAUGUGAUUGAUUUGUUAGUUGCAAAUAUUGGACUUGUGCUUGAAAAUGUUAUCGGGUUUAAAAAUUUUUCAAAAUUGGGUUUGUUGGCAGGGAGUUUAGUCCAUUUAUAAGAUGAGACUCUCACAAAAUUUUUUCAAAAUCUUGUCUAAAAUUGUAAAAUUGUCCCAAAAGAUUUCAAAAUUUUUCAAUUUUAUCCAAGGGCAACAAGUUUCAUACCUUUAGUAAUUCAAAUUCCUUCUACUUUUAAGAUAAAUAUAUGUAACUUGACAACUUCUUUUCUCAUUUAACUUGAAAAUGACUAUUAUGUGAUUAUAAUUUGCGCAUUUAUAGGAAAGUAUCUUGAAAAAUGGAGAAAAUUAUGCCUAAAUUUUACAAAUUUGAUGAAAUUUCUUCUCUUUACUUAAUUUUACAUAGUUAAGUGAAAAUAUGGUCAAUAAGUAUAAUAUUCUUCUCAUGAUUAUUCUUUUGAGAGAAUGUUAUUAUUUUUGCUUUUGAAGAAAAAAAAGAGAGAAAAAAGGAAAAAAAAAGAAUAAAAGGAGAAUAAAAGUUGUUCUACUUUAAUGGUUCUUGUACUUAGUAAUCGGGAGUGUUUAUAUACAAAUAUUGAUUUUCGCGUAAAAGGGAACUAGAAUUAAGAGUAUGCAAGGCAACUUGAGGAUAUGAAGUGUUGAGUAACUGGCGAUUUUCAUCUAAAAAUGUCGAUUUUUGUGACAAAAGAUACUUUCACAACUUGAAUAAUAUUAGAUAUAUUAUAUGAAUAAAUCCUUUUUUGCAUCUGAAAAAGGUGAUGAUCAUGGGUUUAGAAAGCAUUUUUAUUCACCAUAUGACUCGCUUGUGAAAUUGGAAAAGGAUAAGAAAUUGACUUGAAUUAGUUACAAUUAUGGCAUAAUUAGCUCUCCUUUACUUGAUAUUAUGAGUACUUGAACUUGAUUGAAUGAUUGCAUUAUGGUUAUUUACCUUGUUUUGAGGAAAUGAAGUUGAACUGUGUACAUAUGUUUAAUUCCAAAGUUUUGGAUGAUUGUGGUUAGUAAUUCUUAAUUGCUUGAGAACAAGUAAUGGUUCAAGUAUGGGGGAGUUUGAUAAGUGUGUAUUUUGAGUGUUUUAAGUGUAUUUUAUUAACUAGUUUUGGUGUGUUUUAAUUAGUUUUAUAACUAAUUGACUAAGUUUCUAGUGAAAAUAUACAUUUUGUGGUUUAAGUAUCAAAAAUUACAUUUCUAUGAAUUUUAAUGGUAAAAACUUCAUAUUUUUCUAGGUUCAAUGAUUCAAUCAUCAAUUGAAGUGACUUGAAAAGAUAUUUGAAUGAUUGUUGAUGAUUUGAAGUGAUUUAAAGAAGAUAUGAAGUGCCAAAUGUUCAAAAGAGAAAAUGCAAUCAAGAAUAAAAGGAAGGGAGUUUUCUAACUUUGACACUUUGUGGUAUUUUGACUAUAUCUUGAGAUACAAGCAUUGGAUUGAGGUGAUUCUCAAACCAUUUUGAAGUUAAGACAUUUGUUGUGAAGACCUCAAAGUUCAGUUUAGUUGUUUUCCUUGUCAAAAUAUCGAAAUACAGAAGUGCAUUUUCAUUGUCAAAAGCUAAAAUAGAGUUCUGACCAGUCAAGGAUAUUUUGGUCAUUUCUCAGUCCACAGAGCUCCAAAUUGGAUGAUUCUUAAGGAAUUGGAAAGUUAAUGCAAAGGACUACAACUUCAUGCUUUGUAUAAGAGCUAGUUCAGCCUUCAUCAUUAAGAAAAUGUCAGUUGAAGUUGGACUAAAAACAAAGCAAAGAGAAGACUUGACCAGAAAUGAUAAAACCUGCAAAAGAGCAAAAUGUGGAUACAAUACGCAACCUUAGGUUGCAUUUUCGAGGUCGCAUAUUCUUCAUUUGCAGCUGAAACUUGCUCUACAACUUGUGCUUUAUUCACACAAGAUUUUUUACUACUUUUUUUGCAAGAAUUUCUGCUGGAUAGUGCUAAUAAGUAUGGAGACAUCAAGAAGCAAUCUUUUGAUGAUUUCAAGAGCCAACUAGCACCAACCUUAACUUGAUUACUUGGAGCUUUAAUCCUUUAUAAAUAGAGGCCUUUGGGGAACAUUUUCAGAACUUUAAGAAGACUAGAGAAACUUCACAAAAAUGUAGUUUUCAGUAGAAUUUUUUUAGUUCAUUAAUUAGAUUAGUAUAGUAUAAUUAGUGUAGCUUAUCCUUCUUGUAUUUGAUCUCAUAUGACAUGGGUGAUAUCUCUUCUACUACUUUCUCUUAUAUUUGAUUUCAUGUUUAGUUAUUAUACAAGUUUGGAUUUGAGUUUCAAUGAGUUUGUUUGGACAAGCCAAAUUUGGUUUGCAAAAUUUGUUUUCACAAAUCCCAAUCACCUUUUUAUCUUCCCAAUCACCUUUUUAUCUCACAUACAUCACAUCACAAAAAGUGCUACAGUAAAUAUCUCAAAUAAAUCAUCCAAAUAAACUCUUAUCCAAACAAACUCAUUAUGUGUUUCUAAAGUUUAUACCUAGAGUUAUGGAUGAACAUGUUAUAUCCUGUUAGUGAUAUUGACUUAGGUAUUUGAUGAUAUUAUUUUAAACAAGUUAUUUAUCGCUUUUACUUUUUUAAUCAUGAUUAAUCAACCAUUAAUUGUGAUAAUUUUAAGGUGUUAAGUUUGCAAUGAGAAUUGGGAUUUAACACUAGUUCAAAAAAAUGAUAAACCCAGCGAGUAUACUCAUGAGAAUAAAGGUGCACCUAUGUGGUUUUAGUGACUUAUUUCAUGUAAUUUCAUAGAAAAAAUGUACUUUAGUUGAUUUCAUAACCACGAGAGCAGGUAUGGUUUAAUUACAAGUAUAGUUGAUUUACUACGAAAGUAGAUUUCAUAUACAUUAAGAAAUUACGCCAUAACUAACCAAGAUUAUAGUAUUCAUUUAACCGAUAAUUCAUUAGCGAGAGUAGUUAGAAAUUUCAUACCUCUAGAAGCUUUAUAUUGUUAUUGUUAUUAUGUUUAUUUCAUGUUUGUAGUGCACAUUUAAUCUUUUACAUUUGUGGUAGUCUAAAUAAUAAAGGAGUUCGAAAGCUAUCAGUAAUUAAUAAUCUUCUCUGUGAGUUCAAAGAACGGAAGUCAGGAAUUUCAAUUUUUUGUAAUGGAGUCUGGUAGGAUACUUAGAAAAGUUAAGACUUGAAGGCGGAUUUCAAAAGUGGUUUAAAUGAUCUGAUAUUGCAUUGUUGCCCCAACCCUAUCAAAACUUGCACCAGUUUAUUAUCAAUUGAGGUUCUCUUCUUCUUUUUUUUUAUUUUCCCUUUUCCCCUUUUUUGGCCUUCUAGCAUUUCAUUCAUUUUUUGAAAUUUUUAAAAUUUGGGCCAGUUUAUUUUUAACUGAGGUUUUUUUUUUCAUUUCCUUUUGUUCCUCUAUCACUUUUCACCUCUUAAGGCUUUUCUUUCCUCUCUUUUCAACGCAAACUUACUCCAGUGUGGGGUUUGCGAUCCUUAGGGGUUGCCAAAUGAAAAUAAUUUAUUCUGAAGGUUCAAAAGGGAUAACUAGGGAUAGAAGGUUUGAUUGGAAAGGAAAAAGACCUGACUUUCAUUCCAUUCUCCGUAUUAACCCUGAAAGGAAACUUUCGUUUAUCAUAUUAAAUAUUUUUCACACAUAUCCGAAUUGAUCGGUUGAGGGAAAUCUUGUCCAUCCAUUUCUACAAGAACAAGUGCUCCACCAGGCAAUACCUUUUUGACAAUAAAAGAAUCUUGUCAAUUUGGGGCAAACUCUUCUUUUGGGCUCAUCUUGCACCGACAAAAGCUACUUCAAUGCUUUGUCUCCUUCUUCGGAUAGUUGCGGUUUGAUCUUCUUGUUUUAAGCACGGGCCAUUCUCUUUUGUUAACACUAAUCAUGACAAAUGGCAUUUAGCUGUUUCUUAUCAAGUGACUACUGACUUUUAUUUCUUUAAUCUUGAUCCCAAUUCGGCUUGAGUUUCUCUUUAUACCAUUUGGGCCUCUUUGAAAUAUUUUCAAAUGUCUCUUCGCUAUUCCUCUCAUUUUGAAAUCCAAAUUUACAUUCGUGAGAUUCGAGAUUGCUGUCAUCAAAUUUCGGAACAGUGAUAGUCAAAGGGUCAGAGGAUUUUAUUGUUGGCCAUCUGAAAAAAAUGCGUAAGUAACACAGUAUAUAUAAAACUAUACAGUUUAUUGAAUUUCAAAAUAAAGUUCAAACUUAAUAGCAUGUUACUUAUUAAACAAGACGUAUCUUCAAAAAUCACUUGAUUCAAAAUUAUUUACAAAAAUAUAGUUAAACAAAAGACACACACAUGAAUGAUUUUCAUAGAUUUUAACCAAAGACAAUUCCUCAAAUUUAUAAAAACGCCCUUCAAGAGGGAGGGAUCUCACUAGUUCAGGAUUUUCAAAUUACUUCAUUGGGGACAAAUGCCUCAAAGAUGUCCUUAUGUUCGGGACAGGGUUUUGUACUUAUGCUCGGUCCUUAUUCUCCCAUUUUCCUUAGCACUAUAUCUCCUGCUUCAAUCAUAUCCUGAAUUUUAUGUUUCAAUACCCAACAAUUAUUGACGGAAUGCCCAAGAGCUCCAGAAUGAUAAGUGCAGACGGCUUGAGGGUCAUAAUUAGGGGGAACACCCCUAGGAUAGAUCUUGGGAGGCAUAACAUCAAUUUUUCCGGCAGCUUUGAAUUGUUCGUUUAAUUGAUCAAUGGGUCAGCCCAGGUUGGUGAAGGUUCGAUAUGGGGUUGGGUUUCGAGUUUCACUGUUUAGAGGAUAAGUUUGGUUAUUUGGUUGAACAGGUCUUGGAUUAUAAGGAGAGGAGGUCGAGUUUGAAAAUUGGGUAUUGGGACGAGUAGUAUAAAUGGGUUUGCAUAAUUUGGCCGAGGUCGAGGGUGAUUGAUAGUAGUAUGGUAAAUAGGGCGUGGGUUUGGAUAAUAUGGGUAGGGUGAUGAAUAUGUGGGGUAUUGCUGAAAUCUAGGUUGGGAAGAAAAGCCUUAGUCCCAGACUAAUGCGGCUUCCCCAUCUUUCUUUUUGAACUGAGGCGUCUUGCUACUGCUUCUUGCAUUUUGCAAGGCUUCUAAUUGCGAUUUCAGAGCUGACACAUUAACAAUCUUUCCCGCUCUUACAAACUCAUCAUAUUCGUUCAAUUUGUUGACAAUUUCUGCAAACAAGCAUCUAGUCAUGCAAAAAUUUCCUCAAAAGAGGACAGGUCAUGAGUUUUGAUAAAUGUUUGAACAAUUUCAUCCUCGGUUAUAGGAGGUUCCACCUUGAUAGCCAAUUUCCUCCAUCGCUUCGCAUAAGUCUUGUGAUUCUCAGAUGGUUUCCUUUUAGUGCAUUUAAGCGUGGUUCUCGUUGGAGCAAGUUCACAAUUGUACUCGUAUUGUCUCACAAAAGCAGUUGACAAAUCCAACCAUGUUCUCAUUUCUUCAGGCUUUAAAUUGGAAUACCAAUCCAGGACAUCGCCUUCCAAGGUCUCCGGGAAUAAACGUAUUGGCAAAUUUUCAUCAUAUACUGGCUUUUCCAACUUAUUUGCAAAUAGUCUUAGAUGCGUUUUGGGGUUACCAGUUCCAUCAUACUUACUAAAUUUGGAUGUUUUAAAACCCAAAGGCAAUUGCAUGUCCGGAAAAAGACACAACUCAUCAUAAUCCAAAACUCCAGGCUUGCUCAAUCCUUGAAUUUUUCUUAUGAAUUCAUCAAAUUUAUUUAACCUUUUCAACAGAUUUUUGUCUAUUGGGGGUGGAGGAUUCACCCUUUUUCACCUUUCCUUGCAUAGCAGCAUCCAGCAUGAAUGGCUCAGUGGUGGUGUGAUGAACUAUUUGAGAGUUUGGGUAAUUCUGAAACAUUUGAAUGCUGGCCAGGUUGACUUGGAUGUUAUGAGGGUAAUUAUAUGGAAAACUGGAAGCAGGGUAGGUGAAAGUCUUUUCGGGUAUAUUUGCAAAGGAUGGUGCAAAGGUAACUUGGGUAUGAGAUAAAGGAGAUGGUUGGUGUUCUAUUUCAGGUUGACUAAUAGGCAUGGGAUCAUGUUGGAUAUCGCCACUGCUAGCAACCAGUUGGUCAAUCAUGCGCCUUUGGGUUGACAUUUCCACGCUCAAUUCAUUGAAUUUGUUUAACAUCUCACUCAGUUGAACUCCCAAAUUUGCAGUGUCUGCUGGAGGUGUCGUGGUGGACCGGUCAGAUGAUUUCGGAUGUGCACUCAUGUUUACACGGUUUCUCAAAACUCGACUGCGAGAUCGUGUGACGAUGGGGUUUCUUCUUAUAGUUAUGUUUACAAUUACCUGAAAAUUUAGGAAAACCCUAUUUAGAUUCCCUUCUUGAUUAACUGCUGUCAAAAGAAAGAAAAAGAAAAAGACACGAGUUAGUACAAAUUAAAGUAAUUCGAAUGCACGUUCUAUUGGGGGAGCCCUUUUUGUGCCAAGGGUAGCCCUAACAUGAGAAUGCAAUCCUUUAGGGUAGGCACGUACAAUACCUGAUGAAUCCGAUCAACUUAUUGAUAUUCAAGUGAAAACCAAUUUGAAAGAAUUUGACCAAUUGGAGUGAGAAAACACAUAUGUCCUAACAAAAUGAGAACAAAGUCCGAAUGGAUUGAUUACUUUGAUUAAUACUUAAAGUGAUGUGUGAAAGAGCCUACUCUUGAAAGGAUUGCAAUGCCUUGACUAGUUUAUUUAGUGAACCUUAGAUCGAAACCCUAAAAGAGAAUAAACGGGUCAAAUAGAUCGGAUGAAAUUGAUGAACUUUGCUGGAUCGCCCUAAAAAUGGGUAAACUGGUCAAAUGGAUUAAAUGAAAUUGAUGAUUUAUUCAAAAUUCACUGGAUCACCCUAAAAAUGGGUAAACUGGUCAAAUGAAAUUGAUGAUUUAUUCAAAAUUGAUUGGAUCACCUUAAAAAAUGGGUAAACUAGUCAAAUGAAAUUGAUGAUUUAUUCAAAAUUGACUAGAUCACCCUAAAAAUGGAUAAAUUGGUCAAAUAAAAUUGAUGAUUUAUUCAAAAUUGACUGGAUCACCCUAAAAAAUGGGUAAACUGAUCAAAUGAAAUUGAUGAUUUGUUCAAAAUUGACUGGAUCACCCUAAAAAAUGGGUAAACUGGUCAAAUGAAAUUGAAGAUUUAUUCAAAAUUGAUUAGAUUGUCCUAAAAAUGAAUGAAUGGAUUGAGUUAAUGAUUUAUUAAAAAAUGACUAAAACUUGUUCUAAAAGUGAAUUGAUCUAAUGAUUUUGUGCUAGUGCCUCUUUCUUCUUUUUUUUUCAGUUGGCCAAAACCUACUUGGCUCGCGACUUUCCUUUUUUUUUUUUUGAGUUGCUGAAGCUUUCAGCAAUGGCAUACAAUAGUAGCGGCUCUCCCCCUCCCCUUCUUUUUUUAUAACUUUUCAACAUAUUUGGGUAAACCCUAUUCAUCCCAUAAUUAAAAUUUAAUACUCUAAUCCUACUAAUCCAGAUAUGAAUCCUCCUAAAUCUCUCAUACAAGCAUAUAUAUAUAUAACAUAAUACAUAGCCGUAAAAUCUUUAGAAUAAUUAAUGCGACUAAUUGAACUUAAAAGAGAAGUUUUCACGUGAAUUUGGGACUUACAGGUUUAGGUGCCUAGUUGCCCAAUUGAUUGAUAGCGACGUCAUCUUCUCCUUCUCUACUUUCUGACGGCUCUUGCUCUAAGGGGAGGCAGACAAUGAAAGGUAGGAAUGAUGUUUUUUUUCUUUGUUAUUUUGAUAAGUGCGCUAAACCCUAAUAACCACCCACUAGUAGAUGGGUUAGAUAAGAGUUUAAAUGUUAUGAACUUUUACUCUAUUUUAUCUCAUUUCUAUCCUCCAAUUAACCCUUUAAUCUAUCCUACACUUACUUUUACUUUUACUCAUAGUAAAUUACCAUUUAGUUAAUUGGGCAAGAAUUAAAAAAAAAUGAGCCAAAACCGUGGGUUUUACAUUCUACCCCCCUUACAAAAAGUUUCGUUCUCGAAACUUACGUACAUUGAUAAAAAAGAUAGGAAUAUCUAUUUUGCAUGUCUUCUUCUAACUCUCACGUUGCCUUUCGCAGUGUAUGGUUCAACCAUUGUACCUUCACGUAGGGUAUGGUCCUUCUUCUUAGAACUUGAUCCUUCCGAUCCACGAUUCUUAAAGGGACUUCCUCCACUGACAAGUUCUCCCUCACCUCGAUGGGUUAAUUCUCGGGUCUGACACAUACUUUCUUAGUUGGGAGACAUUAAAAUCGUUAUGUAUCCUGAACAGAACAAAUGGAAGAGCCAGUCGAUACGCUAAAGGUCCAACUCUCUCCAGUAUUUCGUAAGGUCCUAUAUACCUUGGACUUAACUUGCCACUUUUUCCAAACCUCAACACUCCUUUGGUGGGGAAUACUUUCAAAUAUACCUUUUCUCUCGAUUGAAAUUCUAAAGGCCUUCUCUGUAAAUUCGCCCAAUUUCUUGUUUCGGUCCUGAGUUACUUUUAGUCUCUCUCAAAUAACUUUAAUCUUCUCCAAGAUUCUUUCCACCAAAUUGGGUCCGAUGAUCAACUUCUGAUAGGUCAUAAUUUGUUGCUAAAUUUAUAAUUAUUUUCCCUUUGAUUUUUAGCCAAAUAUUAUUUUAAUUGUCGAAUUCUACUUAUAUUUGGUGUUUUAUAUUAUUUGCAGGGCAUUGGAGUAAAAAGUGCUAAAGAGAGGUAAUUUUCUUAGAGUUGAUUGUCAAGCGUAAGUGUUCCAAUUCAAGAUGGAGUCUAUGUGGAGCAUUGGUUGAAGAUCAGGAAACUGCCACCUUUUAUUAGAUAUUUUAUUAGGGAAUAAUUAGCAUUAUUUUUUAGAAGGUUUCCCUUUUUCAAUUAGAAUUGGAGUUUUAAUUCUUUUGCGGGCCUUUAGUUAGUGGAGGCCAAGAUAUUAGUACUUGAUAGGAAACAAAGCAAAUAAGAGGAGAAAAAGCCGGAUCCCGCAGGAUGAGGACUCAGCUAGGUAUCUCACAUGAUUACUACUUGGCCAGGGAAUAAGAAAAGAGAAGAAGGCAACCGCUUGGCUCUCUGCUCCGCAGAGUAGUUCUUUUACUAUCGAACAUUGACGCAAUUUCGUGGAGGGGACUUGCGUGAGUUACUCUCAAUGGAGAGUAACUAAUCUUGUUUUCUAGUCAAUGGACAAUUGAAGAUUUGGUUCAACAAUAACUGUGAGAUCUAAAUUAUUUUAAUUGUUUCCUUCAUUUAUUGGUAUUUGUAUACUUUCUGCUUUUAAUUGUUGUUAUAACUAUCGUGUAUAAUUGAAUAAAUGCGCAAUAUUUAAUUAUUCACGUAGGCUAUUUGCUAAUUGAGGGUAGUUGAAUCCGUAAUUGUUCGAUUACCUCUGUCCUAGUAGCAACUGGCAUAAUUGGAUUUAUGUCAGGGAAACAUACGAUCUAAUUUAAAUAAACCGUCGUAGCGUGUUUAUUAGUUAGGAUUGGGCCUUUCUAAACCUUAAUGCAAUCUAGAAAUUAAAUCCUACGGUCAUACCUAGGGUUGUUUCUUGGUUAGAAAAAUAGUUAAAGGUCGUACCUUAACUAUCGAGAAAUUAAGAAAAGGCUGGUUGUUUAUCGCGUGUAUGACAACUAUAACCGAUCUAUUGAUAACUGUUGGAAUUAUAUUUGCAUCGAUGAUCAGUUGCAUGAACCAUUUCUGAAAUGUAUCCUUGGCUAGAGUCUCUGCAGUUAUUUCUGUCAAUUAAUUAUUUUUUGCAUUUAAUUUAUUUAGUUAGCAUUUAAUCCAAAAAUCCUCCAUGCUCUGAACUCUAGAAGAAAUGAAUUAUCCCCAAUCCCUGUGGAUUCGACCCUACUCACCGCUAUAUACAAAAUUUGUAUUUUUCUCGAGUAGGUAUUUAUUAUUGCACAGGCUCGACACCUGUCAAUUUUUAGUGCUGUUGCCGAGGACUGGUGCCUGAUUAAUUUGUUUCUUUUUGAGUUAAUCUUGUUUUCAAUUUUUUUUAUUUUUCUCUUAUUUUUUUUAUAUAUAAUUUAUGGCUGCUAACAUUCCGUAUUUUGGUGAUAGACUGAAUUUUAUUUCUAGAAGGGGUUAUGAGGCUUAUGCUUUUUCUAAUAAUCAAUGGACUGCUACAAAUUGUGAAAUUUAUUUUUUCUCAAAUCAUUCAAUCGACAUAUACCAUACAUUUCAAGAUGGUCUAAGUGUUCCAAUUGAUACUUUUGGAGAUUUUUUACCUCAAUAUCAAACGUGGUAUGACCCUUAUUCAAAUGGGUAUGAGCAAGGGUGGUGGGAUGAUUCCAAUUUUAAUUAUGAACAAAGGCCAAUAGAUUUUCAACAGUUAGAGUCUCAAGAACUGUCAUCCAUGUCAGGUAUGUCUCUUAAAGAAAUAGUUGAAUUAAUAGCUACUAACACAUAUCAAAUUCAACAGGAGACACAUCAAAUUCAACAGGAGACAAUGGAUUUUCAUCAGGAGACAAUGAUUUUUCAUCAGGAGACACAAGCGAGCAUGCGUAACCUGGCAGAUCAAGUUAAUCAAUUGACAUAUAGGAUAACACAAUUGACUUCUCAAAUGUGUGAAGAAUUGCCCUCACAGACUAUUAUAGAUCAUGAGGAAGAUGAGAGUGCAAUUAUCCUGACAAAUGACAUGGAGCUGCAAGAAUCUCAAGAAGAAGAAUCUAAAGAUGCAGUUGAAAAUGGCAUUGAAGUGCAAGAAAUGAGACCUCAAUAUCAAAUUGUUCAAAUGAAUGAAUCCAGUGAACAAUCUCCAAAUGCGGUGACAUCUCCUCCAUUUCUUAAUCAAUAUCCUCAUGACUCUUGUUCUUUAAUUCCUGUUAGUGAGAUUGAGUUUAUUAUACCAGACGAUUUUGAGUUUCAUGAUAGGAAUAAGUUAAGAGUUACAAUGACAGAAUAUUUCGAACCAAUAAGUGCUCGUGAUGGAGGAGUGAGUGAAGAUUUAAGGUCAUCACUUGUUUGUUUGGCGCCAUCUACUAAUCCAUGGAAGACCGUAUCUCGUGUGUUUAAAAAUUACUCUAUUUACGAGAGAUAUCAGGACUACAUAGAAGAUGAAGCGCUGAAACGAGUUACACGAUUUUAUCCUCCGUGAAUAAACAGGGCAAUGUCUAACCAAAGACAUUAAAGAAAGGCGCUGCUUGGGAGGCAACCCAAGGCCUUUGUUUUAGUUUCCUUAUAUUUUUGGAGUUUUUGUUAAGUGUUAGUUGCAUUUAGUGAUUUGUUUCUUUUGUGGCAGGAAGCUGGUAGUUGGGCGUGCCCGCGUCUAGUAAGCACACCUAAGGAAUGCAAGUAUUUUUUUGCGGUCAGAAGACUACUUAGUAGUUAGACGUGCCCACGCUUAAGGGAGGCAAUUUUCAUUUGCGGUCAGAAGACUCUAUAGUAGUUAGGCGUGCCCACGCCAAGUGGUCACGUGUAAGGAACUUAAUUUCUGAAAAUUGGUCAGAAGACUCUCUAAUAAUUAGGCGUGCCCACGCCAAGUGGUCACGUCUAAGGAACUUAAUUUCUGAAAAUUGGUCAGAAGACUCUCUAAUAAUUAGGCGUGCCCACGCCAGGUGGUCACGCUUAAGGAUCUUAAUUUCGGACGGUUGGUCAGAAGAUUCGAAGGCAGUUAGGCGUGCCCACACCUAACACAGGGGUUCCUUUAUUCAAAAAAAAGUCCCUCACUGCCUGUUCUCAUCUUUGUUCAAACAAAGGAUAAAAGGAAGAACCGACCAAUUUCACCUAUGUUAUAGCUGCUCGAGAUCCUCCAUUACGUGCUCAGGGAAGUUUCGUUGUCCCUUUUGUUUCGUAUUAUAUUCUUUAUCUCUUACAUUGGGGAUAAUGUAAGAUUUAGGUGUGGGGAGAGUAGUAUAUUGGUAUUUUAUUGAAAAAAUGCAAGUGUAGGCAUUUUUGUUGGAUUUUUUUUAUUCGACUUUGUCGAAUUUUAUCCAAUUUUUGCCUAUUUUUGUGCAUAUUUGUGAUUAUUAUUGAUAAACGAUGGUUAGAUGUCUCAAAUUUUUCUAUUGCUAAAAUUUUACACUCUAGGGUAUUGAGUAUGAUAUGGUUAAGUUUAAGGGUAUCUCUUUAGUGAAUAGUUAAGAUUUUGUGACUUUUGCACUUUUUGAUUAACUUCUCUAAGUAUUGUAAAUAUUUGUCUAGCAUUUUUUUAUGUAAAUUGGUUCAACUAUUAAUCUUGGUUCUCCAUGAUUAAGAAAUGAAGCGGGCUUGUGUGAUCUUUAAUUUUAUUUUUGAUGUUUAUUUGAAUCAUAUUUGGCUAUACUCCGCUAGUAUUGUUGCCUAGUAACCGGAGAUUUUCACCACAAGUGUUGACUUUCGCGUCAAAAAGUGACGAUAACUAUGAGUAUGUGGUCCCUUAGCGAUGAUGGCUGAAUAACCGGGCUCCUUCAUUUGGCCAAUGUCGGAGUUCGCGUCAAAACGCUUAAAUGACUAAAGACUAAGCAUUCCCCAUGAAGAAAAAAAUCAAUCAAGUUUGGGGAUAUUUUAGAAAAAAAGUGCUAAUAGUGAAAAAUGUGAAUGAAUUGUUAGCCCGCUGAUCCAUGAAGUUUAAUGUUGAGAUUUUGCUUAAUAGUCGAACCAUUUACUUAUGGAUGCUGGUUGAAUAUUUUAUAUUUUUAGAUUAGUUGGUCAUAAAUUGAAAGAGUCAUUGAUCUUGAAAACUAAUUGGAGAGAUAUUUCUUGCAAAUUGCCCCUAAUACUUGACAUGUGUUUAAUUGUAUAUUGGCAACAGAAGAUUUGGGUAAUACCAUUGUUUGAAUUUGAUCACUUGAUUUGUGUUCUCAUGCUUGAGGACAAGCAUGGUUUAGGUGUGGGAGAAAUUGAUAGGUCAUAACUCUCUCUCAAAUAACUUUAAUCUUCUCCAAGAUUCUUUCCACCAAAUUGGGUCCGGUGAUCAACUUCUUACCUAUUUCAUCCCAAUAUAAGGGAGAUCUACAUUUUUGCCCAUAUAACAUUUCAACGAUGCCAUACCUAUUCCUCUAUGAUAGCUAUUGUUAUACGAGAAUUAUAUUAGUUUUACCAACCUAUCCCAACUAUCUGAAAAGUCUAGAGCACAAGCUCUCAGCAUGUCCUCCAGUGUCUGUAUGGUCCUUUCUAACUGUCUGUCCAUUUGGGGGUGAAGGGCGGUAUUUAGUCUUAGAUCAAUCCCCAUAACCUCUUGGUAGGUCAACCAAAAUCUAGACAUGAAUCUAGGAUCCCAAUCUAGCACUACUUUCACAAUUCAUUUUUAGACUAGAUAUCACAUUCUCUCCCCCUAAAAAGGUUUCAUCCUCGAAACCUAAAAGAUAUAAACAUCAAAAUAAGUUAACAAAAUUCCCAAUAUUCUUGCAAUACAUCUUAGGAAUUAUUCCUACAAUGUCUAAAUUGGAUUUUCUUAUUUAAUUCCAUCAAACUUCUGCUGCACACUCUCAUUUUUCUCAAUACCUCUCAUCUUCAUAUUUAUAGAGAUCAGAUGAACAGAAUAUCUCUCACAAAUCCAACAUUCUAAAUAUUAGCUUAUAAUGCUACAUAGAGAUCAACCUAUAGAAAGGAUGCCAAAAACACUAACAUUACCAUUUCUUCUUUUGUCAUACAUUUUUUCACAACUUACUUAUCCACUAUUGCAAAAAGUAAUCAUUAUCUCGAUAUAUGGGUUCCUGCCUAUUGUAAUUGGUAAUGAAAAUCUCUUAUUUCCUUCAAAUCCCAUAUCUAUCUAAUUUCAAAUUUCAAAAAAAAAAAUCAAUAAUACCUCAAAUAGCAUCACACCUAUUUUCAAAUCCUAUAACCUGAGUUGUUAUAUCACUAAAUGCCAUGGAAAUCUUAUUUCAUUUGAUCAUCAUUUUUUUUUAUCUCAAUUCAAUUUCCAAAACAAUAUUCAUAUUACGGUAGAACAUACCAAAACACACAAAAUUUUAUACAAAAAUUAUCGCCAAAUUCUCAUAUUUGAAUAUAAUAACUUCAUCAUAACUUUGGUAAAGUAUUUAUCUAUGCGUAGAAUUUCGAACUCAUACAAGUUUAGAAACCUGAAAGUGUUUGAAACACAUAAGUUAGUUAAUUGUACUUCUUAUACCAUUAGAACUUAGAGUACGAAGAGAAUUUAUUAAAAAUUAUUGUUAGAUUCUUUCUACAUGAUAUGAUUUUUUUUUUAUGUAGAACACGUUUAUCUAUAGCUCGUUUUGAGAUUGGAUGAGUAUCAUAAAGACAUUUUGUACAGGGUUCUGGGAUACAAUUAUUUAUGGUGAUUAUUCACCUUUAUUGUUAAUUUAUGUAUCUUUGUGUAUACAUAUUUAUAGAAAUUAUACUUAUUUGAUAAAGAUACUUAUUCAAAAAUCUUGAUUAACAUUUGUUCGUGAAAUAAUUUUUUUUUAAGACAAGAACUAUGUAAGAUUAUGUAUUCUAAGAAAUUUCUAACAUAUUUAUUGACCAAGCACAGUGUAAUAAUGCCAAUAAACUAAUUCAAUAAUUAUCUGGGGCAUGAGAUCUAAUCGUUGUAAAUCUCAAAAAGAGACAAGUCUAUUCACUCUUGGCCAUAUCUCCCACCGAAUGAGUACUAUUGCUAGACUUAUCAAUUUGUAUGGGAUAAGGCCAUACACCUGUUAGUUGUCACCAGUAGUGGUAAUAAUUCAAUUAGAGUAAAAUGGUACCAGCAUUAGUAGUACUUCUAUCCAGGUAAGAGCACUAUUUAUAGAGCUCUAUUACAAAAAGAAAAGGUUCGCAACAUUUCAUUCUUCAUCCUUUGAAAUGGUUUCAUCCGUGAAGCCUAAUCCCACGUCAAGAUAAGUCUAUAUAACAUCCCAUAUCGUUGUUACCCAUCGUGCAAUUAAUUCUACACAACUUAAACUGGGUCUCUUUAUUCACUCCAUCACACUUGCUACGUACUUUUAAUUCCUUGACACUUUCAAUUUCCUAUAGACAGUACUUCAAAUAUAUAUAAUAUUUCCUACACGUCCAACAUCUUAAACUUAGAUUGUACUACCAAAAUCAUAUUCAACAAAAGGACAUCAUAAACACCAAUAAUACCAUUUCAACUUAAAUAACACAUACAAAUUUUCAAGCCUAUUUAUUCAGUCACAAUUGAUCAUUUUCUAGUGUGUAUUUCCUCUAAAGAAUAAAUCGUACCCUACGCUCUGUUAUCACUAAAUAUUAUGGAGCUCUCUUAUUUCACAAUCCUCUAUCCAACCUCAUUCAAAUUUCUAAAAUCACUAAUAUUACAAACAUCAUUCAACAUACAUCUAGAUCGUAUAAUCUAAACUUUGAUAACAUUAAAUAUCACGAGAAUCUCUUAUUUCCUUUAAUCCACUUUUUUUUCAUCUCAUUUCAAUUCUUAAAGUUUCUAAUACCUCAAACACCAUUUACAUACUUCCGGAUCAUAUAACCUAAGCUCUGAUACCACUAAAAAUGUCAUAGGAAUCUCUUAUUUCCUUUUAUCUGUUUUUAUUUUCAAAAUCAUUAAUAUCUAAACAUCAUUUCUCAUACUCCCAGACCAUAUAACCUAGGCUCUGAUACCACUAAAAAUGUCACGCCCCGAGGCCGCACGCGCUAGUCAUGUGACAUUUGCCAUAUCAUCAAGUCUCGUUCAAGAAUACAAGGCAACAUCGAACUAGACUAAAUUCAAAAAGUACUAAAUAGUAUAACUAAAGAAAGUGCGGUACAAAUUUCCAGUGAAGGAUAGUCUACGAAUAUUCAAUAAGUUCGUACAUUUAUUCUCUAGUAGAAAUAGCGGAAACAAAAGUAAAUAAAACUAACAACUAGAAGUAGCUAGCAUGCUAACUUCUGUUAACUUAAAAACUAAUAAAAGUCCUCCUCAGGGUCUUCUACGUAAAUCAACUCAUACUUUUCAGAAUCUGCAAAGAUGGUAAAAAGUGGGUUGAGCGAAAAGUCGUUUAGUAGGUAAUAUCUACCCCUAUGUUGAACCAUGCACUCAUAACUUUAUAGAUACGUACAUAUAUAAAUCAAAUUAUUUUCACAUUAUUCACAUCAAUAAUCAUGAAAAUAAUGUUAUGGGUAAAACAAUUAGUAGUAACGAGUGACAAAGCAAUUUCAAAGCAUCUUAUUGGUAAUCGCAGAUGAAAGUCAUAAAGUCAUAGAUAAUUUCAUAUCAAUUCAUAAGUCUCUUCAUAUCAGCUCACAAUAAGCACAUGUAAUGACCGACUAUUGAGUACUCAGACUAGAGAUUAAACCCAUUAGGUGGGCGACCAAUAGGUUUCAUGACUACCGAUUGGUCUCAUUACAUAUAUGGGUCAAUCGACCGGACUCUAUACCAAACUACCAUGAUCUUGUCAAUCGGCCGGACUCUAUACCAGGAUACCAUGACCAUUAGACACGACUAUAACCCCUACCGUCUAUUCCAUGACUGUUUUGAGCUUUUCUUGACAUAAAUUCAUUUCACACGUCAUAUGCAUAGUUCUUGAUUUCAUAAAAGGUACAGCUUAUUUGGUAUAUAAUAACAUAUCAAGAAGUUUCAAAUAAGUCACAUGGUCCAUUUUUAUAUAGUCAAAAUAGAACUUCCUUAAACAGUCAAGUAAAUCAUUCAAUCAAAACAAUUCAAAUUAACACGUAAAAAUAUAAUCGAUGACAAAAAUUUUACUUUAAACUUUUGAAAUUUCAGAAGGAUAAGUACCAUCUACCUUUAUCUGGCUGCUCGAGUAAAACUACCUUAGAUCUUUUAAACUUGUAUCGUACAUAUCAAAUGCAUAGGUAUUCUAAUUAGUUGAUAUUUCUUAUAAAUGCAUAAAUAUACUAACUCUGAGUAAAUUUAAAAUUCAUGUCUAAACCAUUAUAUGAACCCUAGUAGAGUUUUUUUCCUAUAUUGAGAAGUUUCUAUUUUUGAAAAGUUUCUUAAUUUGGAAGGUUUUCCUUUUUUGUAAAGUUUCCUAAUUUAGAAAUAAUUAUUUGUAAUCACAUUUAUUAUCUUGACCAUUGUACGUAUUUAACUAUACAUAUAUAUUUAUUAUUAUUUUAUUAUUCAUUGUUAUUGUUGUUGUCCUUGUCAUCACUAUUUUAUUUUAUUAUCAUUUAUAUAUAUAUUUGUUAAUUAGUUACUAUUAUCUUUUGCUUUACUUCCUUUUUUUUUGCGCAUGUGUAGGUGUUAUUAUUAUUUAUAUGUAUAUAUAUUGGCUUAUUAUUAUAAUUAUUUCCUUAGUUUAUUUCACUUGUAUUUAUAUUUUCAUUUUAAUCUUUAAUUUACUUCAUCUAUAUCUAUAUUGUCAUUAUUAUUGUUAUUAUUUUAAGCAUUUAAAAGAAAUCUAAAACCUAUCUUAUAUUGUAUAACUUAAUCUAAUAGUGAUAGAUUAAAAUGUCUUAGAUUUCUAUUUAAAUACCUUAGGCCUAAUUAAAUAAGCCCGAUUGGCGAAAUCUUUUAAAAUAUUCACUUAAUUUAGGUUGGGUCUGGAAAUUUAGUUUCUAUGUUAGUCCAAAAAUGUGGGUUGAUUAUACCUAAAAUUUAAUUAUUGGACAUUCACUUAACCCAUAUUAUAUAUAUAUAUAUAUUUUUUCAGAAUCUAUUACUAUUAAUAUGAUUUUUUUUUUGGUUUCGGCCAACCUUUCUAAUGGAGCCUCUGUCGCCAGCACUUGCUGGCAGAUUUUUUUUUUUUUCUUUUGGUUGGCCGAAAGGUUUCGACCAACCUUUCUAAUGGAGCCUUAAGUGCUAGCGGCUCUUUCUUUUUUUUUUCGGUUGGCCUUUUCCUACUUGGUCCAUGUCGCUAGCCACUUGCUGGCGACUUUCCUUUUUUUUUUUUUUUGCAUUGCUGAAGCUUUCAGCAAUGGCGUGCCGCUGCUCUCCCCCUCCCCUUCUUUUUUUUUAUAACUUUUCAACAUAUUUGGGUAAACCUUAUCCAUCCCAUAAUUAAAUUUAAUACCCUAAUCCUACUAAUCUAGAUAUGAAUCCUUCUAAAUCUCUCAUACAAGCAUAUAUAUAUAUAUAACAUAAUACAUAGCCGUAAAAUCUUUAGAAUAAUUAAUGCGACUAAUGGAACUUAAAAGAGAAGUUUUCACGUGAAUUUGGGACUUACAGGUCUAGGUGCCUAGUUGCCUGGUUGAUUGAUAGCGACGCCUUCUUCUCAUUCUCUAAUCUCUGACGGCUCUUGCUCUAAGAGGAGGUAGAGAAUGAAAGGUAGGAAUGAUGUUUUUUUUUCUUUGUUGUUUUGAGAAGUGUGCUAAACCCUAAUAACCACCCACUAGUACAUGGGUUAGAUAAGAGUUUUAACUGUUAUGAACUUUUACCCUAUCUUAUCUCAUUUCUAUCCUCCAAUUAACCCUUUAAUCUAUCCUACACUUACUUUUACUCUUACUCAUAGUAAAUUAUCAUUCAGUUAAUUGGGCAAGAAUAAAAAAAAAUGAGCCAAAACCGUGGGUUUUACACUUAAAUAGCAGAAUUUUUCUUAAAUGGGUAAAAUACCAAAAAACUCCUUAUGGUUUACUAAAUGUUUAAUUUAACUCCCUCUGAUUUGAAAACCUACACUAUAACUCCUUGUGGUUUGAACUAAUUUGAAAAUUGGACGGAAAGUGUCCAAUCUAACUGCUAUAUGUGAAAUGUCAAUAUUGCCCCUGUAUAAAUGAACUCCCUAUAGUUUGUCGAAUGUUCAAUUUAACUCCCUCUAGUUUGAAAAAUUACACUAUAACUACCUAUGAUUUCGACUAAAUUGAAAAUUGAAUAGAAAGCAUCGUACAUAUAGUGGGGCAAUAUUGACAUUUCACACACAACCGUUAGAUUGGAUGGUUUCUAUACAAUUUUCAAUUUAGUGAACACCAUAGAGCGUUAUAGCGUAGGUUUCCAAACUAGAGGGAGUUAAAUUGAACAUUUAUCAAACCACAGGAAGUUUUUUGGCAUUUUACCCUUCUUAAAUCCGUGUACUAACUGGCUACACAUGUGUGUGAAGUGCAUUUGAAUUGACAGAAAAUCUAUCAACUGCUCAAAGAGAAAGCCACUUCACGCACAUACGUAGCCAGUUGGUAGACGGAUUAAUGAAAGAGAAAGGCACAACCAAUGAGAACGAGACACAAAGUAACUGGUAUGCAUAACACUGAAAAGUUGUAUUACUUCUUCCAUCCCAUUAAAAGUGUAAUACCUUCUAUUUUGAAACAUUCCAAAAUGUUUGUCAAAUUAAAGUCACUUUUGAUUUUUUUUCAAUGUUGUCCUCAUCUUUAUCGAUAUUUUAUACUAAAUUCAAAUUUAAAACUUGAAUUUUUAAAGGUAAUUUUGGAAACGAAUCCUCUAACAACAGUAUCAAUCCACUAUUAUUAAAAAGUUGAAAUCCUAAAAUGCAACAAACAUUUCUAAGAGAGUAUAAUUCAAAGAAUUAUAUGUCAAACGUAGGCACAACAUGUUUUGUCCAUGUGAAACGUGACACAUAACGUCCAAGCUGAAAUGAAAACGUGUUAGUAGCGUAGAGCACUAAUAGGCAGUGUUUUGAUACCUAAGUUGAAUCAGCCGGUUCAACCGGUUAGAUCGCGAACCAAUCACGGCUCCAGUCCUAGCACCUUCCACUUACAUCAUUUUCACACUUUUUUAGGGACAUUUGAGGGGAUGUUGCAGCAACAUUUUGGGAGCUCCAAGACCGCUUUUUCUUGAUUCUCUGGCAACAAGAAACAACUAGAAAUAUAGGAGUAAAGACUUAGUUUUCUUGAACAUAUUUCUCUAGUUUUUUUAGUUAGCUUAGUCUUUCAUUUUUCUUGGAGAAUUCUUGGAGAACUCUUGAUGUGCUCAAUAUUUUGAAGACAAUGAAGAUAAUGGAAAUUGAAAACUCUUGUUUCUUCAAUUGAAUGAGUAAUUUUUUCACUCCUUCUUUCUUUAUUGUUGGAUUUAUGUUUGGUUGCUGAUAAGUUACAUUUUUGUUAUUAAAUUUGUGAUUAUUUCCCCCUUGAUUUUAGCCAAAUAUUGUAUUAAUGGAUAAAUUCUACUCAUAUUUGGUAAUUUGUGCUAAUUGUAGGAAUAUGAUGAGAAAAGGAGUAAAAAAUGGUUUAAUGAAAAUUUUUAGCCAGUUCUUUGUGGGCCCGUUCAAAUCCUACUAUCAAGUCUCGGAGGCUCGAGAUUUUACUACGAGCGGUAGUAUCCCAGUUCGAAUGGAAGUUCUUCGAAGCAUGUUUCCUUAUCUGAGAUAAUUGGUCUUUCUUUUUGUAUUAAGAAACAAAUAGGUUAUAUUUUGUCAAUUUAGGGAAUCUCCUUUUCUUUGAAGAAAAUUAGGAAGUAUUAGUAGUUUAGGAGAGUAAGAGACGUGAGAACAAGGAAGUCUUCUUGUUUGCGUUGGCUUUAAAAAGUCAUGGUUGUUUUUAGCGAAAGGGGUGAUUAGUCUUGGCAGUCAGCACCAAGGAAGAACGAAGAGUUUUUCUCUUCGUCUUUUCUUUUCUAUUGCUCCUUCUGUUGUCGAACCUCAGGCAACUUUCGUCAACGAAAUUGCCUGAGUUAUUUUCAAUGGAAAGCAACUAAUCCCUUUUUCUAGUCAAGGGUCAAUUUGAAGAUACGGUUUCAAAUAUCUAUGAGAUUGAAUUAUUUUUAUUUAUUUCUUUUAUUCAUUAGUAUUCGUACGUCUUCUGUUUCAACUUCUUAUGAUUAUUUUGUUAUUUGAAUGUCAAGGACCCGAUAUUUGAAUUAAUCUAAUAAUCUACUGCCAUAUUAAUCAAUUAAAUUCGUAAUUGUUUGAUUGAUUAAUACUAAUGGCAACUAGCGUGAUUGGUUUCAUGUUAGGAAAACGUAUAAUCUAACUUCAAUGAACCUUCGUAGCGUAUUUGUUAGUUAGGAUUGAGUUUUUCUAAUUUUUAAUGCAAUUGAAAAAUUAAACCUAUGGUCAUAUCUAGAGUUGUUUCUUGGUUAGGAAAAUAAUUAAUGGUCGUGCCUUGACUAUUGAUAAACUAAGGAAAAGUUGGCUAUCAAAACUUAUUGAUGGUUAUAACCAAUUUAUUAAUGAGUGAUUAAAUCAUUCUUGCAUCAAUGAUCAAUUGUAUGAAUCGUAUCUGAAAAGUUGUACCUUUGAUUAGAGUCAUAUUUAUUGUUGAUUUAAUUCCUAUUUAUUUCAUUAAUUGUUUCUUUAAUUGGUUAGUGAGUUAUUUCUAAAUUGUCUAAAAAUUCCCCUUACUUUAGGCUCUAAAAAGAGACAAAUUUUUCUCAAUCCCUGUGAAUUCGACCCUACUCAUCACUAUAUACAAAAAUUUGUAUUUUAUUUGAAUAGGUAUUUUUUAUUGCACAAUCUCGACACCUCUCAGUUGCAUUAAAGCCUUAAGCUUUUCUAUUCUAUCUACUAUUUUUUUAUUCAAAAGGCAAUUUUAUUAAGUAGAAAGCAUGCACUUGUUUUUCAGAUAUGUAUGCAAAAUGUGGAAGGUUGGACCUAGCACGUCUAGCUUUCUUCAGAAUUUCCAAAAAAGACACUGUUUCUUGGAACUCGAUGAUUACUAGCUAUUGCUAGCAAUUGAUCUUUUCUAUCAGAUGGGUUUAGAAGGAGCAAAAUAUGACUCUGUUAGGAUAUCUGCAGCUCUUUGCACAUGUGCAGACUUACAGGCACUGCAUUAUGGCAAAGAAAUACAUGGAUUCAUGAUUCGAGGAUCAUUUAGCUCAGAUCUUUAUGCUGAGAGCGCAUUGAUAGACAUGUAUGCUAAAUGCAGACACUUAGAAUUAGCAUGUACUGCUUUUGACUUGAUGAAGUGCAAGAACGAAGUUUCUUGGAAUAGCAUAAUUGCUACUUAUGGGAACCAUGGACACCUUGAGAAUGCUUUGGCUCAACUGAAUGAAAUGAGGGAAAAUGGAUUCCAGCCUGACCAUGUCACUUUCCUCGCCAUAAUAACUGCUUGUGGCCAUACUGGCCAAGUUGAAGAGGGCAAGCAACUUUUUGAGUGCAUGACCUAAGAAUUUGGAAUUACAGCUCGAAUAGAACACUAUGCAUGCUUAAUAGAUUUGUUUGGCCGAGCUGGUCGUCUUGAAGAAGUACAUCAAGUGAUUAGGAGCAUGCCAUUUACUACAGAUGCUGGCAUAUGGGGCAUGCUACUCGGAGCCUGCCAUGUCCAUGGCAACGUUGAACUAGCUGAAUUGGCUUCAAAUCAUCUUUUUGACUUGGACUCGCAAAAUUCUGGAUAUUAUAUGCUCCUAUCAGAUGUGAAAGCUGACACUGAAAAGUGGGAAGGGGUUAACAAAGUAAGAAAUAUGAUGAAGGAAAGAGGAGUGCAGAAAGCUCCUGGUUACAACGCAAUCUCGCAACUCAGGAAUACGUGGUUUAACAAUUCUUCAUUCGGGCAGAAGAGACAUUUGGAUGGGAGGUUGAAACCAAACUAUUGUAAAAUUUCUGGAAAAGGCAGCAAGGAGUACAGCAGCUGCCACAUGAAGAUGGAAAUUUUGUAUGGUAGUCGUUUAUCCCAAAUCAGCAGAUGUGAGACCAUUGAGGCACCUUGUGAGCGCAGCUGCUGUAGUGCUGAAGAUAUGCUAAAGAGUCCAUUGGAUGAGGGACACCAUGCUAGACGAUCAUCACCAUUUGAGAUGGAGAUUUGGGGAGGUCCGAAUGUCAUGUAUCUCACUAGGGGAUAAGGCACUCUCGACAGCUUGUAAGUUCCAAGACCCAUUUUCCAAACAAUUGCUGACUUGCACUCCCGGGCAAGGGACAUAUGCCUUCCCUAUAGCAAGAAAGCCCAUACCCAACAAGUUUUCAAACCAAAAGGAUGAACGACCUGUGCAUAUCAACCAUCACGAGUGAUCCUCCGCAAAAUCUCGAGCUCGUAGCAAUCAUCGCCAUGUCUUCGAUCCUUUGCUGGACGUUGGUACCUGGAUUAAAUGUGACUAUUGCCCGUAUUUCACAGACAUGAAACGGGUCCAUAACGUAGAGGUAGUUCGUAGCCACCACCAAAGCUUGCAACUAAAUGCCUGCAGCACAGCGUCUAGUGCCAUGAACCCUAAGCCAUCCUUCUCGACUGGUUUACAUAGUUCUUCCAUUCCCUCUAAUGUCUCCUCUCCUUCCCCUCGACCUAGCCAUAGAAGAAGGUAGCAAAAAUGCAUUCCAUUUUUCGUAAAGUCCUUGUUGGGGGCUCCAAAACAGCCAUGAUAUGUUGGGGAAUUGACAUCAGGACGUGCUUGAUAAGCAAUGCGCGACCCCCAGCUGAUAAUGCCUUGGUUUUCCAGCCAACUAGCUUCAUUCUCAUUUUUUCAAUUAUAUGCUGAAAAUUCACUCGACUUGGUCUGCCUUUUGCUAGCGUGCAGCCUAGCUAUUGAAAAGGUAACUGGCGAACUUUAACAUCUAGCCAUUGGGAUAUCUGUCAUGAUCUAGCCGUCGAGCAUCGUAAGAAGAUACUCCCUCCCUUUUUUUAUAACUGACGUUUAAGAAAUUUGCUCUAGUGUACUUUUAUCUAUCAUUUUAUUAUCCCCAUACAGCAUUAAUUACUUUUUCACAAUUUUACCCUUUUAUCUCUCUGGUAUUAAUACACUCUCAUGCAUUGCUUUUGGCCUAGUAAAACAGCACCAUUUAGUACUAUAGUGAGAGAAAACAUGGGUGAAUUGGACAAUUAAUGAGGAUACAAAAGGAAAGUAGUGUACAGAUUUAAGCAUUGAAAAACUUUUCUUAAUUAGUGUGCAAAACCUUAAACGUCAGUUAUAAAAAAAGGGAGAGAGUAAUAAAGAAGCACUUGUCUUUAUUGAUUUGCUGCCCCAAGCCCAGUUGAUAAGUGUCAAGAAACUCUAGUAGUGAUUUGAUGUCUGUUUAGUGCCCCUUCAUAAAGAGCAAGACAUCGUCGGCAAAGCUCAAAUGUGCAAUUGGGAUACGUUCCCUCAGGAGGCCGAAUGGAGAGAGUUUACCCGUCGAGAGUAGGGCAUUCAAGCCUCGGUUGAAUGCUUCAACAACUAGUAGGAAUAAGUAUGGGGAGAGUGGAUCUCCUUGUUUGAUUCCCCACUCACCUUGGAAGAAGCCGAAGGGCUUGCCAUUGAUAAGUACUGAAAACCAUGCUCCUUGAAGAUUGUUCAUGACCAAGGAAAUAAACCAGCCACUAAAUCCAAAUUUACAUAGCAACUUGGAUAGAAAUUGCCAGGAUACGAAGUCAAAGGCCUUCAUCAUAUCCACCUUGGGAAUCAUGUUGUGGCCUCGAGUUUUUGUGUCUAUCGAUUUCAACAAUUCUUGGGCCAGAAGGAUAUUGUCUGAUAUUUCCCUCCCGUCGACAAAAGCAGAUUGCUCCAAUGAUAGUAGAGUAGGCAUCAAUGGUUUCAUUCGCAUACAAAGAAUCUUCGUGAAUACCUUUUUUAGGAAGGUGCAAAGACUUAUUGGUCUAAACUCGGCAAAUGUCUGCGGCUGUUCUUUUUUUGGUAGCAGUAUGAUUAAGGUGCUGGCAAUACUUUUUGGUGUUGGAACCCCACAAAAAAACCCUCGACUGCUUGCAACAGGUCUUGAGCUAUUAUGUCCCAACAAGUCGUGUAAAAGAACCCCGUAAAACCAUCCACCCAUGCUGCACUUUGGCCAUCCAAUGCAAAAACAGCCUUUUUGACUUCCUCUAAUGUAACUUCGCUCGUUAAAUCCUCGUUUUGUUGGUGUGUAACCGGCCUUGGAAUCGAAGCCAACAAUUCUUCAAUUGCUGGCUCACAAUUAGGAGUGUUUUGGCAGGACAACAAGUUUCUGUAGAAAGUUGCUGCACUCUGACCUAUAGCCUCCUCGUCUUCUAACAUGUUGUCAUCUGCCUCCCUUACUUGACGAAUUGAGAGGCAUGCUCGCUUGGAUAUUAGAGUGGAAUGGAAAAUUUUUGUGUUGGAAUCUCCCUCCUUUAGCUACCGUAUUCAUGUUUUUUGUUUCCAGAACAUUUCCUCAUCAGCGUCUUAAGUAGCCUUGCUUGUGUGCGGCUCUAUUGGGUCCUCGCCUCUUCUGUCCCUUCCUCCUCCAGCAAGAUCUCGCACGCUCUAACUUCUUCUGCUGCUGCUGCUACAUCCUUGAAAACAUCUCCAAACAUGUCUUUGUUCCACUGCUGAAGGUCAUGUUUGAGGCGCUUGAGCUUGAAGAAGAAAGCGAACAUGCCAUAGCCUUGAACAGCUUGCUCCCAACUCUGGUGAACCGUGUCAAAGAAUGUUGGGUGCUGGACCCACAUAUGCUAGAAUUUGAAUAACUGUGGAGCAGGGGCGCUGUGUUGCUUAACUUUCAUCAAAAGGGGCAAAUGAUCCGAUCCUGUUCUAUUCAAAAGUUGUAGCGAGUUAUCUUGAAAACACUAUAGCCAUUCUAAGUUUACUAGUAGUCCAUACCAUUCUAAGUUUACUACCAUCUGAUUUACAGUGAACUUGGUCAACACAAAGUUUAUUCUAUCAAGGUUACAAAGAAUAAAAUUGCAUCCAUUUUUCAGCUAAGGUAGGAACCCUGAAUAAGCUAGCUAGCUAUCUAGUUUGUUUCAGAUAACAAGCAAUGAGCAUCUGAUCAUCAAAGAGACACAGAAAUGAUAACCUCAACAAUCAAGUCGUUUAUUGCCAUCUCAAGUAAGUCUAUGGUAUUCAGGUCGUCGAAUUCAUCUCCUUUACAAAUGCAAGUAAGGAGCAUUCGACCACGAGAAAGUAACUUUUCCGAACGAAUCCUUAGAAAUGUGGGCGAGCGGACGACUUGCUUUGGAAGAGUAAAUGCUCCCUUUGUUCGCACUGAUCCCCAAUUCAAUCACCAAACCGUUGGGAACCUGCAGUCUAAAGCUAGUAACUUAUAUAGUUGGAUCAUUUUGUUAGUGUUGCAUAUGGGAAUAUAAAUCAUGAGCCACGAAUUAAAUUGUUAAUCUCAUUUCUUAACUACAAUAGUUUAUCUCAUUUAAUUGUUAAUCAUGCUUCAUUUAAAUGCAUUUAAUUAGUAAAUUUUAGGAAUUUUAUGUUUAUUCAUAUUUCUUUAUAAUAAUAAAGUGAAUUUACUAGAUGUUUGUAUUUUCUUUUAAAUUGUUAAUUAAAUUGGUACCUUGACUAUUUUGUUGGUUCUGGAGUAUAAAUAAGGCAAAUUCUACCUCAUUUAACCACUACUUCAAGGGAGAUACUUUUUAUUAUUAUUUUAAGUUCUUUUAUGUGCUCCUAUGUGUUUUUUAUAUGUGUGAUUGCGUGUUUUAACUGUCUUUUCUUUUAUUUUAUCUUAUUCAUUUUUAGCUUUCAUUUAUUUUAUUUAUUUAAAUUUUGAUGAUUAUUUGGAAGGUAUUUAAAAACCAAAUUGUAAUAGAUAGGUGUCCAAAAAAUGUAUUCAGUUAGGCCAUGUAAUUAGUUAGAUAGAUUUUAUUUUCACCGAAAUUGUAAUUAGUUAGAUAAAUGUAAUAGAUAGGUUUAUUAUUUUCAAAAUUCCCCUUCUACAUUGUAAUUAGGGUCCCCAAUAUAAUAGUUAGUUUUUAUUUGCUUCCAUGCUUGUGCGCUUAUGUAUUUUAUUCGUUUUUUCUAGGAUUUUGUAUCUAAAUAUUAUGCAUAUGUGCUAUGUGCUCUACAUACUUUAUAUGUUUUAUGGGUUUUAAUUAUGUUUUAUAUGUUUUAUUUAUUUAUAAUAAAUGCAUGACGUCGCCGCACUAGUCCAAUACUAGUUGUGACAUUUCUCCCCGAUUUCUCACUAGUCCAAUGCUAGUGAGAACUUGUAAAAAUGGGUUAGUCCAAUACUAGACCUUUUAGAUAAUUUUCGCGCUAAAUUCAUACAUUGUGUGACACUUAUUGCAUCUCAUGUAUUUUUUUCCUAUUUUUAGGUUAUUUUCAAUUGGAUGACAUUUCCCCUACUAUCAUUCCUUUACCCUCUAUAUAUUUGGACCAUAUCAUUUAGAAUUGCAUUUCAUUCUAGGAAAUGAGAAAUAGACUAGUCCACUUGGUUGACAAGGUUAAGAGAGUCACCCUUCGAAUAUGAGAAAUGGGUGAGUAUGACUUUUUAAAUUUAGCACGCUAUUACCCCUCUAUAAGAAGAAAAAUUGAAUCACGAAUUUUAGUCUCUCAUACCCAUUAUAUUGCAUUCCCCUUUUCUAGGUCAUGUACAUUUAUCUAUGUUAUAAUUUCCUUUUUGAGUCUCAUCUUUUGCACUUUUCAUGAUCUCUUCAAAUAAUCAUUUCUGGACAUCACAAUUAAUGUGAUUAGUACCAAUUAAAUUUUGAAGAGACAUUUUGACCCUCCCAAUAUCCUUUAGAUCUAGAUUUGCAUCCAUAUAUAAACAUCCAAAAUGUGAUAAGUUUUAUAUAUUAAAUUAGAAAAAAUUUCGACUAAAUCUCGCAACUACUCUUAGUUAGGUUGAAAGAGAGGCUUAAAUUGAAUAUUUGCCUUCCCUUUCUUCAAACAUGAUUCCCGAAUUCUUUUAUUUUAUUUUCAAAGAUUUGGAGUCCUCUAAAAGGGUUUUAUUUAUUUUUAUUUAAAAUAUAUUUUUGGUGAGUUGAUACACCUAAACUCAAUACUAAGUGCGCGACUCUACUCUUUUCUAAAAAAUCCUUUUUAGACUAUUAUUUUGGACUCAAACCGUCGCAUAUUUUAAGUUCCAUUUUAACCUUUUUUUUAUUUAUUUUUUAAAAUCAAAAACUCUUUUUUUUAACACUAUUUUUUCUUUUAUUUUCAAGAAUAAGGUGCGACAAACCCUAAACUAAACGACAUUCCAUGACCUCAAAAAGUAAUCCACAGUGGAUUUAAGGAUGGGACGUUGAGAUUCACAUGCUUAUUAUGCUUGUUGGCUGGCAUCAGUUGCGUCUAUAGUUGGAGCACCCAUUAUUGUGUUUGUCUUUGUCCCCGAUCAAACUAGGCCCCAGCUUAGCAUCUUCCGCAGGGCGUCACCUGCUGAUGUACCCUUCUGUCUGCAGUCUGAGAUUCACAUGCUUAUUAUGCUUGUUGGCUGGCAUCAGUUGCGUCUAUAGUUGGAGCACCCAUUAUUGUGUUUGUCUUUGUCCCCGAUCAAACUAGGCCCCAGCUUAGCAUCUUCCGCAGGGCGUCACCUGCUGAUGUACCCUUCUGUCUGCAGUCUGGCUCUUACCAUUAUUUAUGACACUGACUUUCCCAUACCAUUUGCAUUUUCUGUGGUGAGAAUUUUUCUACGAGAAUUAUCUCAUUGUUUUUACUUUUCCUUUUUUUUUUCUCUCUUUGUUUUUUUGGAGAAUAAUAAUGUAUUGGCAUGCUUUUUUAAAAUCUGAACCAUGAAAAUAUUCACAAGUCAUUCAUUUAUCGUGUUCUGCUUCUUUUUUAUAUGUUGGAACUUAGAGAUGGAAUAACUGAGAAUUGAGCUUGCGAGAUACUAACAAAAGUUUGAAUGUCUUUCAAGAUAAAGUGACACUUCCUUCAAAAAGAUAAAGUGACACUUAGCGAAUGAAUAAAUGACAAUUGAGUAUGCCAUUUACUAAGGAAAAGCCUAAUGUAUUUGAAGACAAAGUGACCACUUUAUGAAAGUUAUUCACGAAUGAUAAAAUCAGAAGUUGAGAUACGGGGAUAGGUUACGACUACGGUAGAAAGUUCACUUUUCUUCCCAUAGCAGGCAGAAGCAAUGCAAGGAGGCCAACUGUGCUUUGUGGGACGCACGAAGAAGGAUAUCCGGACAACACUGAGAAAGCCGGUUGUGCGUGAAUGAAAAAAUAUAAUACAUUUUAAAAUCACAAUAAAAGUUCUCUUAAAAAUUUAUUUAUCAUCUAAUGCCCAAUACUUAUAUUUGUUAAAUUAAAACAGUUAAUUAAAUAUUUUAUUAUAACAUAAACAACUAUAUGUCAUUGAGUUGAUUGAAUAAUAUUUUCUUUUCUUUUUUUGGCAUUUCAACUAGUUGUCAAUUAAAUUUCAAUUGAAAUAAAGAUUUUAUAAUUAUUUAAAUUAUUCAAUAAAAUUAUCAAUUUAAGAUGAACAUAAAUAUAUGGGGAUAAGAUCAUAAGGCUAGAAAAGUUGAGAUAUGGGGACAAGACUACUAGUAUUUGAGGUACCCUUGCGUAUUUGUAGAAGCCCGGUGGGUAAAAUAUAUAUAUAUAUAUGUAUGUAUAUGUGUGUGUUUGUUUAAUGCUUAUUUCUAUAUAUGUGUAUAUAUAAUGCUUAUUUAUGUCCACUUGUUAAGUUUUUAUAUGUUGUUCUUUUUAGUUUAUGUCAGCAUAAUGGUUAUUAUUUUUAGUUAAAUUUAUUAACCAAACAAAAUGUACCACAUUUCAACAUGUUGCACACGUUGAAAAAAAGACUUCCAACAACAUCUUGAAUUUCAAUUUUUUAAUAUGGUAAAAUUAUUUUGGUACUUAAAUUUUCAAGUCCAUAUCAUCUCAACUCCACCGACGUUGGAUUCCUCAACUUAAAGCUUAAAAACUGAAUGCUUUUCUUUCAAUUUCUAUGUCUCAUGGUUUUCUCGUGGUUUCAAUGAAAAAUAAAUAAAUAACAAAGCUAUAUAUGUUUCUAAAUUGAUAUCACAAGAGAGAAGAAAAAAAAGGUACUGAAAGGGUGAAUUUAUCAAUUUAUUAAUUUGAUUUUGAUUUUUUACUAUUGACCAUUCAUCUUAACAGAAGAGCUAAUGGUGACACUUUACCCAAAUCAUGAGAGCUUAUAUAUAGUUUUUUGAAGUAGGGAGAGUUAUGUGAUAAAUCACCAAAUUACAAGGGGGUAAAAGGUAAUUUACACAAAAAAUCAUCAUUCCGAGACUUCCCAUACAGUCAUACACGUGAUAUCGGACAACUAUUUAGUGCAGCUGUAUUUUGUGCAGUUGUAUCUGGUUGUUGUGCGUGUUCAAAUAUACAUAUGAAAAUAUUGUACUAAAUAUAUGUCAAAUAUCUUAUUCUUAUACACCACUUUUAUUACGAAUACAAAACAAUAAUAUAAUAUUAUUAUACACUAAAUAAUAUAAAAAGUACAAUACCCGAAAGACCCCCAACGGCACUAAAUCCUUUCCCCAACACAAAAACCAACUAAAAACAAACUUUUACAUGUCUGGCUUCUCUGGCUUUUUGGCGAGAGAAAUGAUAAGAUUAUUAUAGUAGGCUUUGCCCAAGGGGAGAACCUUUGCUGCAUGCUUCGCAAACCUGUGGAAUAUGUCAGGUAUAAUAGCUUCUCCAAAAUGACUUGCGAGGAUGGGUUCGUAAACUGCUCUAACGGAAGAUGCAACAUACUCUGCUUUAAUAUGUUCAUCGCUGUAUACUUGGACAUGGGAUCUUACUGGGUAAUUAUCAUCAAUAGAGAAGCCAGCAUCAUAAAGGACCUUAAAAGUCUCCAGGUAUAAAAUUUCAAAAGAACCUUCCUCCUCAACUAUGCACUUUACUUCUUCUGCUGAAGGUAUAUAGACUGGAAGAUUGAAACUAUCCAAUUUUUCUUCCUCCAG
This 116423-nucleotide long non-coding RNA is filed under the name Coffea arabica (coffee). RNAcentral's name for it is "long non-coding RNA (CARA_LNC006515)". The stretch from base 22576 to 22682 matches the Rfam family "Plant small nucleolar RNA R71". The record is from RNAcentral. Lineage: Eukaryota; Viridiplantae; Streptophyta; Magnoliopsida; Gentianales; Rubiaceae.